AGCAUACCAGGGAUUCCCCUUCCACAGCUAAUAGAGGUGUGUAAGCGUGUGGCAUGAUUUUUGGAAGGUGUUCCCCAGGGCACUUACAGGCUAGUGCUAUUUUAUCUGAGGGAGAGGUUUGAGCGUGGGUGUGAAGGACUGCGCGUUACCAUAGUGAAUCAAUUAGAGGUGUAUUCAAGCCUGGGAGCUGAAAUAGGCAAAUCGCUGUGGGCAUUUCUUUCUAUUUUCCCCUCUAGUUGUCAUAUCUGGCAUAGUUCUCUGUUCAAUGCAUCGUAUCGCAUCGCAUCAGCCGCAAGCUCCAUUCUAGACAUUGGUUCGUUUAUGACUGACGAUGCCAGUUUGCUUAACCACAAUCUUUAGCUUAGGUGAGUUUUUUCUUUCUUUCUUUCCUUCUUUCCCUUUGGUUAUUGAAAGCACGUGUGGGAUUUUCCUAUCCAUGAUCACAAUAUAUAUUUUGCAUUGAAAUGUAACGUCGUAUGCGGUACUGGAAGAGGAAAAAGGGAGGCGAUAGAAAAAAAGGGAGACAUCAGCAAGCCACGGAGAUUUCCCUGGUUUGUAGGACCGGACGAUUUACAUUGAGUAAGGGGGUGUAAGUGAAACAAAUAUGCUUCUCGUCAAGACGAUCAGAUAGAACAACUAAAAAUAUCGGGGUACAGUUUUAUACGGAAUGCUUAUUAUCCUUCUUAAGAUGACCAUAAUGACAGUGGUAUUCCCAGAACGUUCGGAAUGGAAUAUGGGGAUUGGAGGGGUGGGGUAUUCCAUCUUCAGCAUCUUCUAUGUUAAUACUCGGUCUACUGAAACUGCUUUUUAAUUUCAUAAUCAAACCACAGGACAAUGGCAACGUAUUUAAAUUUAAGGAUUCCCUAUGUGCUUUUAUUUGAUUGUGCAAGAUUUUUCUACCCUAGUUGAGCAAACCUGGUUUAAUAUCUAGGUCAAUGUGCAUUGUGCAGUUGGCAGCACAAUAAGUGUUUACCUGAUUUUCUCAUUUAUUUGCAGUUCCUUUUUCCUGGACUAUGUAUCAGUGUUGAUAGCAGUACUACAAAACAUAGGAUUGCAUGAAAAGGAUUGCUUUCAGUGAACGUUUUUACAACUAAGCUUUCAGUAUCAAAAUUAUUCCUCGAUUAAGAGUGGUAAGUUAUAUUAGCUUGUAUUAUUCAUAACAUUGAUGGUGUGAUUGUGGAUUAAGAACAUGCUUCUUACAAGAAGCUGCUUAAUAAAUAUGUCUGAUGUAAUGUAAUAUGUCUAAUGGGUUAGGCCUCUCUCCUAAAAAUAACUGUAGCUAAAAUUUAAUGGUAAAUGUCACGUCUUACUUCAUAUUAACCCCUUGAGGACAAAGCAGCAAUUUUUUUUUUACAAUUGGGCAUUUUUGUUAUAUGUGUGUUAAACCGUAAUUUCCAACUUUCUCAUUUUUGGCACCAACAAUUAUUAAAUAUCAUUUAUUGAACGGCAAAAAAGCUUUUAAUAUAUAUUACAUUUAUUUAAAAAAAAAAAAAAACACAUUUGGCAAUAAUAAUGUGUGCAUAAUUAGUGCAGCUUAAGAAAAGUAAUUCAUACUAAAUCAAUUUAUUUGUCCUGAUUUGCAGAGUGCAUCAAAUGUCUAGCAUGCAGUUUCUUUUUGAUAGUUACAGGUCACAAAAUACAAGGAGUAAAAUACAAUUUUAACAUGGAACAAUUGGAAUUUCUAAGUCUGAUAGCCAUUUAAGAAAACAUAAUUGCCACACUAAAGUAUAUAUUUGUAAUAAGUGUACAUUAUAGGCUAUUUUCCUAAGCAUGAUUUGACACUUUUUACGUGACUAUUUAACUGCCAAUCUCUGAUUUAUUGUAAAAUUGUGUUGUAUUCCUGAUUUUUAACGUACACACAUAUAAAAAGGUUCAUUUUAUGUGUAGUUUGUUAACCUGACAUGUGGUAAUCCUAUAAGAAACCCCAUAUUGUGUUCAGCGAAAUCUAUUAAAAACAUUAUACCCACUAUAUGCCUUUUCCACUAUCCUGCGAAGCUAUAGUGUAGUGCAUUGUUCAAAUCACCUCACAAAAACCUCCUUUGUGAAAUAGGGCACAACAUAAAACGUGCUGUGAUUUAUUUGAUCAGUUUAUGUCAAAUUUCGUGGUAAUUUAAUUUUUUUUUUUUUAAAUGAACAUUAUCUUUCUUCAAAUCUGAUAUAUGCCACUAUAAUCACCCUCCCCACAAAUUAUGCUUAGCAAGCUCUUCUGAACAAAAAAAAUACACACAAUGCCACUUUCUUGUGAAUUUACAAGCGAUAUAGGAGACCUGACUGUUUGAGUUUUUAUAGUUAGAAUUUUAAUAGCUAGAUAUGGAAGGCUAUGUUUCAUUUUGGGGCAUUGUAGCAGUUUGACAGUUCAAAUUACCCUAUAAAUGCAUAUAACUAGGCAUCACCACAUAUGCCAUAUGGUAUAUUUUGAGCCUGAACAAAUAUCUUUCAGAGUGUAUGGUAUUUUAUUUUCAUGAGUUUUUACAUGCAUGUUCCAAUUUACCAGUUUACUUUGUAAACUGAUGUGUGCUACUGUAAUAAAAUAUCACUAAAUUCUGCCGAGCUAUGACCCCUUUCCCAUCCGCUGUCAAGUGUUUGUGACAGUACAGCCACAUUCCCUGGCUCUAACUGACGCAGCAUGCAUAAAGCAAAAUGGUUUCACUUUCAUUCAGAUGUAACUUACCUUAUGUUUUUAUUGAACUUUAAUUACAUACAAGAGACUCCUGCAGGGUCUAGCAGACUAUUAACAGAGCAGGAGAUAAUACAAUCUAAAUUAAACAUAAUUUGCAAUAAAUGAAGUGUAAACAUUAAAUUACUAUGUACAUGAAGUGUUUAGGAUAGCUGUGCAAGUCAUAUGCAGGGAGGUGUGAGCAGAGCAACUGGGUCAGAGCAUCUCCAAAACCACACGUUUUGUUAUACAGUGAUUAUUAUGUACCAAAAGUGGUGCAAGAAACGACAACAAGCAAACCGGCAUCAGGGUCAUAGGCAGGGCCAAAACCAGAAAUUUUGGGGCCCCUAACUCAGCUCAGGGUCUGGGUCCCCUGGGGCCUGCCUCCAAUCCCGCCCACAGGGUCCGCCUCCAGAUCCCACAAACAGGAAUACACACACAGACACAAACACACAGAUACAUACUAACAGACACAAAUACUGAAACAGAAACAUACACACAUAUAGGCAUACAUACUGACACACACAUACUGAGACAUACACACAUAUACAGACACACAGGCAUACAUAGUGACACAUACUAACAUACAGACACACAUGCAUGAGGACAUACAUACAUACACACACACACUGACAUACAGACACUGACAUACAUUCAUAAUGACAUACAUACAUUCAUACAUGCAUAGAGACACUGACAUCCAAACACACACAUACAUCCAUACAUACAUACACAGACGUACAUUCAUAAUGGCAUACAUUCAUAAAUGCAUACACUCAUACUGACAUACAGACAGGCAUACACUCAUACUGACAUACAUAAUGGCAUACAGACAUACUGACAUGCAUGCAUACACACAUACAUACAGACAUACAUAUAUACAGACAUCUAUACAUACAUACUGACAGACAGACAGACAUGCAUACAGACAUAUACACACACACACACAGAGCAUAUUCUUCAGCCACCCUCCUUUUUCUUACCUUUUCGUUGCAGGAGGGUGGCUGGGGCUGAUGGGAGUCGGCUCGGCUCUCUCUCUUCCUCCCUGCAUCACUUGCAUUGCGGCUGCGUUUUUUUUUUUUCUAAAGGGGCCCGGUCUCGCUAUUAAACGGCACAGCGCUGACCGGGCCCCUAAAGAUAUAGGGCCCAUCGGGUGGCCCUAAGUGCGUGGGCCACCCAAUAGGCCCCCAUCAGCGUGCAGGCCCUGGUGCAACUGCACCGGCGGCAGUUCUACCGCUACACGUGGGGUUCGGGCGGCCGGGUCACCCCCUGAUGGUGGCCCUGGUCAUAGGCGCUAAAGGGUCAUUGAUGCACGUGGGGAAGCCAUGGCAAGCUCAAAUUGUUUAAAAAGUUAAUGCUGGCCAUGAUAGAAAGGUGUCUGAUUCGGAACACACAGUGCUUUGCCGUUUGCUGUGUACUUGGCUGUUUAGCUAAGUGAUCACAGGGCCCAUGAUGACCUCUGUCCACCGCCAAAAGCACCUUCAAUGGGGACAUGAAUGUCAGAACUGGACCAUGGAGCAAUUUAACCCUUGCACCGCCGGGGUUUAUUUAACUAUUUGCCCAAUGGCUGCUGGCACUGCCAGCGGACAAAAAGUUCAGAUUUUUUAAAAACUCUCUGUGGAUUUCAAGCAUUCAGACCGCAUUUCAGGUGUUUAGUGGAAGGUCAUGAUUAGCAAAGUCCAGACAUUUUUUAAUAUUGUGAACAAUGGCCACAUUUUGCAUUCCAGUGCAGCAGUAAAUGGUUUUGCCCCGUUGGACUUUUCUGAAUAACCUUUCACUGCUGAAAAUAAAUGAUUGUUUGCUUGCCUUUUUUGAAUGUAAUAUAAAAAAGGAAAACUUCAAAGUUUAUUUUUAGUUGUCUUUUAAAUAAAACUACACAACAGUAACUAGAUGCUACACUCACUUUUUUGUGAGGUUCACAGACGUGAGGAAGUCCCUGUAAUGGCUGUCAGCCAUUAGAGUUGUGUUUUUGGAAAAAAUUAAAUAUUGCCCUUUGCCUGAAACACUUUUUUUUAUUUUUUUUUUUAAAUUCUCUAAUCACAGAAGAUGGUAAUAAUUGCCACAAUAAUUAAAUACAGAAGCAAAAUACAUACUGUAUAUACUCGAGUAUAAGUCGUGGCCCCUAAUUUAACCCCAGAAAACUUGAAAAAUGUAUUGACUCGAUUAUAAGACUAGGGUGGGAAAUGCAGCAGCUACCAGUAAAUUUCUAAAUAAAAUUAGAUCUCAAAAAAUUAUAUUAAUUGAAUAUUUAUUUACAGUGUGUGUGUAUAUAAUGAAUGCAGUGUGUGUGUGUGUGUAUAUAUGCAGUGUGUUUGUGUAUGUGAUGCAGAGUGUGUUUGUGUAUGUGAUGCAGAGUGUGUAAGCUUGGUGGGGGGUGGGCAUUUUUAUUAUUUUAAUACAUUUUAUUUUUAAUUUUUUUAAUAUUAUUAAAUGUUUUUUAUUAUAAUAUUAUUAUUAUUUUUUUGUCCCCCCUCCCUGCUUGUUGCCUAGCCAGGGAGGGGGGCUAUAUUAUUCCCUGGUGGUCCAGUGGAUAGGCUGUGCAGGAAGGGGGCUGGGAGCAAGCUGUUACUUACCUUUACAGCAGCUCUUGUCCGCUCCCUUCUCCUCUGUGCCGUUCAGCUCCACUGUAAAUCUCGCUGUCUGCGUGCCAUGCGGAGCGUUGCCACGGUGAUCAGUGGCAACGCUCUGACGGCUGCAGCUCUCGUGAGACUUACAGUGGAGCUGAACAGCACGGAGGAGAAGGGAGCUGACAGGAGCUGCUGUAAAGGUAAGUAACAGCUUGCUCCCAGCCCCCAACAGGGGCAAUGUAAGUUGCCAUAAUACAGACAUUGACUCGAGUAUAAGACGAGUGGGGGGUUUUCAGCACAAAAAAUGUGCCGAAAAACUUGUCUUAUACUCGAGUAUAUACGGUAUUUCAUCUUCGUCAUCCAGGGUUGAACUAGGAAGAAAUUAGGCCCGACUGAGAAGAGAGCGGGCUAGAGAGGGGGAUGUUUUGUUAUCACCAGUAACAAGCACGCCCCUCUCAAAAUGAGCAUGUUGGGUCAUGCUCUUCAAGGACAACCCACGUGCAAAUAGCCCUGCUGAAGAGCUCUCGCAUGAGAAAAAGGCCCUGUAUUUUAUUAACAUGCUUGCGCUGUGUUUGCGUGUAACUUGUCUCUGGUGUCUCAAUAAGUGGGACAAAAUGGCAAGGAAAGCGUAUUGUGCAUGUGUAUGGAGCCUGCUUUUGUAGAGUGAGUUUAUUGUGGUGUGGUGUUUUGUGUAAAUGUCGGUUUCAGUUGUGUUUAUGGUUUAAUGUAUUAGGGAUCAACCGAUAUUGAUUUUUUACAGCCAAUACCAAUAAUCUGUGUACUUUCAGGCUGAUAGCCGAUAACUUACCGAUAUUCUGUACAUUUACCAUUUUGAAAAAAAAAACUAUUUCUAAAGGCAAAUGCACAAAAUAUACAUGCCACAUGUAGUGGAAGCAGUGUGUAUUUGUGUAGUGUGUGUAUAUAAUGAAUGCAGUGUGUUUGUAUAGUGUGUAUAGUGAAUACAGUGAGUGUUUGUGUAGUGUGUAUAUAUAGUGAAUGCAGAGUGUUUGUGUAGUGUGUGUAUAGCGAAUGCAGUGAGUGUUUGUGUAGUGUGUGUGUAUAUAUAUAUAUAGUGAAUGCAGAGUGUGUGUGUAUAGUGAAUGCAGUGUAUUUGUGUAGUGUGUGUGUAUAUAAUGCAAAGUGUGUGUAUGCAAUUUGUGUAAAAUGGGGGAGGGGGAAGGCAUUUUUAAUGUUAUUUUGAAAAAAAAUUAAGUGUAAAUCUUGCGGCCAGUGUGACGCGCGGAGUGUUGCCAUUGUAACCCGUGGCAACGCUCUGACGGCCACGGGACUCCCAAGAUUUAGACAGGGGUGGCUGAAGGGAGCUGCUGGGAAGGUAAGUAAGCGCUUGCUGGGCCCCCUGUGGACCACCGGGCUUGUCAUCAUGACGGUCCUGGUAUGUAUUAUCGGCAAUAUCGGUAUCUUUAUUAGCCGAUACUAAUAUUGCCGAAAAUACUGAAUAUUGGCUGAUAAUAUCGGCAAGACCGAUAAUUGGUCAAUCCCUAUAAUGUAUGUGUGGCUAUAGGCUGUAAAGAGUGUGUGUGUGUGUAUAUAUAGGAGAUGUAGCAAGUGUAUGCAUAGGGGCUGUAGUAUAUGUGUGUGUGUGUCUAUAAGAGAUAUAAUGUGUGUGUGUGUGUUCAGGAAAAGUAGUGAGGGGUGCAGUGUGUGUGUAUGUGAAGGGUUGCAGUGUGUGCGGGGGGGAUCAGUGUGUGUCUGAUGUGCAGUGUGUGUGGGGGGGGGGGCGUGGGUAUAUGCAUUUUUUUUAAAUUGAAAAAUAUAUAUAAGAGUGGAGCAAUUUGUUGAAAAGUGACAAUUUAGUCAAUCUCCCCCUGAAUCUCUACAGGUGUAGAAAGGUUUAAGUAAAACAAAAAGCAAUACUUAAUCUCCAGGGAAGAGUCUUCCAUACAUAGAUCUCUCAAAGCAUGUAGGAAAAAAAACAUUAAAAAGAGCAAAUAAUAGUGCAGAUUGUGGUAAAUGUAUUUCAAGAUAUUAUACCCCAAACAUAGAGGGCUAAGGAAAUACCAUAAGACAGUGAUUUUAACAAGCUGAUAGGAAAAGAGCAAAUAGUAAUACAGAUUGUACUUAAAUGUAUUCUGUGGCAAACCUAGCCACUUUUGCAUGUGUGGAUAUUAGAAGGUUUGCUGGCUGUGAGAACCAAGUGUAAUGUGGUAUGGAGCGUUCAUGCAAACAAGAGCGUUCGUAUGCUUGUAAUACGUGAAACCCAGCAUUGCCUAUGCAGUUUCACGAACAGUGAGUUUAAACAAUGAACCUACCGAACGGUCGACCACACACAGGAGGUCGUGUGGCGCCCAUUAACCGAUUGCAACAUUGUUGCAAUUGGUAGUUAUGCAAUCGGUAGUUAGACUUCCCUAGGUGGCCGUCGUUCGGCUACCGACCACGCGGCGGUCGACCAUCUUGAUUCCUUUGUUAGCCCAGUGGGGUUUUGCCGUCGUGCGCCUGGAACUAAAAACGGCUACUCGACGGCGCGAACCCCGCUGGACUUCCAGGCCGUUCGGGAGUCCCGGCCGUUCGGUAGUUUGUUCCCCUAAUAUCAAUCGCUAUUUUAACCGUAUGUUGGAAAUAAUGUGUAUUUCGUACGGCGUUCGGUUAGUUAGACAGGGAGCUGAGCGCUAUUUCUACGAACUAUGCGCUCAGCCUCCAGCUAUCUACCGAAUGUCCAUUCGUGUAAAUCAAGUGAAUAUUGUUAAAGUUAUGGAUUUUUAUGUAAAAUGUAAAUUCUGCUGCACGGAGGGAUAAUCCCAUUAACUGUAUAUUCCAGUGGGAGUAUCCCUCUCAUCCAGCAGUGCAUGUUGGGAGAAAUGUAUGUGUUUGGCAGUUCCCCAUGUAGUCCCCUACUGUACAACCCCUGUAAUGUCAGUAGGGAAACCCCUUGCAUGGGGAAUCCCAUAAAUACAGUGUCCUGUGAAUAAAACCUCAGUUGACUCCCAGCCUAUGUGUCGUCUAGUUCUUGGGAAGGAAGGAUUACUACAACGCUACCGGGAUUAUUGUAUGCUGUAUUUAUUCACCUGGAUUAUUUUAUGCUGUUCCUGUUACCCAGCGGAGAUAUUGUGGAUUAUACUGCCUCUCCGCUACAUAUUUCCAGAUAUUGUACCCCAAACAAAGAGGGCUAAGGAAAUACCAUAAAGCAGUGUCUUAAUUCUAAGACACUUUAGGUAAAGGAUUUAUUAUCACAGAUAAUUAAAACCUGCAAUAAAAAUACAUAGAAGCAAGUUUACAAAAACACAUAGCUAGAACUACUAACAAACUGACUCCUACACAAAAGAGAUGUAAGUUAGGCACGGCUUCCGCCGUUACUCACUGCCAGGCUCGUAAUCAAUAAAGUGCUGGGGUGGCUGUCCUCAAAGGAUGUGGCUGGAGCCGAAGCGCAGGUUUCCCAGAGCUGGAAUCAAGCGUGUUUGCCCCCUGGUGCCAACGUGUAAGUGUUUCUCCGGUUACCCGGCUUCCUCAGGACGUGAUGUGCUGCCGUGGCCAUCUUUAUUGAGGGUUUUUACAGCCCCCAAUUACCAGUUCAAAUUUUUCAAUUAGUCAUUUGCAUAUAAAAUAACAAUCAUUUCAGUGGCUGCUCUACUUUUUCAGCAUACAGCAUCAAAGUCAGAGUUAAUUAACAUAAAAUACACUUAAAGCAACAUACAGCAUAUAUAAAACAGUCUAAAAUACAGCUACAUUUAAUAAUUUAUUAUUGCAUUGAACAUAUAAAAAGAUAAAAAAAAACAUCAAAUUAAGCAAAGAGAAAAUGCUAAAUUAAGUUUAAAAUGAGAGAGUUUCUGGAAUUAAAAGAAAAAACAUCAUUAUUAUACAGAUACACUUUAAAUUCGUAGUAUGAAAUAUAGAGUGACUGUGUGUAUAUCACAAAACCAUUCCAGGGACAUUCAUAGAGGCAUACAUAAAAGAUAAUAAUAGGAGUGGACAGCCAAGAAGUGAGUAAAUUCUUAAAGUGGCAGUGCUCAUAUAUUAAAGAAUGUAUUAAAGUGGCAGUGCUCAUGCACAAUACAUUGUAUUCUUUACUCACAAUGACUUGCAUUGAAAAUCUUAAGAGUAGAUGGAUUUUGCGAGGAUUACAGAUAAAGGGACAGAUGACACUUGUUCCUGGGCAUUUGCCUGGUUUGCCGAUAGCCAGUUCAGGCCUGUUGUCAUCUCUAUUAAAUUGUAUGGGUGCACUGUCCCUGACAUUUUUUUUCCUGCAAUGUUAAACAUUGCCAUUUGUGUAGAAACUGCAAAGUUUUCAUUGCAGGGUUGAACACAUCUCGAAUAGCUAGCUUCCUGACAGCUACUAGAAGUGAUUUAGCUGAAUAACCAGGUUAGGCUCGGUUAUUUAAUCAAAUGCUGCUCAUAGACAGCAUUUUAUUGGCAGAGUAUGGUGAUUUGCUGUGCAUUCCCAUUAGCCCCCCUCAAUGCUUCCCUAAUUUGAAGCAUUUGAUUGAUGACCUCAGCCACAGAAGCAGGGCUUCCAAGGCGAGACAAAUUCAGAAAGGAAGUAAAUAUAAGUACCUUUUAAACAUUGGGGGGCAGGGGGGAUUGUAGGGGAUUGGUUAUCUAUUUCCAAAAACAUAAGAUAAAAUUGGGACUACUAUAUUUUUCCUACGCCUGACACUUGUUCACACUAGGCGUAGCUACCGUCAUCAAGAAGGGUCAAUCCCCCAACCGUCAGGGAAUUGACUCUAUCUAUGGAGGAUCCUGCAGGAUUUCAAUGCUGCAUGCCCGAGACCAGGGGCGUACCUAGAGCAUUUGGCACCUGGGGCGGAUCCUGUGCUUGGCACCCCCUUGCCCCCAAAAAAAUGUAAGAAAAUGUAAAUGUUUCCUUGUUUUUUUUACAUUUGUAAACUUUGCAAAACCGCUGUCAGCCCCUCCUACAAAACCCCUGUCCUGCCCCUCCUACAAAACCCCUGUCCUGCCCCUUCUACAAAUCCUGUACUGCCCCGUCUACAAAACCCCUGCAACCUCCUUCCACAAAUCCCCUGCUUAUCCCCCCUUAUAAAGACUCCUGUCCCCUGCCCCCUUUUACAAAAUCCCUGCAGCCCCACAGACACAUUUACAUGCAUACAGUCACACGAAAACAUUCACGGGGUGUCAGUCGGUAACAAGGAUUAUAAACUCAUCUUAUUCGCUGAUGAUAUCCUUCUCACAAUUACUCAACCAUUUAUAACGCUUCCAUCAUUACAUAAAGAACUGCAGUCCUACAGUCAUAUUAUAAGCUAAAUAUAACGAAAACUCAAGCAAUGUGUCUCAACACAUCUAAAUUCACAGAUGAAAGACUGAAGGGAAGUUACCUCUAUGACUGGAGAGAAGAUUUAGUAUUUCUAGGUAUCAGAAUAACUAAAAAAGAAAAAGAUCUUUUUUCAGCUAACUAUACGAAGUUACUGAAGGAAAUUGAUCACCAACUAAAACCAUGGAAGAACCUGUUUUUAUCCUGGGUAGGGAAAAUAGCAGCACUUAAAAUGUCAAUCCUACCUAAGAUUUUAUAUCUCUUUAGAUCCCACAAAAAUAUAUAACGUGUAUUCAAGCAACUAUGGUACGUUUUAGUUGGGGCAGUAAACACCCGCGAGUCCCUAAAGCAUUAUUCAUGAGAAGUGUGAAGAAUGGAGGUAUGGGGAUACCAAACAUAAAAGCAUAUUAUCAUUCUGCAAUACUUAUUAACGUCAUCAGCGCCCAUUCAACCAUCUAUACCCCUCAAUGGGUGGCAAUAGAAAAUACGUACUGUGGAACACAAGAUCUCUCGACACUGUUAUGGAAACCUCAACAAUUGAGACAAGUAAGCUAAAAUAUGCUACCCUCCACUAAACACCUUUUCAAAAUCUGGGAUACCUACAGAGACAAAUUAUGUACGGCUUACCCAUGGGCUCUACUCCAAUCAAAAUUUUAUACUCCUGUAAUAGGACGUUCCCAUAUCAGAAAUGGGAAAAAGCAGGAAUUACACAUGUAUUUCACCAAUGCACUAUAGAGGGUCUUAAAUCUUUUCCGAAUCUACAAAAGGAGUUUACAUUACCUGCGAGCUAUACAUUCGCAUAUCUUCAAAUUAAAGCAAUUCUAGACAUUGAUAAGGUCUGCAUAAGAGCAGAUACAAUGCAAUCUUCCAUAACGAAGCUUGAAGAGCAAUGUUUGUCGUUGUGCUCUCCGAAAAGGUCAUUAUCCAUAUGUUAUCAAAGCCUAGCUAAUCCUGUUGCAAAUGCAAAUUGGAAAUUGAUGCAAGACUGGCAAGAAGAUCUUCAAGUGAAUAUUCCUUUGAGGGAAUGGGAACAUAUCUUUAAUGCUCAUACGGGACUAACUACAUGCACUGCGCAUUUUGAAGCAGCAAGGAAAAUAAUGUACAGGUGGUACAUGGUUCCUGGACGUCUACAUACUAUGUUCCCUGUAACAUUGGCCAUGUGUUGGCGCUGUCACACAGAUAAAGGCACCAUGUUACAUGUCUGGUGGACAUGCGAAGCGGUGAAUGUAUUAUGGAAGGAUAUUGAAAGAAUAAUAAAACAAGUUACUAACCAGCAGUUAUCUCAUGAUCCAAAAACAAUACUCCUUUGAUCACUUCCAACCAAUAUCCCUAAAGUGACCAAGAAAAUUAUACUCCUUUUACUGAGCACAGUGUCUAUACUAAUUGCUAGACACUGGAAGACUAAUGAUUUACCUUCGUUACAGGAAAAUGAAGAUGUGAUGUCUUCUACAGCAGAAUAUAAACUUUUAAUGUGGAACCAAAGAAAAAUAGGAAAACAGAGCCCCCAAACAACCCAAAUGUGGCGAACAUACCUUCAAUCUACUAACGAGAAUUAGCCAAGUACACUUAGAUAACAUAUGAGCAAUUUAAUGUUUUUAUAUAAAAACAUCUAAAAUUUAAGUUAUGUUAAUACGACACCAUAGAAUACUUUAAUUUGGUAUAUGUCUGAGCAAGAAAUAUAAACUAAUAGAUCAUUAAUCUGGUAUUAUAUCAGCUAUAUUGCAUUAAAAUGAGGCGUUUACACGUGCAAAUUAUUAAUUGAGAAUCUUUUUUGACUAUAUACACCGAGAUAAAAAAAUGGAGUUCAUAUUUCAAAUAAGCUAUUGAGUUCAUAUUAAACUAAUCAUGAUUCCAACCCAGAACAUGGAAACCUUGAUCAUAUGUAGAUAAAGAAUAUAUAUUAGACAAUUAGCAAUUGGUUUACAUGUUAGCUGUAUCAGGAAACCUUUGUCCCCCCCUCCCUUCAAUGGGGGUUUCUUCCUUUUUUUCCCCUGCCCCUGCCCCCCUUUGUUUUGUUUUUUUUCUCUUUCUUUUCUUUUUCUCUUUCGUAACAAAGAGGCUCAGAUUAAAUAAGUUCUUGUUAAAAUAAUAAAUAACUUCUUACUAGCUGUUCCCUGGUUAGUAAGGAGAAACGUCAAAGAGAAUCACUUUUCUGAAUAUUCUAGAUUAAAAGGAAUGUUGUAAUAUAUAAUUUUAACAGUAAAAUAUGUUAAAAAUAGAUAUGUAUCAACUGAGUAAUACAAUUUUCAUUAUAAGUAGAAUACAAGAUCUUAUUUCAAGAUAUGUAAUGCGAUAACCGUGCCUUCUUUUGUACCCUUCCCUUUUUUUCUUUCUGUAUCCCCUACUUUAUAUUAUGAAAUACAAUAAAAAGUAAAUUACAAAAAAAGAAUUGUUAGUCCAAUAAAAAAGGUAUCAUAGCAUACUGCAAUACUGGUAUUUUGGCAUUCUGUAUAUAUAUCACUCUAUAUUUGUGUAGUCUAUCAGAACUAAGAUCCUGUGGGACUUUCAGAUACAGACAGGCAAGCAGGUAUUGGCCAUCCAACCUGACAUUGUGAUGGUAGGCAAGGAACGGUACACUUCAGUUGUGGUGGAUGUUUUAAUACCCAGUGACCAUAACAUCAGGAAGAAGGAACAUGAGCAGGAGCUAGAAAUGUUGCAGAAAGUGAAGGCAGUAGUAGUCCCAGUUGUGAUAGGAGCACUUGAGGCUGUGACCCUCUUGUUGGGAAAGUGGCUUCUGCAGAUUCCAGGUGGGAAAUCUGAGAUCACCUGCAAUCUGCUGUCUAGAAGAGUGCAGUUCUAGGAACAGGUAAAUUACAGUGCAGGACCCUCAGUUUCCAGGGCCUCUGGAAGAGGACCCGCGAAUUGAGUAAGCACAAAAAUCAAACGUAGGAAGCUGACUGGACUAAAGAGGACAAUGGCCAAAGCUUGUGACAUCUCUCUCCAUCAGCCCACUUGAGCUCCACAAUGUAUAAUUAUAAGUAUAUGCACACUAAGGUUCUCCCAGGUGUCUGAGGUAUGUCCAGAUGUGCUAGUCACACCUGUGGGCCUCUUCUUAUUUCUUCACCACAGUUCCUUCAGACAGGGUGAGUCAGGGGUCAUCAGAGGAAUGUUUCUUUAUUAGUUACACAGCGCUAAAGGUGUCAGAGGUAGGGGAAACUGACAUGUAAGUUAAGGUUCGACCAACAUGAGGUUUUGGUUUACACAAGGAUGAUAGAAGACAGGAGAAUAACUUAAAAGUAAGAAAGAUCAACAUAACAAAUACUGUAAUAAGCAAAAAGUAUAAUAUUUUCUUGAUUAGCAGGUUUAGCCAUGUACCCAAUCCAAAGGUCCAAUUCCAUUCCUCAAAGAACCCAGUAUCUUGCUUAAUGUCAUUUACUAGGUUAUGCAGGUCUUGUAUGUGUUCAUGGAUCGUGGUCCCAUGAUCUGAGAGUUUAAAACAACACAUACCCUUGACGGCCUCACAUCCUAAAUCAUUCUUCAGUAAUAGUAGUCAAUGGCUGCCCUGUUUUCAAGGAUUGCUUUCUUAUUAGCUUGGGCAUCCAUUAGAAGCCCUUGUAAGGUCUGGGAGUUUGCAUUUAAACCUUUUGCAAGGGAGCAGGCAAGGGCAUUUAUUACUUUAGCAUUGUACACUGCCAGUCCGGGGACUCCUACCAAGGAAACUGCUAGAGCAAUAAAAAAAAAUUAGUUGGUCCAUUGACCAUCAUAGGGUAUAGAUCAGUGAUGGCGAACCUAUGGCACGCGUGCCACAGGUGGCACGCCGGGCCCUCUCUGUGGGCACGCGGCCAUAGGUUCACCAUCAAUGCAGAGUAGGCACAUGCCUGCCCAAAAUGGCAGGCGCCUACUCUGCUUUCUUGUCGGCAGGACCGGAAGCAGGGGGAGGGAUCGAGGAAGCAGCUCUCCUGUCCUCCCUCGAGCUGUGUGGAGCGUUGCCGCACGUUACCAUGGCAACGCUCCACACAGCAUUGCACUGGAGGACAGGAGAGCUGCAGACUCCUGUCCUACAUACUUACCACCACCAGACCACCAGGGAUGGCUGUGUUCCCCACCUCCCUUUUACUAAAGGUAAGAAGAAGGGAGGGGGGAAUACUGAAUCAAUAUGCUUUAAAAAAAAAAAGUUUUUAAUGUAUCUUCAAACCCCCCCAACACAGCACCCCUACCCCUCCCCCCAACACAGCACCACCCCAACACAGCACCCCUCCUCCCAACACAGCACGCCCACCCCUCCCCCCAACACAACACCCCUCCCCCCAACACAACACCCCUACCACCCCAACACUGCACCCUUGCCCCCCACACAGCACCCCUGCCCCCCACACACCUACACCUACACAUAGCACCCCUGCCCCCACACACAGCACCCCUACCCCCACACAGUACCGUGUCCCCACACCCUGCCCCCACACACAGCACCCCUGCCCCCCCCCACACAACACAGCACCUUACACACAAACACAUACACUGCACCCCUCAAUGCAGUAUAUGUGUGUGUAUUCAGCAGUCUUUAUGUAUUCAGCAGUGUGUGUGUGUAUUCAGCAGACUGUGUGUGUAUGUAUUCAGCAGUGUGUGUAUUCAACGGACUGUAUGUGUGUAUGUUUGUGUGUGUGUGUGUAUUUAGCGGACUGUAUGUGUAUUUAGAAGUCUGUCGGUGUGUGUAUGUAUUAAGCAGUCGGUGUGUGAAUGUGUUCAGCUGUCUGUGUGUAUGCAUUGCAUUUCUUGGAGAUACUAAUAAAUAUAAGCUUAAUUUUAUCUAUUUAUAUCAUUAUUUAAAAUUUGUAUCAUUGAACUCUCUGUUGUGUUCUUCUUUUAAAACAAAAGAUGUUAACUAGUUCUGACAACUGUACAAGUUGUUUUUUCUAAACUUAAACCUCAGUAUUCAUGUUUAAUUGCCUUGUUGGCACUUUAAGGAAAAACAAGUUGGCAUGUAUUGCGGUUUGGGCACUCGGGCUCAGAAAGGUUCGCCAUCACUGGUAUAGAUGGUAACAGGAUUGUCUAGGACAGGGGUAGGCAACCUUUCAGCAACACUGUGCCGAAAUAGAAUUGUGAUGUCCCAUAGAGUGCCGGCCUUAUUUUUUUUAAAUUGAGGUGUGCAUGUUGCCAUAUUCUGCUUGUUAUUUAUACUGCAGUUGCUUUGUAUCAUUGUAUUUGUGUGUAUAUGAGCUAUUAUAUUGUAUAUGUUCAUGAGUAGUGGGGUUGUGUGCAUGUAUGUGGAUUGUUGGUGGUGUUGAGUUUGUGGGGUUUGUGUGUGUGUUUGUGUGUGGGCUGUUCGUAUUAUUUGUAUGAGGGCAGGGCCGGACUGGUGAUACAAAGCAGCCCUGGAAAAAAAAUCUAUGCCAGCCACUUAAGUCAUUGCGCCAUAUAUUGUCGCAUGUAAUAUGUAAGGCUAUGUCUUGCCACCCCAGAUGAGUAACUAUAUAUAUAUAUAUAUAUAUAUAUAUAUAAAAAAUAUAUCAAAUAUAUAUUGCUUUUUCUAAUAUAAAAUAUUGGUCCUUUCAGAGUAAAAUGUUGAAUUAUACAGUUAACAUACUCACAUGCAGACACAGACAGACAAUCUCACUGACACACACAAGCUCAUUGAUACACAGCCUCAUCGACAAACAAACAAUCUCACUGACAUACAUAAGCUCAUUGACAUAAAAACACAAGCUCACUCACUAGCAGGCGCACACACACAUGCAAGCAAGCUCACUCACUAGCAGGCGCGCACACACACACAUAGCUUAAUGUAGUGGUUCUGGUGUCUAUAGCCUGUCAAUGCAGGCUUUUCAAUGUAAACACUGACUUUUCUGAGAAAAGGCAGUGUUUACAUUGCUUCCUGGUGACAUCUCUAAUGACACACACAGACGGUCACUAGAUGUGCUUCCUGUGUCAGUGCUGCACAGUGUGCAGCACCUACAUUCAGGGCCUUCACACUCUGGAGGCCUUGAACGUUUCACAUAGAGAUACAUUGAUUCAAUGCAUCUCUAUGAGGAGAUGCUGAUUGGUGUAAUGUGUUGCAGCCAAUCCUAUGGCAAAGCAUUGGAUCGGCUGAGAUCAUCAAGCUUGAUGAUCUCAGCCAUAGAAGCAGGACCAGUCAAGGGGAGACCAGCACGGCGUAAAAAAAAACCAAACAAAAAAAGUGAGUAAAACACUAUUUUUAAAACACACACACAGACAAACACCAUGACAGACACACACAAACAUACCAUGACAGACACACCCACACCUUGACAGACAGACACACACACACACACACUCACUCACACUGACAGACUGACUAACAUAAUGACUACCUGUGGGCGACCGGCCAGGGAAUCGUGCAGGGCAGACAGCUGUCUGUGCUGGCGGCCGCAGGGGGAGCUGUGCUUGCGGCCGCAGGGGGAGCUGUGCUGUCUCUGCUCUGCUCCCCAGCGUGCAGCUUAAUGAGACCGGGGCCGGAAUAGGACAUCAUAUUCCAGCCCCCGGUCUCAUUAAGUAGUGCGCGAGGGCUGGGGAGCAGAGCAGAGACCGCGCAGCUUCCCGUGCAGCCACCAUCACAGCUCCCCCUGCGGCUGCCAUCACAGAUCCCCCUGCGGCUGCCAGCACAAACAGCUGUCUGCCCGGCCCCAGGUGCCGACGGCCCAAUGGGAAAUUUCCAGUCUGGCCCUGUAUGAGGGGAGGGUUAUUCUGCAUCUCUGUGUAUAUCUAGCAGCGUGGGUGGCUUCCCUAGGUUCCCGUGGAUCAGGCUGGCCAGGUACAGUUCAAGGACAGGAGCUGCAACAGAAGCUGUGGGCUCCUCUACUACAGUGUGGAUUCCUAUUCACAAGUGCUGGGAGGAAGUGAUCUGAGGUCACUUCCUCUACAUGCUGCAAUGCAUAAUUUGAGGAUUGUCCUUCACCAUAUUUUCGUAUUAGCAGAUAAGUUUCACUGGGACUCCUGAUAGGUCAGAGCCUGUUUGGCUCUAGCAGCUUUGAGUGCCGUGCAAAGACACCUUGAGUGCUGUGCAUGGCACACGUGCCAUAGGUUCCCUGGUCUAUGACAAUGUCUGUAGCAUUGUCCAAAAGAGCUACUGCUCUUACAGAAGAAGGGGCACUUCUGGCACCUGGGUCUACCCUGGUAGAGUAGUAGGCAUUAGGCCUUUGUUUACCACCAUGGUAAAGGACAGCUGUUGCAUAACCAGCCUGCUCGGUGCAAAACAGGGUGAAGGGUUUCCUGUAAUCUGGAAGACCCAGUGCCUGGAGCUGAGAUGACAAGGAACUUAAAAGGUUUAAAAUGCUUCUUCUGCUUCAGGAGUUAAAUGAAAGGGUUCACAGGUGAGGCAGUCAUACAAGGGCUGCGUGUAGAUUGCCAAAGAGUGAAGCCAUGGACGACAAUAGGAGACUAGGCCAAGGAAUGUACGUAGUUGGGCUAGGCUGCGUGGAGGGUUAAUCUUUUGAACUGCAUGUUUCCUGUCUUCUGUGAAAUGCUUUGUACCAUGGGAAAUAUAAUGUCCUAAAAAGAUAACAGUGGGAACACAUGCCUGCAGUUUGGCCUUGGUAGCUUUGCAUCCUGCUUGUGUCAAGAAUUUUAGUAACGACAGGGUGUACUCUGUACAGGAUUCCUGAUCCGGGCAACAUCAAAGCAUAUCAUCAACAUAUUGUAACAACACAACAUCAUCUGCCCUUGGCCAGGCUUCUAGAAUGUUGGCCAUUGCCAUGCUAUACAUGGUAGAUGAUUUUUGAGCACCUUGGGGCAAAACCGUCCAUAUCUAUUGUUUGUGUUUAUGUGUAAAUGCAAAAGGAAAUUGACUGUCUGAGUGCAAGGGAACAGAUAAGAAUGCAUUUGCCAGGUCAAUGACAAUGGUAAACACGUUUGACGAAGGUGAAAUCUGUGACAACAGUGUAUGAAGGUUGGGGGGAAUUAGUUGGGUCAUGGCAUUAAUUACCCUUAAAUCAUGUACCAUACGAUAAACCACAGGUUUUCCUUUCUCCUGUUUCUUCUUAACAGGGUACAGGGGGUAUUACAAGUGGAGGUGGUGGCAACAAUUACACCUGCCUGUAAUAAUUCAUGUAUAGAUGUGAAAUGGCAUCAUCUUGUGCUGGACUAAGGGGAUAUUGUUUUUGAAAGGGAGGGGUAGCUCCUGGUAGGAGAUUCAUCAGCAUAUCUGGAACCAUCUGGCACAGAGAGUCUGCCUCUGUCUGUCUUCCCUGUGGCCGAUAAGGAGUCAGGGACUGAGGUCAGGUCAACAGUAGGUUUAGUCAUGGGGCUGGGCAGAGUAAGAUUAGCUAGGAAGAUUAGCAAGGGGGAUUAGCAAGGGGUAGCAAGCAAUUGUCCUCUAGGGGCAGGAACAAUGAUACCUCUCCAGACGGACUGAACGGAAUGUUGGCAUUAAUAGCAAACAGAAUAUCACUGCCUAGCAAAUUGACAGGGGCUUUAGGGCUGACAAGCAAUCUGGUAACGAGAGAGUUCGAGUCAUGGAGCUUAAGCUUCAUCUGGUGGUUGAGUGAGAUAUCUGCUGGGUGUCCAUCUACACAUGACAGGACAUCACUUGAUUUUUCAUAGGGAAAAUGUAUUUUUCCUGUACAACAGAACGGACUGCCCCAGUGUCUAGAAGAAAUGGGACUAUUCUAUCACCUGUUAAUGUAACAUUAACAGUAGGAGAGGGUCCAGCUACAUCAGGAAUAGUUAAAGCGUGCAGGGACACUGGGUUGUCAAUUUCCUAUUGGGGCAGGGGUGGUGGGAGUGUCACAUCAGUCAUCGGAACUGUUCGGCUGGUUCCUACUUUUAGGAGGACAUUUACAGUUGCGCUUAAUAUGUCCCUUUCUCCCACAAUUCCAACACUCAACCUGUCUCCUUUCUGCACAUGAUCUGGGUGCAGUUAAUGCCGUAAGGGGUGUACUCCUUUUCCUUUUAAAUUAGGUUGACUUUUACACCCAUUGCUACUUUGCCUAGGGAGCCAUAGUCGAGGUUUCUCCACUCUGGGCUAGCAUUUUCGAGACCUGUCCUUAUGUAGGCGUGGAGACCAUCCAUACAUUUUUUCAUCAAAAGGUGGGUGGAAGUCACUUCAGUUUCUGUAUAGCCUAAUGAUUCCCAUGCUAUUUGUAACCUGACAAAAAAACUUUUCUACAGAUUCAUCCUUUCCCUCUAUGAUUUCUCCCAGUUUAUGAGCUAACUCCUCAGUUUUUACUUUUGCCCAAUCUUUAAGGGCAGUAACAUAAGAUUUCCCUGAAGCCAACUUAGAUCUAAACCAGUAUUCAGUUUUAGGGGAUUGGUUUCGCCCAUUUCCACUUUUUAAAUCCUCUUCAUGGACAUCCGUAUACUGUGCAAUUAUUCUUGUCAGAUAUUUGCUUUAAGUCCGCUCAAGUGCACUGGUAAGGAUCUUGGAUUGUGGACAGGGUUUGGACUAAAGCUAAUGGGGCUUUUUCCACAUCUGGCAACUGUUUAAUUAUAGUCAGUUGUUCACUUGGGGUCCAUGGUUUUUACUCUUCUGUGAUCCUUGUUUGCAGGUAGCACGGUCCUCUAGGGCAAAAACAUGCACAGUCCUUGUAAUUGCAUAUACUCAGGCACUUUAUUUUGUAAAUCCACACAGGAUACAGCAGUAAAUGAAAACAAAUGUAACAGAAAACCCUAUAAACAAAAAACUAGCUCGUCUGAGCACUAACUGACAUUAGGUUCCCUAUCUCUCAGGGUUAAACUAAACAAAACAAUAUUGCACCAACCUUAUUAGAGAGCAACACUCUGCUAGCUAGCCUGUUGCUUUCGUUUCUGCACUCUCAGUGCUCCAAGCCAGCCUUGCCCUGACUGCUUUCCUUUCUGCACUCCCAGUGCUCCAAGCCAGCCUUGCCCUGACUGCUUUGCUUUCUGCACUCCCAGUGCUCCAAGCCAGCCUUGCCCUGACUGCUUUCCUUUCUGCACUCUCAGUGCUCCAAGCCAGUCUUGACUGCUUCCUCCUGCACUCCCAGUGCUCCAAGCCAGCCCUGACUGCUUCCUUUCUGCACUCCCAGUGCCUAGUCUUCUUGACUAUCUGGAGAGAACAGCCUCUCUCUCUCCUACCUGCUUCCUGGGAGGAAGCCAGCAAUCCCUCUCCAUUACCUGCCUAGCAGGGAGGAGUUUAUUCCCACUGCAACAGCUCAUUAACUGCAGCUGAGCAGUGGGUUGGAGACGAUCCAAAAAACCCUGGCCUGGAUCCAUGUCUCCCCAGAAACCCACUAAACCGUGGAGUGGAGCAUUGGCCCACCCUUCUCUCCAAAUGCUCCACCCCAGGGGCCCAUAACUAAACAAAGCUUUGGGUUGUGCAACACAAAAAACUACACCUACUUCCCCUGGGGUUAAAAGGCCUAUCUGCCUUCACUUUAUCACACUUCCCACCGCUACACCCAGGAUUCACCCUGACUAGGACUCUUGCCCUGUCCCUGUUUAACUUUAGUCUGUUUAGGGGUGCCUCCAUUUGCUCCCUCUUGUUCUGGUUCAAUGUCACCAGGGUAAUUAUAAGUUUUUCCACUACGUAGUACAACUGGAAAAAAGAGUCUAUGGGAGUCUAUGGGACUUGAUCACUUGAUUCACCUCAGGGUGAAUUAAAGUAUAUAAAGGGGGCCAAUGAAACCAAAAUCCCCUCCAUUUUUCCUCCCACCAGGGAUUUGUCCAUUCUCACCUAGGGCAAGUCUAUUAUGGCUUUUGGGUGACCGGGUUUACGGUAGAUAUGGAGGUCUGUGCUUUAGGGACCGACUUAUGGACGGUUCCUUCCUUCAGGCUCCCUUUUGGGGUUUUCCUGAUUAGAUGACCCUAAGGGUCAAACAUUGAUAAUAAGGAAUUCCUUUCUUAGUGGUUUCUCUACAACCACAUUUAGUUAAUCCAAAUGCAGUGUCAUGCCAUUUUUGGGCUACCUCUACCAAAUUAUUAUCUUCUAACCAUCCUCUAUAAUUGGCCAUGAUCUGGGGGUCCAAGGUGCCCUCUGAGGGCAUACCAGCUUUCUUUGAUAAUUUAUUCAUUUUCUUAGUAGCUCCUUUUUCUUGAUGAUUGGGUACUUUGUAAGUUACCCAUCUUAUAUCCUAUAAGGAGUAAUUACUUCCUUAACCAAGACAAGACUGUUUAAACACUUAGGACCACUGCAGUGGAAUUUUCACAGUAUUUGUCUUCUUUUUAAAAAUUCUUUAUUUUUGAGUGCACAAAGAAAAAGCAGUUACAUAUGUGUUUGCCAUGCCCCAACAGCAUGUACACACAAUAUAAAAAUGAACAUCGAUUUAGUAAGGCAUGGCAUGGGAACACAAUGCACUUUUUUAAUAUAAUGACAUGAAGACUAGUUUGAAACAUAACUAGUUGUGAAGUGAGAACUAAGAAUGCAAGAAACAACAUAAUAUGGUAGUUGGUCAGCAUUAUUCACAAACUACACAUUUUAGAAUUUAUGUAGAGUAGGAGACCUGUUAGUCAAAGCUGUCUAAGCAUUAAGAAACAAUAGGCUACUAUAUUCAAGAAUAAAGUAAUAGAUUAAACUGUGUUCCUACAACUUUUACAUAGUAGAUGCUGUUAGUAAGAUAACGGCACAAGGGUACAGAGGACCUCGUCAACAAGUUGCCUAGCACUGCAUUUCACUAUCUAUUCUUUUUUUUUUUGCAUAUUAAUACAAACAGGCCUGAGUUACCCCAACGGCAAUCCUCAGGCUUCGUGAAACAUUGGAUAAGGCAUGCACUUUUUGUUUGUUUGCUAUAAACAGGAGAUAAACAGGGUGGUACAAUUCCUAGGUAGGUCUAUCCAGCUGAAAAUCAUGGUGCAGGCGUACAGUGGCGAGUUUGGCUAGGAGUCUUGCUAGGUUAGGCCUAGGUCAGGCUCCGCCCACGUUUCUCCCCUGCCGUCACCAGUGGGGUAGACCUAAUGCGCAUGCACAGCAAUGGCUGCACUUGCAUUAGGAUUUCCCCAUAGGAAGAUCUGACACUGGAGGUCAUCAUACAGCGCACGAGGACGUCCUGCGUCAGAUAACGGACCAAAGGUCCGUUUGGAUUCCGGAAGCCCUCUUGUGGCUGUCUGGUAGACAGCCACCGAGGGCAGAAUUAGAACGUGGUUUCCAUUCCUGGUUCACGAGAGUGCAUUUUCUUGUCCUGUUUUUGAUAUUCCCGGUAUUUUGAUCUUGGCUAUUCCUGACUAUUCUGGUUUCCCUGACUUGGCUUGUUAAAUGAUAUUGUGAUAUUGUGUAAUCUGGCUUCCUUGACCUCGGCUGUCCCUUGACCAUUCUCUGUCUUUAACGUAUUAGUCCGGCCAUUUUAAGGACCGGUUUACAUUCUAUCCUUUUCUGUUCUGUCUAUGUAGAUGUUGCAUAGUUCUGCGUGCUGGACCACACUAGCAGUCGUGACACAGACUCCUUCCAAACUGCUGUGAAGGACUGGAAUAAAAAAUCUUAUACAUACAGUGCCUUGCAAAAGUAUUCACCCCCUUAACUUUUUACCUGUUUUGUUACAUUACAGCCUUAAGUUCAAUGUUUUAUUAAUCUGAAUUUUAUGUGAUGGAUCAGAACACAAUAGUCUAAGUUGGUGAAGUGAAAUGAGAAAAAUAAAUACAUAAAACUAUUUUUUAGGAAUAUAAAACAGGAAAUUGGCAUGUGCGUAUGAUAUUUAUAGAGCGCUGUCAAAUUCCGCAGCGUUUUACAAUGGGUGGACGAACAGACAUGUAGUUGUAACCAGACAAGUUAGACACACAGGAACAGAGGGGUUGAGGGCCCUGCUCAAUGAGCUUACAUGCUAGAGGGAGUGGGGUAAAAUGACACAAAAAGGUAAGGAUAGUAUUAGACUAGUGACAGUUGCAGAAGAGGAAUCAGUCAGGAGCUAUUAACAGUUUAAUUGAUACACUUUUAUGAAGAAGUGGGUUUUUAACGAUUUUUUGAAGGAGUGGAGACUGGGUGAGCAUCUAACGGAGGAGGGAAGCGAGUUCCACAGGAACGGUGCAGCCCUCGAGAAAUCUUGAAGGCGAGCAUCAGAGGUGGGAGUACGGACAGAAGAUAGACGUAAGUCUUCAGCAGAUCGUAAGGGCCUAGACGGGACAUACUUGUGUAUAAGGGAGGAUAGAUAGGUGGGAGCAGCAUUAUGUAGAGAUUUGAAAGCAAGAACCAGAAUUUUAAAUUGAGCUCUAUAUUUUAUAGGAAGCCAAUGUAGGGACUGACAGAAGGGUGAGGCAUGGGAGGUGCGGGCGGACAGGAAGAUGAGCCUCGCCGCCGCAUUCAUUAUGGACUGUAAUGGCACAAGUUGGGAGCACGUAACACCACUGAGAAGCGGAUUACAGUAGUCAAGGCGAGAAAGGACAGUGGAAUGGACCAACACCUUAGUCACAUCUGGCGUUAAGUAGGGGCGGAUGCGCGCAAUGUUUUUGAGAUGGAAAUGACAGGAUUUGGCGAUAGAUUGAACAUGAGGCUUGAAGGAGAGGUCGGAGUCAAAGAGAACACCUAGGCAGCGAGCCUGCGUGGUGGAGCUGAUGGUAGCACCGUUGACUUGGAGGCAGACAGACACAGGAGUAACAACACUUGAGGGAGGAAAGACCAGAAUUUCAGUUUUGGUCAAGUUUAGUUUAAGGAAGUGGGCAGCCAUCCAGUUAGAAACGGCAGAGAGGCAGUCAGAGACACUAGUCAAGAGGGACUGGGAGAGAUCAGGAGAGGACAGGUAGAUUUGCGUGUCAUUUGCACAGAAAUGAUAUUGGAAGCCAAAGGAGCUAAUGAGUUUACCAAGGGAGGCAGUAUAGAUGGAGAACAUUGGAAAAAGAGAAAGAAAACUGCGCUAAAUUGCCACAAUAAAAUUAUAAGAAAGGCAGCAAUCCUCAAAGGGGAGUCCCCAAUAAUCCCCUAAUGAUAACAAAUAGCAAGAACAAACAUAGAUAUAAGGAUGCGCCUAAAACUUGAUAAAAUAAAAGACUAAAUUAGUCAGAUAAAAUACAGAAUAAAAUAAGUAAUAAAACAAUAGUCCAAUAAAAUAGGCUUAUCACAGUCCGUGAGGGUAGGUCCCACUUGUAAAGGAAUAUUCUUUAGGGUGUAGGUGGGAUCAUAUCUUCAAAUGUUGAGAAUUCAGCAUAUGUGGAGAGAAAAAUAAAAACAGGACUCCAAUGGCACAGUAGAUCGGUGUAUAAAAUAAAUAUAAAGGUAUUGGACUAUUGUUUUAUUACUUAUUUUAUUCUGUAUUUUAUCUGACUAAUUUAGUCUUUUAUUUUAUCAAGUUUUAGGCGCAUCCUUAUAUCUAUGUUUAUAGAUGGAGAACAGUAGGGGACCAAGGACUGAACCUUGGGGGGGACCAACAGAGAGGAAUUGGGGAGAAGAAGCAGAGCCAGAGAAAGAAACACUGAAAGUGCGCUGGGAGAGGUAGGAGGAGCACCAGGAGAGAGCAAUAUCUUGUAGACCGAUAUUGCGGAGGAUGAGAAGAAGCUGUUGAUGAUCAACAGUGUCAAAAGCCGCAGACAGGUCAAGGAGAAUUAGGAUAGAGUAGUGACCACGAGAUUUUGCAGCGAGUAGAUCAUUGAAUACUUUGGUCAGUGCCGUUUCCACAGAGUGCUUAGCGCGGAAACCAGACUGAAGCGGGUCUAGCAGAGAGUUGGACUCGAGAAAGUCUGUCAAUCUGGCAUACACAAUUUUUUUCAAGGAUCUUGGAUGCAAAAGGCAGUAGCGAGAUAGGACGAUAGUUGGAUGGGGAGUUAGGGUCAAGAUUGGGCUUCUUUAGAAUUGGGGUUAUAGUUGCAUGUUUGAAGGGCAAUGGAAAUAUACCAGAGGAGAGAGAGAGAUUGAGAAUUUUAGUGAGAGGUGGAGAAAGAGAAGAAGACAGAGUAUGGAUGAGAUGUGAGGGAAUUGGAUCUAGGGAGCAGGUGGUGGGGCGGGAGGACUGGAGCAGAGCAGAAACCUCUUCCAAUGUAGUGGGUGCGAAUGAACAUAGAACAGCAGAGGGAGUGAAGUAAGGGGAAGAAGAAAGGUGAGAGAUCUCUUCUCUGAUUGUAGAGAUCUUGUCAGUGAAGUGAGUUGCAAAGUCUGAGGCGGUCAAGUUAGUAGGUGGAGGAGGAACAGCAGGGCGAAGAAGAGAGUUAAAUGUGUGAAAUAGUCGUUUGGGUUCGCGGGAGAGUGUGGUUAUGAGGGUAUUGAAGUAAUUAACUUUUGCAGAGGAAAGAGCCAAGCUGUAUGAGCUCAGCAUAAAUGAUGCAAGUCCUCAAACAUUUCAUGUUAAUUCCAGGUUGUGAGGCAACAAAACACAAAAAAUGCCAAGGGGGGUGAAUACUUUUGCAAGGCACUGUGUAUAUAUGUGUGUGUAUGUGUAUAUGUAUAUAUAUAUAUGUAUAAUAUAGACAAAGAGUCCUUGCACUCAUACUGACCCUAUUAAAUUGCAAUGCCGGGUGCUUAAAUAGCCACAGCCCAAAAAAUAUAAAUAUAGAAAAGGGGGAAUUCUUUAUUGGGAGUUAUUCCAUAAAAUCUAAGUUUCAGCCCACGUCCAGGGCUUUCCUCAGGAUCAACAAACAAUAUAGCACUAACAUAAGUGCUGUAAUAUAUAGCCAAUAAGUUGAAAGUUAAACUCACAGCAUGUGAUCCCUGUUAAUCGCUCAGCGUCUUCCUGUUGCAUGUGCGCAUGCGUGUACACACCUUACCCAGUAAAAAGUAAAAGUAAAAAGAGCAUGACCCCGUUGUCCUAGCAACAAUCUAAUGCCCCGGGCGCCUUAGUAACAACUAUAAACAAAAGAGAUAUAGUGCUGGAAAUAGGAUAUAUAAGAAACGAAUCAUACUAGUGAAGUGUGUCUGACUGGUAAGGAUGAUUGCCGUGUGUACUAUAACCCAUAAUUAAGGAUGUGUGAAUAGUGCUUUUCAAAGAGUUUAUGCUAGGACAUAAUUCUAGGACAUCAAUGACAGUCCCAUAAAAUAAUUAUAAACGUGUAAAGACUGAAAAAAGUCAGAAGUGCCAUGAUAUUGAUUAAAGUGCCAUAAGAUACAGUACAUAAGAUAUACCGUAUUUUUCGCUCCAUAAGACGCACUUUUUUUCCCCUCAAAAGUGAGGGGAAAUGUCUGUGCGUCUUAUGGAGCGAAUUUGUAGCUUUACUUACCAGUCUUGUAGCGUGGGCCGGCAGGACAGCGCGCUCCGCGGUACAGGAAGUUCAGGUUCCGGAUUCCGGCGGGACUGAAAGGAAGUGUGCACUUCCUUUCAGUCCCGCCGGAAACCGGAACCUGAACUUGAAGUUCCUGUACCGCGGAGCGUGCUGUGAAGCCGGCCCACGCUACAAGACAGGUAAGUAAUUAUGUGACAAGGGGAGGGGGACACUAUGGAACAAGGGGAGGGAGGGACACUAUGGAACAAGGGGAGGGAGGGACACUAUGGAACAAGGGGAGGGACACUGUGAGACAAGGAAGGGGGACCCUGUGAGACAGGGGAGGGACACUGUGGGACAAGGGAGGGACACUGUGAUCAAGGGGAGGGACACUGUGGACAAGGAGAGGGUGGGACACUAUGUGACAAGGGGAGGGGGACACUAUGGGACAAGGAGAGGGUGGGACACUAUGGGACAAGGAGAGGGUGGGACAAGGAGAGGGUGGGACACUAUGGGACAAGGGGAGGGGGACACUAUGGGACAAGGGGAGGGGGACACUAUGGGACAAGGAGAGGGUGGGACAAGGAGAGGGUGGGACACUAUGGGACAAGGGGAGGGGGACACUAUGGGACAAGGAGAGGGUGGGACACUAUGGGACAAGGGGAGGGUGGGACACUAUGGGACAAGGGGAGGGGUGGACACUAUGGGAGGGAAAGUGUACUAUGGGACAAGGGGGGGAACACUAUGGGAUGAGAACACUAUUGGACAAGGGGAGGAGGGGUUAACAAUCACUAUGGGACAAAGGAAAGGGGGGUUAAAAUAACUAUGGGACAGGGGAGGGGGGUUAAAGAUCAUUAUGGGACAGGAGAGGGGAGUGGGUGGUAAGGAACAAAAAAUUCCUUAAAAAAAAAAUAUUCUGAACAAACUGUCCCAUAGUAAGAAACACUAUGGAACAGUUCAGAAUAUUUUUUUUUCUGGGUUUCCUCCUCUAAAAGUAGGUGCGUCUUAUGGUGAGGUGCGUCUUAUGGAGCGAAAAAUACGGUACAUUGCAAGAAAAGCCUUUAUCUAAAAUUGUGCCGUGAAAAGUGAAACAGUGCAAAAAGGCAACAAAAUUACCACAAUGUAAACAAGUAUAGACCAUUACCAGUGGGCUGAAUGUAUAGCAAGCAUUAAAAAUUCACAACUCAAUCAUAAAAUUCCAUAAAAAUACAAAUAAAAAAAGUACAAAUGCAGAUAAAAGCUUAUACUAAAGUAAAGAACUAUGAUGGAGAACCGAACUAGCUUUAUUAUAAAAGGUUAAAGAAAUUAAAGUUAACAUAAAACCCCUGAAUGGUUAAAGUGUUAAGAUUUUAAACCCAUUUCAUUUCCUUUCUGCCUAGUAAUUGGGGAGGUCCCCACCUCGCCAAGGGGGGAAACUAUUUCUAUGGCAUGAAAUUUUAAACAACUGGGAUCUUUGUUGUGGGUUAAAAAGUGUUUAGACACUGAAUGGUUAAUGAAGCCCUUUUUGAUGUUUCUACAGUGUUCUGUGGUACAUAUUUUUAGGCUACUAGUAGUCACACCAACAUACUGUAAUUUAAAUGGACAUUCUAAUAAAUAAAUUCCAUGUUUUGAAUUACAAGUAAUAAACUAAUUUUUAUUGUGCUCCUGAGGAGAAUAUCUAGAUUUAAAUGUUACAAUUUUUAUAUUCUCUUUGUUAGUACCUCUGCAUGCUAUGCAUUUUUCAUUUAUAAAACCCUUUCUGUGCAUUAAAAAAAGUGUUUUUCUCGCUGGUUUUUUUUAGUAUAGUUUUUAGUGAGACACAUUUUUAGGUUGCCUACCUCCUCCUCCUGGUACUCCUGCUGCCGCUGGGGAGCGAGACCGGUUGCCUCCUCUCCCUGGGGUUCCAACUGCAGUUGGGGAUCUGUGCCGGUUGCCCAGCAUCCUUGUAGGGCCGGUGGAGAGACCUUGAUCCCAUCUCCACCUGCCAUCUGUGCAUCUUCCCAGGACCAGUCUAUGAGGUCCCUCAACAUUUGAGAAGAAGGACCACCUGCCUCCGCACCCGGUAACUCUGGCCGCUGCUGGGGAUCUGGGACGGCUGCCCAGCAUCCCGGUGGGAAUGGUGGAGAGACCUCGGUCCCAUCUCCACCUGCCUGUUGGGGUUCCUCACAGGACCAGUCUAUGAGGACCCCUACUUCGGGUACCUCUUGUGGCUGCUGGGGAAGGAGACCGGUUGUCUCUUCCCUCUGCACGGUGCACUGCCGCUGGGGAGGGAGGUCGCUGCUCUCCUCUCCAUGUGACUCUGUCUGCUGCUGGGGACAGAGACCGGCUGUCCCGAGCCCCAGUCUCCACAAUCUGAACUCACAUUCCCGUGCUGCUUGGUUCUCCUCAUCCAACUCUUCCAUGAUACGGAUGAUCACCUCUUCCAAAGGGUCUGGGCUAUACUCGACUAGCCGCCUCUUUACCUCCGUGAUGUAAGCUUCGCCCUCAAAUAGGUCAUGUUUGCUUGGCCCCACUCUGGGCCACUAGAUUCUGCUGUAGACAGGGGUGCUGCACGAGUGCUAGCGUCGCCCUCACUUGUAGCUCCGUAACGCUACUGGUGUCUCUGGGCUGCUUCUCCUCACACUAGGACGCCAUCCCCCACUUGUCACUAAAUGUGACGGACCCUCUGGCACUCCGACCGAGUACCUCCGUCAAUCGAUGCUCCUAGUGCUUGCCGAGGACUCCAAGCACUCCAACCGACACCAUCAGCACUGCAGACUUAUCCCAUCCCCCAAGCAUGAGCCAAGGCGUCAAGAAAGGGGCAGAGAGUGUUUGAAAAUAUGACAGUUAUUAAGGGUUUAAACUGGUGUUUUAAGGGGGGGGGGAGGGGGUGUCAAACAAAGUCCAUAAAACAGGGGUUUUCUUCACACUCUGCAUCCGAAGUGCGUUGCAAAACUGCAGAUCCUUUGUCAGAGCAUUUAAAGGGCCAGAACCAGUCUAAUAAAAUCCACUAUGCCCAAAUAACGUAUUUAAAGGGCAAAAUCUGCCAGGGACCAUAGUCAUAAGGCAAUAGGCUGGUAAUUAGUCCUCUCUAGGCACAAGUGGCGAAGGGCACUUCGUCACAGGGACGCUUUUGAGCCAUGGGGGAUAAUGGCAAAUACUAAAAUCUAUAAAUGUGUUUAUAUGUACUUUAAAAAAAAAAAAAAAAAAAAGGUUUUAGUGAGCAGCUGGUUGUUGUCUAUAUAGAUUUCUUAAUCUAAAAAUAGUACCUUACUGGUGCUAAUAUCUCCGGUAUAAGAUAAUAUUUGACCUCCAUUGUGAGUUGGAACCAGAUAAAACUCUCGUCCCAGUCGACCAUGAAAAGGUUAGCGUAACUUGGCGCUACCCUCGUCCCCAUGGCGAUCCCUUUUUGUUGUAAGAAAAAAGAAUCGUAAAACCAAAAAUAGUUGUUUCUUAGAAUGAUGUUCAGGUCCUCCAAAAAAAAACUAAUAAGAGCCUGGGGUGUGUUUCCAUAUUUUUCUAAAAUCCUUUUAAUGGCAGCACAUCCAAGGUCAUAGGGUAUAAUAGUGUAGAGGGACUGGACAUCACUGGUAACUAAAAUGUAGCUUGGUUUUCAUUCAAAUUUAUUUAAAAUUUGUAGGAGACUCAUACUGUCUUUUAGGAAGGAUCUGAUCUUGGAGACAUGGGGUUGAAGACGAGUGUCUAGGUAUUCAGAAAGGUUUGAUAGAACUGAAUUUAUACCCGAUACUAUAGGGCGGCCUGGAGUUUUUUUUUCUCAAUUUUUGUGAAUCUUGGGUAAGAAGUAUAUCACUGGUAUAGUACGGUAUGUUACAGUUACAAGAAAAAGUAUGUGAACCCUUUGGAAUGAUAUGGAUUUCUGCACAAAUUGGUCAUAAAAUGUGAUCUGAUCAUCAUCUAAGUCACAACAAUAGACAAUCACAGUCUGCUUAAACUAAUAACACACAAAGAAUGAAAUGUUGCCAUGUUUUUAUUGAACACACCAUGUAAACAUUCACAGUGCAGGUGGAAAAAGUAUGUGAACCCCUAGACUAAUGACAUCUCCAAGAGCUAAUUGGAGUGAGAUGUCAGCCAACUGGAGUCCAAUCAAUGAGAUGAGAUUGGAGGUGUUGGUUACAGCUGCCCUGCCCUAUAAAAAACACACACCAGUUCUGGGUUUGCUUUUCACAAGAAGCAUUGCCUGAUGUGAAUGAUGCCUCGCACAAAAGAGCUCUCAGAAGACCUACCAUUAAGAAUUGUUGACUUGCAUAAAGCUGGAAAGGGUUAUAAAAGUAUCUCCAAAAGCCUUGCUGUUCAUCAGUCCACGGUAAGACAAAUUGUCUAUAAAUGGAGAAAGUUCAGCACUGCUGCUACUGUCCCUAGGAGUGGCCGUCCUGUAAAGAUGACUGCAAGAGCACAGCGCAGACUGUUCAAUGAGGUGAAGAAGAAUCCUAGAGUGUCAGCUAAAGACUUACAAAAGUCACUGGCAAAUGCUAAUAUCCCUGUUAGUGAAUCUACAAUACGUAAAACACUAAACAAGAAUGGAUUUAAUGGAGGAUACCACAGAGGAAGCCACUGCUGUCCAAACAAAACAUUGCUGCACGUUUACAGUUUGCACAAGAGCACCUGGAUGUUCUACAGCAGUACUGGCAAAAUAGUCUGUGGACAGAUGAAACCAAAGUUGAGUUGUUUGGAAGAAACACACAACACUAUGUGUGGUGAAAAAAAGGCACAGCACACCAACAUCAAAACCUCAUCCCAACUGUGAAGUAUGGUGGUGGGGGCAUCAUGGUUUGGGGCUGCUUUGCUGCGUCAGGGCCUGGACGGAUUGCUAUCAUCGAAGGAAAAAUGAAUUCCCAAGUUUUUCAAGACAUUUUGCAGGAGAACUUAAGGCCAUCUGUCUACCAGCUGAAGCUCAACAGAAGAUGGGUGUUGCAACAGAACAAUGACCCAAAGCAUAGAAGUAAAUCAACAACAGAAUGGCUUAAACAGAAGAAAAUACGCCCUCUGAAGUGGCCCAGUCAGAGUCCUGACCUCAACCCGAUUGAGAUGCUGUGGUAUGACCUCAAGAAAGCGAUUCACACCAGAUAUCCCAAGAAUAUUGCUGAACUGAAACAGUUCUGUAAAGAGGAAAGGUCAAGAAUUACUCCUGACCGUUGUGCACGUCUGAUCUGCAACUACAGGAAACGUUUGGUUGAACUUAUUGCUGCCAAAGGAGGUUCAACCAGUUAUUAAAUCCAAGGGUUCACAUACAUUUUCCACCUGCACUGUGAAUGUUUACAUGGUGUGUUCAAAAAAAAACAUGGACACAUUUUAUUCUUUGUGUGUUAUUAGUUUAAGCAGACUGUGAUUGUCUAUUUUUGUGACUUACAUGAUGAUCAGAUCACAUUUUAUGACCAAUUUGUGCAGAAAUCCAUAUCAUUCCAAAGGGUUCACAUACUUUUUCUUGCAACUGUAUGUUCAUGUACAUGUACUCGUUUCUGUUAAUAUUUUGUUGUUCUAAUCCCUUCUUUAAAAAUGUGUCUAAAAUAUAUGUAAUAUCGGACGUGGGAUUUAAUUAGUUUUUGAUAUACAGAGGUAUCAUUCAGCUUAGAAAAGGCUUUGUUCAUGUACAUGUCCAUGAUGAGAAGGACUAGACCACCCCCCUUAUCAGCAGGUUUUAUUCUCUAAAGCCAUCUUUUCUUUUUUUGUCAAAUUAAACGUAUCAAAUUUGUUAUUGGUGAUUUUCCUUAGAUCUCUGGUUACUAGCUUUUCGAGCAUGUCCAAGCUACUGGAUGUAAAAUUAGGAUAAAAGGUAGAAGUGGGUUUAAGUUUGGUGUACUGUCCUGAAGAUUUUCAUUGUUAGAAAAUGAUGAUAGUAGAACCCGUGGGUUAUUUCUGCCCUUGGAACUUGUCUGAUAACUCCUUAUUUUUGUAGGGAGGAUACAAAUUCCUUAAAGGACCACUAUAGGCACCCAGACCACUUCAACUUAAUGAAGUGGCCUGGGUGCCAGGUCCAUCACGGGUUAACCCUGCCUGCUGUAAACAUAGCAGUUUCAGAGAAACUUCUAUGUUUAUAUAUGGGUUAAUCCAGACUCUAGUGGCUGUCUCAUUGACAGUCGCUAGAGGCGCUUCUGCGCUUCUCACUGUGAUUUUCACAGUGAGAAGACGCCAGCGUCCAUAGGAAAGCAUUGAAAAUGCUUUCCUAUGGACUGACUGAAUGCGCGCGGGUCUUGCCGCGCAUGUGCAUUCAGCCGAUGAAGGAAGAGGAGAGUCCCCAGCAUCGAGGGAGCCCGGCGCUGGAGAAAGAUAAGUGAUUAACCCCUACCUACUCCUAGAGCCUGGCGGGAGGGGGGCCAUGAUGGUGGGGAGGGGACCUAUUAAUACUAGAGUGCCAGGAAAUCGAGUUUGUUUUCCUGGCACUAUAGUGGUCCUUUAAGUGCAAUACUUUUUUCCUUGUCUGCUGGUCAUUUGAAAGGAUCUUUAAGUAUAAGUCCUGAAUAAUUCUAGAAGAUAUCCUUGUUUGGUUAUCUAGAGGACCCAUCUGUCGUUUGUGUCUAUUGGAAUAGGAGCAGACGUGCCCCUGCUCCUCCUGACUUGGCGUGUAUGGAAUUCUUAGAGGAGGUAAUACAUCUGGAUUUGUCUCCUCUGAUGCCAGACUGUCCACAUCUUCUGUAUUAUCCCGGAAAGACUAGUAUUCUGAUGCACUUUUGGGACAAAAGGACCAUUUUGGUCUCCGAUCUUGGGGUAGAAAGGCCAUUCUGCCUUCUCCUGCUCUCUUUAUGCAGCCAUCCAAGUUCUUGCCAAACAACAUAUCGCCAUGAAAGGGUAAGGCACAGAAGCAGUUCUUGGAGGAGGCUUCUGCUGAACAGGAUCUAAGCCAUAAUGCUCUCCUUGCUGAUACAGAAAAGGCCAUGUUUUUGGCUAAACUUCUGACCAAAUCCACUAAUGCUUCUGAAGAGAAAUCAAUAGCAUCUUUAAAUGAUCCUGCAUUAUCUACAGGGAGAGUGGUGUGCUCUGCUAAUCUGACAACAGCGUCAUCCACUUUAGGAGCAGAAUCCCAUGUCUCACAAUCCUUACUCUCAAAUGGAUAGAGAAGGGAAAAUCUGCUUUUAGGAGAGGACUUCUUGUCUGACCAUUCAUCUUUAAUAAUGUCACUUAUAGUCUCAUGAACAGGAAAAGUAGCCCUUUUUCUCCUUAGGUCUGAGAAGUAGCGGCUAGAAGUGGAAGACUCCUCUUUGGUGGAGUCCUUUAGGUUUAGUGAUUUACACACUCUGGAAAUCAGAUGAUCUAUCACUGCAAGUUCAAGGAAAUCUGGUUCUCGCACAAAUGAACGCUGGUGCUUACACGUUCGCACAAAUAAACACCGGCACUUGCACAUUUGGACAAAUGCCGGCGUAUGCGGGUUCUCAUGAACGAAUAUAAAAAUGAAAAGGCCAGCGUCUGCUUGAUCAUACAAACGAAAACUGGCGCUUGUGCAUUUGUAUGGCGAAAGACCUGAAACAAAUAGACUUACCUUAUUUCAGUGAAAACCUCUCCCGAACAAUUCAAAGAGCCCUGAAAGGAUUAAGAAGGUAAAAAUUUAGAUGGAUAAUCCUGCUAUGCUUACUUUAUUCUCCAGUAAGCCUGAAUAAAAUUCUUCAAAGAUGCUAACUUUCUGCUAUCCCUCGGGUCACCACAGUUAUGUGGUCAUGUCAUAAUCUUGCUACCCCUAGGGUUUCAGCAAAAAAACCACUAAAAAGGUUUCUAGAGGGGGUCACCUUUGCGCAGGGCCGUGUACUGGAGACUUCCCGAGGAGAGAGGCUGAACUCCCAAGGGGCCAGAGGAAGAGACUAUCCUCAGGUAAGCCAUAAAAGAAAAAUCUUUUAGUCCUGAAAUAAAUAAGUUGGUCCUAUAGGGUUUGAAUUGAAAACUUCCCUGCCUCACAUCAGAACAGCGCUCAGUCCACCUUCAGCGGAUCCAGUUGCAAUAAGCAAGGUAGCCUUCUGGACAACAUUUAAUGCUGCACAUUUGCCGCACUCCCCUCCCCACCCCACCCCACCCCAUGCUCAUCAUUGAAUUUAUAGAUAUACUCUCGCCUACAAAUCUAGAUAAUCAGAAAUAACAGCUGCAAAUCAAAUAAUCAGCACACUCCUAUACUCUCUUAACCCCUAACACUCACUCUCAAUCUUCCUCACCUCUGCAUGAAACUGUGAAACUCUUGUGAGGAUAUUUAUGGGGUGAUAUUAAAAAUAAUAUUUUCAUUAAAAUGAUCAAAAAUGUAUUUAAUAAUUUUUAUUAUAUCAAAAAUUUAAAUUGUGGCACUGUUCCCCGAUUAAUUAUUUAAAGCUGAGAAUUACCCAAUAUUUUAAUAUCUCACACAGUAAUCACAAAUUAAUUAUAAAAAUAUAAUUUAUUGUGACAAUAAUAUUAAUAUAUGUAACACGCGUGACAAUCAGUGAAUAUUUAGGUAUAACAUAAGUAUACAAUAUGGCAGUGGUUUAAUACAAUAUAGACAGAUAAAAGCAACAGUUAUAUGCAACAGUUGUCAAUAAGAUUUAUGAUAGGAUACUUCACUUAGAAACCAAAUUCACAGAGAAGACAGAAUUUCACAGCAGUACAGCUUAAAGCAAUAAAAACUUUGGCUGACAGUCAAAUCACACUGAAUUAACUCUUCCACUGCUGGCUACAAUCCUCAUAGGCACAAUAUUCUAUUAUAUUGCAAUUUUUAUAGCUAUAAUAGUUCUCAUAUCAGGUCAUUUACCAUUCCUAAGUCCAUCCAAUAAGAAUAAUUCUAACCAGAAUUUUAACUUUCCUUAAUUUCAUAACAAGUCAAUACCUCUGGAUAAAAAGUUGGUAUGCUAACAUUUGACAAAUUUACCGUUAAUAUAUCGUUAUUUUUAUUCCACCUGCAGGAAUGAGAUUUUUAUAUCCAUAUGUUCCUUAGCUAAUUAUAAUUUCUAAUGAUUGAAAUCUGACCAAUAUUUAUCCAGAUAUAUAUUCCUGCUAUUAGUAAAAAUGCUAUUUAAUUAAAUAAAACCAGCAUAAUUACCAGUUAUGUUGUAGAUUUUCUAUUAGAUGUGUAGAUAUGUCCCAGGAAUUUUGAAUGCAAGUAUGAUGAGAGAAUUGUAUGAGUUCUGAAGUUGUGUUAGUUGGAAAAGUAUAAAGAGUUAGGUGUGUCCAGCUCUGGCUCGAGAUGUCAGAUCUUAGCUGUUAGAUGUGAGUCCAAGAGCGUGUUUCAGAGUGUGGGAGUCUUGAGUACAGUCCAAGAGUGUAAUUGUCUCCCAGUGUGUUUCAGAGAGUCUCCUCUCUUCCCUUUGUCCUUACUUUUUAAAGGGGAAAUUCUCUGCAUGUCACUAGUCGAUAGGACCAAUAGGGAACUGUGGGUGUGUCUUCCCUACAGACUAUCAUCUAGAUAUUGGUCAGUAGGUGGUGCAAUUACAUCACCGAAAAUUCUUGUCAGGGGUUCCAUUUACCUUUUUGUAUAAUGCGUUAACUGAAUAUGGUGAUGCGUUUUACGUCAUUUGGUUAUCUUUUUAUGGCUACUGUUUGUCAAAGAACCUGUCAUCUUCAAAGGGUUUUCCCAGUCUGGCAUAUACCUUUAAAUUUAUCUUUCUGACAUGUCUAAACUCUUCUUCACAUCUUUUCUUAAAAUGGAACUAGUAAUAUUCUGUUAGUUUUUUUUAUUUUUUAAGUAAAAUUAAUUACUUAAUGUUAGCUGUCAUUUGGUGUCUGGUUUUCUUGUGUGAAACUGUGUUUAAGAUUACACAUAUUCCACUAACAUUAGUAAAUAAUAUGAUAUUUCUUCAUUGAUAUUAUAUCCAUGAGUAUUCUCAAUUCUUAACAUAGUACUAAUUAUAUACGAUUAAUAUAAUAAUAGUAAAUCAUAAGUGGAUAUUGUGUGUUCAUGUGAGUGUGUGUGUGUGUGUGUGUAUAUAUAUAUAUAUUGUGAUAAAGUGAAGGCAGAUAGGCCUAUAACAUUUAACCCCAGGGGGAGUAUGUGUAGGAUGUGUUGUAGGCAACACAAAACACUGUUUAGUUAUGGGCCCCUGGGGUGGAGCAUUUGGAGAGAAGGGUGGGCCAAUGCUCCACUCCACAGUUUAGUGGUUUUCUGGGGAGACAUGGAUCCAGGCCAGGGUUUUUUGGAUCGUCUCCAACCCACUGCUCAGCUGCAGUUAAUGAGCUGUUGCAGUGGGAAUAAACUCCUCCCUGCUAGACAGGUAAAGGAGAGGGAUUGCUGGCUUCCUCCCAGGAAGCAGGUAGGAGAGAGAGGCUGUUCUCUCCAGAUAGUCAAGAAGACUGGCUUGGAGCACUGGGAGUGCAGAAAGGAAAGCAGUCAGGGCAAGGCUGGCUUGGAGCACUGGGAGUGCAGAAAGCAAAGCAGUCAGGGCAAGGCUGGCUUGGAGCACUGGGAGUGCAGAAAGGAAAGCAACAGGUUAGAUAGCAGAGCGUUGCUCUCUAAUAAGGUUGGUGCAAUAUUGUGUUUAGUUUAACCCUGAGAGAUAGGGAACCUAAAGUGAGUUAGUGCUCAGACCGAGCUAGGUUUUUGUUUAUAGGGUUUUCUGUUACAUUUAUGUUUUCAUUUUACUGCUGUAUCCUGUGUGAACUUACAAAUAAAGUGCCUGGAGUAUAUGAAUUACAAGGACUGUGCAUGUUUUUGCCCUAGAGGACCGUGCUACCUGCUGACAAGGAUCACAAUAUGGUGGAGAAUGCGGGCAUAGUAGCACAUUGAGGAUCUGUGGGUGUGCCAGUCAUUCAGUAGUCUGCUUGAGGACUUUUUAUUUUUGCAGACCUGUUUAAAAAAAAACAAAAAAAACCAACAAAUUAGUAGCCCUGUACCUUUAAGACUCUUAUCUGCUUGGUGCUAUAAUGGAGGAUCUGCUGAAGGCUCUGGUACAGGCAACCACUGUACAACAAGAGGCAACUGCUAUACAACAAAACACCAACCAUUUCCUGGCUGCACAGAUUAAGAACCUGAGGGAUGCUCAGCAGGAGCACAGAGCUGCACUUACUGAGGUUUUGCAGAUUGCCCCCUGCAGUGAGAGUGGGGACAAGGGACCCCAUAACCAAGCUACUGACAUCCUGCAUAAGAUGACAGAGGCAGUAGAAGAAGUCUUUCGCAAGCUGAAAAGCAUGGAGGCAACAAAGCGUGAUGUUGAGAAACACACAGAAGAGAGAGAACCGGAAUUAAAAGGCAAGAAGGAUAAAAUUGAUCCUGAAAGCAGUGAUAAUGUGGAAGAUGGUGAUCAUCCAUGGAACAAAAAGCAAAAGAGAAAAAGGUAGUAACGAGACCAGCAAAUCUAAAGGAAAACCUGGAAUUGUCAAGAGGCAGUGAUGGUGACAGUGAUGACAUGCGCCAAAGUAAGAGAGGUCAGAGGAAUCAGAAGGGAGAACGAGACAAACUGAUUACUGAAGUUGACAAGUGUUUAUUUGAAAAUCAAAAUGUUGCAGCUUCACAUGAAAGCCUCAAACUUGCUCUGUAUGGCAUCACAACAGAUAAAGCGAUCUUGGGAAAAGAGUUGGAAACAAAAAUAUUUUCAUGCUCAGAAACUGAAUCUUGCAUGUUUCAAGAGAAUGCUGGAAAGACAUUUGAAAACAGAAAGGUACUGAUAAAUCUUCCGAAGGUAACAGAAGAAGAAUCAGAGGAUGAUGAGGAUUAUGUUCCUUCAGAAGACUGGCAAAAGGAAAUAAUGGUUGGUUCCAUGUUCCAGGCAGAGAUUCCAGUUGGCAUCUGCAAGUACAAGGAAACUGCAAGAGUGUAUGAAAAUGAUGACCAGUUAUUGUGGAACCCAGAUUUUAUAGUGGAAACAAGAGUUCUAGAUUUUCUAAAUGAAGCGUCCAGAAGGACUGGUGAAGAGAAGGGAAUAGAUGCAAUUCCAGGGGGAUCACAUAUAAAAGAAAACGAAGCAGGAGCCCCUGAUGUACACCCAAGUGAACAAGUUAAAGGCAUGAAAAGCAGACUGACUUGGGGAGUCAGAGAAGACAACUGCAAAAGAGCUGAGCUUAAUGGAGAGAAGCAAAGCACCCCAGCUGAGUAUAGCAAUGCGGUGCACUGUUUAGUAGCCGAGGCUACCCAAGAUUGUCGACCAGUUGUUGAACAGUUUGGCAGAGAAAAGAAAGGCAAAGUAGCCGCUUCUGAUCUAAGCCAAGAGAGAGCGACAGUUACAGAACCAAGCUGUGAUGAUAAGAUGGGCACGUCCGCAGCUAAGCCAGACCAAGGCGAACGUCACAAAGUAGGUGACAUUGGCGUAGCAGAAUUAAAUAUUUCAAAGACAUCUGGUAUUGCUACAAAGACUUUGAAUGAAUUUUCGGGAGCCGUAGAACUUGAUCUGCUGGCAAAGACUACUGCUACACGGCCUGGGCGCACUGACUACCUGGAACACCUGCCAGACUCUGGGAGCACAAUCAUGGAAUCAAAGGUGGAACUCGGAAUUCCUGAACGGCUGUUUGAUACCGGGGCUGUCAUGACCCAGCCAGAGGCCAUGACUGCGUCUCCGGAUAACCCCGAGGGAGCAGGGAGACUUCCAGACAGCCCAGAGGAAAGCUUUUCUGACAGUGAGAGGUGGCCACUCAAGGCAGAGCAUUCGGAGGAUACCCCUGGGGAGGAAGCCAGGCAAAGGAGAGAUGAGCUAAGCCGGGAGUCUGGGCCUCAGGUAGAACAGCGCUCCAUGCCAAGCCAGGCCGAGCAUGAUGGGAUGGAGCUGGGAUCAAAGGCUGCAUUCGUGCAGGAGGAGGAUGCUCUAGACAGCCUCCUUGGCCAACCCCCUGAGGAUAUAGAGAUGAGACCUGUAGCAUUAACCGUAGAAAGCAAUGAAGGUUCCCAGGGAUUCACAGAACAGAUGGAGGAUGUUGUGAAGCCCUUCAUGGAGGGACCGGUUCCAGUGAAGGAUGAGCUGGUGACAGAACCAGGUCUUGAAGAGGUUGAGCAUCCAGCAAAUUCGUCUUAUGAAACAACUGGACGUAUAAGUGAUAUAGAAAAGUUAGUUACACACAAAGCUUUUGUAAAGUUUGCGUUUGAAAGUAACUCGGACAUUGAGAGACUAUCAAACCAGAAGCUGCUGUGGAUGUGGAAGCAGAUGAUGAUUCAGAGGAACUUGGCUACUAAAGAGCCACACAGUACUGAUCAUCAGCCUAGAUCUGCUAGCAACCAAAUAAGCGGGGAAACUGGAAAGAAAGGACAAAAUCUGAUACCGAGUCUGGGACAAUAUAAUGGUAGAACGUACCCAAAAGUCCCAUUACAGCUACGAGACCAGACUGAGAAACUCAGAUGCUUCAACUGCCACAUGCAUGGACAUAUUACAUAUAACUGUCCUGAGAGUGAAGAGCCAAUACAGUGUGACAUAGGAAUAAGGGGUCUGCAUAGGAUAGUAUUGCCUUGCUUAAAGAUGUGUAUGGUGACUGGUGGUGUUACAGCACAGCUAAAAGUGGUGAUGGUGGUAGGGAAGAGUGCACAAGCACUAAUUAAUUCAGGGAGUGAGGCUACUUUGAAAAGUGUUCUGCUCCAGCCAGUGAUUGAUAUUGUGGGUACACAUGGUGACACCCGCACAUACCCCAUGGCAGAGGUAGAGUUUGUCACAGAGGUAGUAAAAGUUAAAUGCCCUGUAGUACAUGUAGCUCAAACGCAAGAGCGUAUAAGUAAGGCCAGUUUUCUGAGUACCUUGGACCUGGUCAUAAGGUAUUGGCAGGUUCCCCUGACAGAGAAAGCAAAGGGAAGGACAGCUUUUUCUACUCCCAAGGGGUUAUGGCAACAUAAAGUACUGCCAUUCAGGUUGCAUAGUGCACCAGCCCCCUUUCUGCAUAUGAAUAGGAUACUUUGGCCCAACAGAGAGAAUGCAGCUGCCUACCUUGGUGAUGUGGCGAUUCACAGGAUGGACUUGGAAGCACACCUAAUGAGGGUCCAGUUACUUGUGAAUAAUGUAAGGGCUGCCGGUCUGACCGCUAACACUAAGUGUUAUCCAGGAUUUGAGGCAGCUAACUAUUUGGGUUAUCCACUUGGGUGGGGGUUCCUUAAACUACAAGGGAGCAAGGUAGCAGCCAUCUGCAAUAGGCCACUUCCUGUAACUGAGGAGCAAGUCGGGGCUGGUACAGCCCUAGGUGACGUGAUUGUUCAUGGUUUGUGUUCUAAGGUCGCUCGACCCGAUGGGUCUGAGCUGGGGGGGAGGAUAUGUGAUAAAGUGAAGGCAGAUAGGCCUUUUAACCCCAGGGGAAGAAAGUGUAGUUUGUGUGUUGCACAACACAAAACACUGUUUAGUUAUGGGCCCCUGGGGUGGAGCAUUUGGAGAGAAGGGUGGGCCAAUGCUCCACUCCACAGUUUAGUGGUUUUCUGGGGAGACAUGGAUCCAGGCCAGGGUUUUUUGGAUCGUCUCCAACCCACUGCUCAGCUGCAGUUAAUGAGCUGUUGCAGUGGGAAUAAACUCCUCCCUGCUAGACAGGUAAAGGAGAGGGAUUGCUGGCUUCCUCCCAGGAAGCAGGUAGGAGAGAGAGGCUGUUCUCUCCAGAUAGUCAAGAAGACUGGCUUGGAGCACUGGGAGUGCAGAAAGGAAAGCAGUCAGGGCAAGGCUGGCUUGGAGCACUGGGAGUGCAGAAAGCAAAGCAGUCAGGGCAAGGCUGGCUUGGAGCACUGGGAGUGCAGAAAGGAAAGCAACAGGUUAGAUAGCAGAGCGUUGCUCUCUAAUAAGGUUGGUGCAAUAUUGUGUUUAGUUUAACCCUGAGAGAUAGGGAACCUAAAGUGAGUUAGUGCUCAGACCGAGCUAGGUUUUUGUUUAUAGGGUUUUCUGUUACAUUUAUGUUUUCAUUUUACUGCUGUAUCCUGUGUGAACUUACAAAUAAAGUGCCUGGAGUAUAUGAAUUACAAGGACUGUGCAUGUUUUUGCCCUAGAGGACCGUGCUACCUGCUGACAAGGAUCACAAUAUAAAAAUAUAUAUAUAUAUAUAUAUAUAUAUAUGUCUCAGGGUUGUAGCAUUCCAACCCUGUUUUGCUUUAGACAUCAUGCCUUAUCUCAGGUUUUAUCUCUAAUGUUUACAUUAGUCACAUUCCUUAGCUCAGACCUGAAUGACUAGAGUUACAGAAAGAAAACUCUUGAGUCUGUCUUAGCCUUUUAAUACAAAAUGCAGUCACCUCUAUUCUGAGCUUAGUUAAUUCUGAGGUGACUUACAGUAUAUACUUUUAAUUUCUAUCUUCAAACCAAAUGUCUGCCAGUAUAAAUAUACUGACACCCUAGCCCAGAUCUCUACAUCACUGCAUCUCUUCUCUGUGCCUCUCCUGGCCUACUCCCAACUUCCAAGUUUUUUUUUUUCUGGAAGUACAUACCCAUCUGAGUAAUGCUCUAUCUUGUCCUCCUCUUAUUUUCCCUUUUCUCCCUCAGUAUCAAAAUCUCUCCUUAUACCUACUUCCCUCAACCUCCACAUUAACCCCUCUAUGCUGCACUCCCCACUUCUUACAUAUCAUGCCUCAUCAUCAUUUCUCUAUUCUCUCCAUCCUUCUCCCUCUCAAUCUCAUCCCAGACUCCAUCUAUGUAAAACCUGCUCACACCUUCUGUCUCUAUCACUCCUCCUGCUUCUAGCAGCUGGUAAUGUCUCUCCCAAACCAGGGCACAUUGUCUCCUCUACUCACACGAAUUUAACCAGAAACCACACAAACCUCAUCCCAAUACCAUGCCGUCUAUCCCCAUCUACCCCCCCCCCCACCCCCAGUCAUCCUAGGCUUUUUAUUGAACAUUUUUCUUCCUGGCUACCCAAUUUCCUCUCCUCCUCUCCUCUAGCUCUCCUUAACUCAUUUUUGGGGACUUUAAUAACCUAAUAUCCCAAUCAACAACCCUAACCACACUGAUGCCUCUCGUCUGCUCUCUAUUACCGCUCCUCCUUUGGACUCACACAGUGGUCUAAUUCAUCAUCUCAUAGACUCAUAGAGCAGGAAAGAGGAGGAAACAAUUUUGACCUCAUCUUCACCAAUGUCCGUACCACCUCUAAUCUCUCCAAUGUUCCAUUUCCUUCCUUCUGUCCUUAAGGGGUUUAAAGGUUGAACUCUAUGGUCUUUAGUCUUUUUUUUUCAACAUAGAUUAUUAUGAAUGCCUCAUUUAGUGUCUCCUUCCUUAUUUCUUGUACCACCUCCCCAUCACUGCCUGUCUCUGUUGGUGUUACGUGGCACUGUCACGCACAAAGUAGGGACUUUAUUGUCUUAUGUAUUUUCCCUAUGACAUAAGAAAUGGAACGGACUUAAGCUCCUCCUUGUGUCAGAGACAGUCAAGCGUAGGAAAAAUACAUAAGACAAAGCAGUCCCUACUUUGUUUUAUGUUUUCAAGAAAACUAAAUCAAAAAUAAAUAAAAGAAGAACAGAUUCUAAGAGAGUAAUGUGGGGAUAUUUAUGGGAUGAUAAUUUUAAGCAAUCGAGAAUUGCCCACUAUUUCAAUUCUCUUAGAUCUUAGAGAUCGUUUAUCAUGUAAGUGAAAAGUAUUCCAUCAAUAAUUCACAAUUUGUUAUAAAAAUAGAUUUAUUUUUAUUGUAACAAAUUAACAAUAUUAUUAGGCAACAUGUAUGAUAAUAAUCAGUGAAUAUUUAGGAUAACAUAGUAUACAAUACAAUGGAAUGGGUAUACACGUUUCAAUGGCUAAACAGCAUUUUCUGUCAAGACUUACAUGAUUUAUGAGGGUAUCCUUACAGACAAAAAGUGAAGCUUUUCACAGCGAAGGGCCAUAAAACCCUGGCUAACAGUUAGAUCAACUGAGUAACCCUUUCAAUGCUGGCUAGAUCCCCCUAGGCAUAUAGUAUCCUAUUCUCCUGUGAUUUUCAAUUAAAAUACAUUUAAACCAGCUCAUUAGUCAUUUCCUGGAACCAUCCAAUAAGAAUAAUCUACCAGAUUUUUAAGCAGAAUUUUAAUUUGUCUAAAAGAUAUCUUAUCUUAUAUUAGAGCAAAUCAAUACACCUGGAUAAAAACAGCGCUAUGCUAACACGUGAUAAUAUCACAUUAAUAUAUAAUUAUUCUUAAUUCCACCUGCAGAAUGAAAUGUUUCUAACUAUAUAUUCUUUAGUUAACUAAGAUUUCUUAAAUAUGGAAAUCUGACCGUGAUUUAUCCAGUCAUAUAUCAUGCUAUUAGUAAAUUUUAAUUAAUUUAAAUUAAUUAAAUAAAACCAGCAUAAUUACCAGUUAUGUAGAUAUUCUCAUCAGAUGAGUAGGUAGUCCCAGAAACUUGAUUGGUUGUAUGGAAGUGCGUGAGUGAUAGAGAAAGUGGUGUUGGAAAGUGUUAAGAGUUUAAAAGAGUUGAGUGUCCAUGAGUUUAAGAGUAGAGUGUUAGUCCCAGAUAUUGUCCUGGAUUUCUCUGCAUGUCCGAGUUGGAGUCCCCCAAACUUCAACUCCCUCUCUCUGUAUCUCUCUGUAUACUCUCCUGAUGACGAUUUUGACGUCAUUUGGCUUAUCUAAAAUGACUACCAUAACUUAGAUUUGCUGUCAGUUCAAAGCGUUUGUCCCAGUCUUUGUGGCAUCUACUUUGAUCGUAACUUGUAAAAUUGACAGUUCUAAACUCAAUUUCACCCCUUUCUUACAAUGGUACCUUAUAAAACUUAGAAAGUAAAAUCAAUUACUUAGUCUUCUCUGUCACUAGUGUCUGUGUUUAGAUAAUGCAUCUAUUCCAUUAACAUUUUAGACAGAGCGUUCCAUCCCCCUUGCUUCAUUGCUUAUCUUGGUUUGUUUAUGUAAUACAUUCCUCAGCUCAAGCAAGUGGCUAGUUACUGAAAGUAAGAAGAAACCAAGGAAAUUAUGUGUUUUUGUUAUCCUGAAGAUAGCAAAAUGGAGUCCGCUUUGUUCUGAGUGGCUGUGGCAAUAUACACUUUUAAUUUCUUUUUAGCACAAAAUGUCUGUUGAUGUAAAUAUUCUGACAUAAUCCCCCUUAGUGACCUUUCAUGGCAAUGAAUAAUUUAGCCUAUGAAUAGGCACUAUAGAAGUUAGCAGACAUAUUGUGCACUCACAUCAUUUCUACUGACGUAGGCCCGUGCGUGGAAUUAAUAUGUUUGUAUAUUUUUGUACCUGUAAGAGCUUUGAACUUUACUUAGUACAAUCAACCAUAACAUUAUUAUUAACAUAGUACAUUGUUUUCAUUUGAAAAAUGUUUUUGGGAGUUACAUAUGGUAUGGUCAAUAAAAAGCAAAUCUCCAUACGUUCCGGAUCAAUUAAGAGAGGUCUAGCGCUCCCCAUCUCAAAGGCCAGAUUUAAUUGCAUAGGCUCAAUUGUCUCUCCAUCCAAAUUGGCAAGCAUUGCAUGAACAAUAGCCUUGGAUACAAAGUACAGAUGUAUGCGUCCCCCUGCCAAUUCAAUCAUUCCAGUUUGCACUUCGGCAAGAAAAGCAAGUGUGUGGAACAAUAUUGGGUCAUGCAGAAAUAGAAGUUCACGCUUAAAUAAGUCAUGACUUUGGUGCAACUCAGUGGAUUUGGCAAUUAACUCCGAAUGCCAAUUUGUUGUAACAACUGUGUCUUGCACAAUAGUUAACACGUCUUGGAGAAGUGUUCUUUGCUGGUUUAUCACCUGAUGAAUAUCGUUAAUGUGUUGCUUUAGCGCAUAGAUUUCCAUAUCCAGCUUUUGGACAGUAAUAGAGUUGGCUGCAGACAUUCCAGUUGCGACAACUGCACCGACAGUGGCACAAACUAAUGCAACAAUUAUGGCGGUGAGGAACCUUUUGGGUCGGUUGCUCAUCGAAAUAGUACUGGAUACAAAUGGUUUCCGGGCUUGCUCCAAGAUGUUUCGCACACGGUCCUGUGCUCUUUGGAGGUGCAUCUGGUACCAAGUCUGUAACUCAGGAAGCUGCAUCGAUGAAAUGUUGUAUGCCUUCUCGAUGGAAAUCUUGGGGUCCAAGCUGACGAACACACGUCGGGUCAGGAUCCUCUUCUCUGUUAAGAUGAACCCUGGUGUCUCUUGAAUCAGGAUGCCGGAGGAUGGUCCCAUCUCUGCGAUCGGGUCGGUCCGUAGCUCUUGGCACAGGAGCAGUACGAUCCAGAAACACGCCACAUCCUUCUUGGACAUCUUUCGACAGUCACGGAUCAGGAACUCGUUUCAGACUUAUCUACUAAUGAUUCAAGGUUUGUUAAGCAUACAAACUUAUAACAGUGUGACACCACUUGGCCUAGGACAACACAUUUUUACGAUUCAUCAACAUAUGUAUUCUCUCUAAUUCUAUUUUUAUACUUCAUCCCUCACUACAUUUAUUACUGACUAUUCAGUAAUUCGCCUAUAGCAGCUAAACAAGCUAGUAACCUGCUUAGAAAAUGUAGUUAUUGGAUGGCAAGGAAAUGGUUAAUGACAUGAACGUACAUGAGAUCAUGGCACAUCACAACAUUUCACAUCAUACUAUACCACGUGAAUCAAGCAUUCAUCCAGGUUAGUCGUUCAUCCUUCUGCGUCCGAAUCCACACCUAUAAUCCUUAAUUGAGAUUUAGGAUGACAAGCAUGCAACUGGUUAAUGUGAACCCACUUUUCAAUAAAAUCACCAUCCUUAGAAAUUUUUAUCUUAUACGCUACAGGGGAAAUUUUGUCAAUGAUGACAUAUGGCCCUUUCCAAGAAGUUAAAAAUGUAUUUUCCUUAACUUGACUUUGCACAAAGUUAUACAGAUAUACUUGAUCUGUAAUCUCAUAUUCCUUUUUCGUGGUUUUUAAAUCGUAAUAGGUCUUAACCCCUGUGGCUGCUUUUUCUAGAUUCUUUUGGGCAAAAGCAAACGCAUGCUGUAAAUUCUUGUGCAAAUCUUCGAUAUACUGAUGCGUAGUGGCAGCAUUGAUCAAGUUAUGAUCCGAAGUACGAUAUAGUAAAUGCUGUGGUAAAACCAUCUUUCUCCCUGUCAUCAAUUCAAAAGGUGACAAUUUGGUAGCAGUGCUAGGCGUAGCUCUAAUCGCCAUUAAAACUAGGGGCAAUUUAAUGUCCCAGUCUUUACCAGACUCCUUAACAUAUUUCUUCAGAAUAUUAACGGUAGACUGAUUAUAUCGCUCUACCCCCCCUCUAGACGCAGCGCGGUAUGCAAUAUGUAGCUUUCGUUUAACACCUAGAAUUUUCCACAUCUUAGCCAUUACUUCGCUGGUAAAAUGACUACCUCUGCCUGACUCAAUUCUUUGAGGCAGACUGAAUCUGGAAAAGACAUGGUUAAUCAACAAAGUGGCGCACACGGUACUCGUGUUCUCUUUUCAAGGCAAACACUCUAUCCACUUUGUGUACAUACAUGUAACGGUUAACAUAUAUUUGUUACCUCUUGAAGAUCUUGUUACAGGACCUAUAAAGUCAAUUUGAAUAUCAGACCAGGGUAAUGACACCCCCCUCUUCUGAAGUGGUGCACGAUGGGUUGGACCAUGGGGUUGAUAUUGCGGACAAAUCAAGCAUCCCUGACAGUAUGUCUUAACAUCUCUUAACAUGUGUGGCCAAUAUGCAUAAUCACGCAAUAUCUCAUAUGUGAUCUUAUCACCACGAUUCCCAGAUGUAGGUGCAUCAUGUGCGUGUUGGAGCAUUAACCCUCUGUAUACAGUUGGGACUAUCUAUUGUUGUAUACCAUGUUUAGAAGUUCUGACCAGCAACCCAUCCAUGAUACUAAAUUGGACUUUAUAUCUCAUCAAGAUUCGUAAAUCUUCAUUAUCUUUGCAAUCCUCAUCUGUGAUGGGAUUGGCAGUAGGGUCUUCUAUAUGUCUAUAGAAUAUGCCUAUGACGGGAUUAUUCUUUUGACUGGUAAUCAGGUCCUCACUAGGAGCUUCUUGACUCCCUUGCAUGACGUUUAAGUCGGCAUUAUCUCUAGCCUGACGUCUAGUUAUGGCUUCAACAUGAAUUGAACCUAUAAGAUCAUCAAUGUUUAGGGUUUCACCAUUGAUGGCAGCUUGUUUUGCCAGUGAAUCGGCUAAGUCAUUACCAUCCUUGUCAAUACCUUCUAUUUUAGAAUGGCCUUUGGUUUUCUUCCAAUAUAUGGUUAAACCAUUUUCCUUAACCAACUCAUCAAUUUUACAACACAAUUUUCCAUGUUUAACAGGUUUGUUAUUGCUUUUCAGCAUUUGGUUACGUUUCCAGCUAGGCAGAUAUUCUCUAAACUGUUGUGAACAUAGUUGGAAUCAGUUAUAAUAACAAAUUCUUUGAUACCAUAUUCUAUUGCCAUUUGAAUGGUCUUAUAUACUGCACAGAGUUCGGCUAUCUGACUGCUUUUGGGACCAAUAUUGUAUCCUAUAGAUACAUUGGGAAAAUCACCUGUCCAGGCGAUUCCGAUACCUGCAACUAACUUCUGUUCAGCACCAGCGGUUGUGGUGAUAUGAACAACCAUCAAUGUAUACCCACGGUAGUGGUCGACGGUAUUCCUCGUCAUAAACUUUAUAAGGGGAUAGCAAUUGUUCUUCUAGGAAGUCAUCUCCGGUGUUAUUAUCAUCCAGAGAUGGAGCAGUACAGUCGUGUAAUUCUGCUAAACCUUGGGCAACUGGGCUUCUCUUAUUAUGUUUAUAACGGACUUCUAACGGCCAUCCCUGUAAGGAUAGAGUCCAUGCAGUAAUCUGACUGUUAGAGAGAUUACCGUCUCUGAUUCUUUCACUCUGCAGAUACUGUAGAGGUUGGUGAGCUGUUUCUACAAUUAUUUUCUCACCUUGGAUAUAGCUACAAAAAUUUUGUAGUGCCCAGACAGUCGACAAUAACGCCUUCUCACACGUGUUGAAUUUAACUUCAACAAGUGACAAAGUCUUGCUAGCAUAUGCAAUAACUUUGUUUAGACUGUCCUGCUUCUGAUACAGAACAGCACUUAUGCUUAAAUCGGUAUAUCCUGUCUCCAGAUAGAAGGGUUUACCCCCCUCCGGGUAUGCUAAACAGGGUGCCUGAGUGAGCUUCCUUCUCAGUUCACUUACCGCUUGGUCCUGAGCCUCCCCCCAGUUCCAGGUAGUUUCCUUUUUAAGCAGGUGUAAGAGUGGUUUCGUUAUUUCUGCAUAGUUAUCUAUAAACUUACAGGAGUAGUUAGUCAUACCAAGGAACGAUCUUAAUUCCCUGAUGUUUGAAGGUGUUUUAGCCUUAAUUACAGCUUCAGCCUUCUUCCUCUGGGGAUUUAAUCCUUCAGAAGUUACCUCAUGUCCGAGGAAAUUGACAUGGGUGCGACACCAUUGCGCCUUUUGUAAAGAGCGUUUUAUCCCUGCCUCUCUUAACUGAAUGAGAACAUGUCUAAUCUCUAUGAUAUGCUUAUCAAAGGAAGUGCUUUUCCUCUCUCAAGUGCGUCAGGCAUAGCUUUAUGCAUGAACACAGCGAAUUCAUGACCAGAGUUUAUGUAACCGAAUGGCAUACGGGUGCAGGUAUACUGCUGCUUUCCAAAUGUGAAGGCCAAUUUGUAUUGGUCUUCAUCACGGACUGGUACAGUCCAAUAUCCCUGCGCACAGUCAAUGGCAGUGAAUAUUUUGGAUCCUUGCAUUUGUACCAAACAUUGGUCUAUGUAUGGCAUUGGCCAACCAGACAUAUAGACGCGUUUAUUUAGCUGUCGUAAGUCAGCGCAUAAACGCCAUUGUCCAUUAGGUUUCAGAAUCCCCAAGAUCGGAUUAUUAUACGAACUGUACACUGGACGUAUAAUGCCCCUUUCCUUUAAAUUCUGAACGAUGUCUUGUAGACCAUCACAUGACGCUAAUGUGAGUCUAUAUUGUUUGAUAAAUACAGGUGGUAUAUUUGGAUCAGUUUGUAUUCUGGCUACGUGGAGGUUAGUUAACCCACAGUCAUAAGGAAUCUAUGGCAAAAAUAUCUUGGAAUUCCAUUAGGAUAUCUUUUAGCUGUUGCCGCUCAGCAUCGUUGGAGCAACCGUCAGCUAAAGAUAUUUGCUCUUCUAGCUUUUCCUGAAAUCCUGGAAAGAUUUCAGGCUGGCCUAUCUUAUAAGCUUCUUCAAGCCUAGAAGUUAGGUCAGUUCGGUGUUGACUUACCUUUUCUCUUUGGUCGUGAUACUCUUGUGAUUCCUGCUCAUUGAGUGGAUUAUCGAAGGUGAUUAAUGCUUCUUCGAUUUUACACGAGCCUUCUUCGACGUUGAAGGGAUGCACAGAUAGGAUAGUGAAUAAUCCUUCUGGGGAGGAAUGGAAUAUUUGAUCUAGAAUUUCGUCCUCAGUUAAGUAUUCUUCAGGGAUGAGGCCUAUAAUUUGGUUUUGGAAACCAAAUGUAUAGUACUUAGCAUCCAAUGCUAGACCUAAUAAUGUUCCUUUUGGUAAAGUAACACUAUUGUUUGUAACAUUGUUGACCAUUAUAUAGGUAGGAUUCUUACCAAUACUUAUCAUUGGUGUAUGUGUUACCACCAUCCUUAAUUGUUGUAUCCUGUUAGAUAAACAGAUUAGGGCAUCAGAGUUUUCCAAUCUCUGACCCUUCUUGACCUGUAGGGGUAAAAGAAAGUUACUUGUCCCUUGUGGAAUGGUUAUGUCAUCAGGAACUUGGAUACUUACCGCAUAUGGGAGAAUUUGUCCUGAUUUCAGGGCGUUUUCCUCGUGUAGGUAACCACAAGGAUUACCUUUUAACCUUGUCCACAAAUUGGAAUUAAUCAGAUCAAGGUGUAUGGCAAAGCGAUGUAUGACAUCAUUGCCGAUGUAAACCUGAUAGCGAGGUUCGUUUAUCACUAAGAAUAAAUGUUUAACUAUCUUAGUUCCAAUGGAAAUAUAUAGUAAACAUUUUGCUAUCACAUUGUGACUCUCUGAUUCGCCAUCCAGAUUCUGGAUCCACCUGUCAUGUGGGGAAGUGUACCUGAUCAUUUUAUGAUUGGCGAUCUGCUUUAACAGACUUCUGCUAAUAUAGCUGUUCUCACUCUUUAAGUCCAGCUUUGCAUUCCUACUUCUUCCUAAGUCAUUUAUUUGAAUAGGAAAGAAUAAGUUGUUAUUAACCCUUUCAAUUCUGGCAAGGAAUUGAGCAUGACCUGCCAUAUCUACAGAUUCAACAUAGUCCCUGUGGAGAGAAAUGGUUAAAACAUCACCUUCCAGAGAGACAUUCUGUAUCCUCUCUGGAGCAACUCUUACGGAAUGCUCAUCUACAGGUGCGAUUGCAUCAUUCACCUGCAGGAUAGUCACGUCAGGUGACUUGACUAUUUCUAAAAUGUACCUCAAUCGAGUCAGGUCUUUCUUCUAUCACAUGGCAGUUACGAUCAGAUUGAACAUGUGAUUUCUCAUAGGUUAUGGGAACCUUAGCUUGUGACCAUACAAUUCCAUUCACACAGUCAAUAAUUGUGUUAAGUCUUCUGAGUAUGUCUAUACCCAGAAUCAGUCGGUCAUAGGGGAGAUCUACCACUAUCACCGGGUGUCUAAAGGUUUUGUUACCUAUUUUAAAUUUUAACCAGGUAUUGUCAAUAACAUGAAGGGCAUUUCCUCCUACACUCAACAGAGCAUUGGGGAAAUCUCUUAGCUUCGGCUUAUCCGCUGCUAAGUCCAUUACCUGCUGGAAGUAGGUAUUGGAUAAGAUAGUGGCUUGUGAGCCAGUAUCUAUUAACCCUUUGAAAGGCUGGGGUAACGAAUCCUGUAUUUCUACAGACAUGUAGUACCUUCCUUCAUGUUCUUCUAAUUCACAUAAAAAAUUUGAAUGUGUCAACAUAUCACUCGUUUUGCAUAUGUUACCUGUCACAGCAGUAGUUUCUACCUGUACUGAGGAAUGCUCAGUCUUACCCACAGGCCCAUCCUUCUUGGGAAUAUCUUGAACUGUCAAGCGGGAACUAGUGGUCGGCAUCUCAUCAGUUAACCCUUUCAGGUCUGGAUCCUGGAAACUAGUGGCUGCUGGGGCUAUUUUAGCCUUUGGCUGAAAUGAAAAAACAGAGGAACACGUUGCGCCCCCUUCACCCGAAAGUGAAGUGACGGUAUAGGCAAUAGGUUUUCUUACACAACUAUUGUUUGUUUGACUAUUAGUACCUGGAAAGGAAACAGGGUUAGGUAUUACAUCUACUGACAACCUAGCCUGUUUAGUCACAGUGGCUAUUAUUGCUGCGGCACCUGUUGUUGUUGCUGCAGUUGCACAGGUGGCUCUGCAAUUUGAGCUGUCCCUAAAAAAGGAUUUCUGGAAAAGACUUGGUUAAUCUUUGUCAUUUCCUCCAUUAAUUUGCCUAUCUGGUCUGUCAAUUGACCAACCUGACGACGCAAAUUAUUUCCCCCAUUGCAGUUUUGUCUUUGCCCAUUAGAAUUUAGCUGGGAUGGCUGAGACUGUUGGGAGUUACUGGAAGCAGAUUGGUUAUUUCUGUUUCCAUAUCUCCUAUUUCCCUGAGGAUUCCUCCUCCAUUGGGAAUUGCAUUGGUUCUUAUUAACCCAGGGGCGUUUAUUCCCAUUGGCAUUGGAUUUUUCAGAGUUACUAUCAGAGGAAUUUACAGAAUUGCUUCCGGCGUUUUCAAAACCUCAGAAUAGGUCCUCUUUUUCUGUUGGGUUUCUAAACCUAACUGAAUUUUAGUCUUUGACACCGUUUUAUCACCAGGUUUCUUAACCUUUGGCUGAUUUUCAUCAUGUGCAUGGUGUAUAGUAUACAAUUUCAUGCACUGACUGACUAGCCAUUCUAAUGGUAACUUACAAUCAUAAUCUCUUGCGAGAUUAAUUUGUAUGUUUACCGGCAUGGCAUGAAAAUACAGAUCUUUGAAGUCUGUACUUUCAUACCUGGGUUUCCUUUGGGCCACGGAAUAUGCAUUUUUAAGAAUUAUUAAAAAUUCUCUGGGGCUUUGAUCAGGACGGCACUUUAAGUUAUAAAGCGCUUUCUUAACAGAGGUAACGGUUUUAUACUUACCAUAUUCCAUGAUUAUUUAAUAUUUCAUCUUGGACCAGGACAUUAGCUGAAUAGCUUGAAGACUUUCUAGAUAAACACGGCACAUUGAAACAAAGGUCCAUGUAAUGAACCAUUUCUUUUGGAUUUCAUCAUACAUGCCUAAUGAAUUCAUGGCUCUUUCAUAAUUUUCCAGAUGUUCAGAUAUGUUUCCUGAACCUCUAGAAAAUUGUGGGACAGUCUCUUUAAGGAAUUAAAUGACCUUUGGUGUUUCAUAAACAGGCAUAUUUGAGUUAUUGCUCCUGUUUCUAUCCACCCUUCUUUUUGGUAAACGUCUAUACGAUCUGGCUGCUGAAGAGGAAUUAGAUCCGUACAACAGUGCAGAUGGCAUAUCAUUCACAUGGCCUUCAGAGUGGACAGUGCAAUCACUUUCACUCCCAUCACUCUGAGCUUCUCGUUCACUGUCACAAUUCUGAUCUGCAUCAGAGUUCUGCCAGUGUACAGCACCAUGUCUGUUUUCAUUCCUAUCACCUUGAAUUGGACUCUCCCUCUCAAGUUUGGCCAAGACAGUCUUUUCAAAUUGUCUUUUCAAACUGUUCUGCCCAAGAUUGCCUCACCUAGAAUAGGAAGAGACAGAGAUAUAUCACUAUAGAUGCCAUUUAAUCUGAUUACAUGGUGAGCAACAUAUUACAUUCUUGCCACAUCCACUUCCUCAAUCAUUCCCUGAAGUCCCUUACUUGACCAGGUGUAACGAAGGGUCUUCCUAUUAGGAUUUCAAAUGGGGACAAGCCUGUUGUAUUGUUUAGUGUAGUCCUGAUUUCUGCCAGUGCUGCAGGCAGAUGAUCAGGCCAAUUAUGAAAAGUACCAGUGUUACCCUUCCUCAACUUGUUCUUAAUAGUUAUGUUGGUCCUCUCUACUUGUUCUGAUAAUUGUGGGUAAUAGGGGAUAUGGAAAUUUCAAUCAAUUUACAAUAUUUUGCUGAUGUGCUGUUUCAAUUGGGAUGUGAAAGGGUUGCCACUGUUGCUGUUGGGAUAUUGACUUUACACACUGUUUUUGCUGUUUCCCUACAGGGGGAAUCUUCAGGCUGCCUAAUAAAUUGGUCAGCAAUGACCAACAGAUACUGAUACCCACCUUUAGCCUUAGGCAUGCGUGUAAAUGAAUAUUUUUAUUAUUAUUAUUAUUGCAAUUUAUAUAGCGGCAACAUCUGCAGAUGUUGCAUGAGCACAUCUACUGGAGGUGAAUGAUCAGUCUUACUAAUAAUUUGUUCCACCAGUUUUCUGAUCAUUUAAAAUAGAUCUCUACAUACAAACCUUUUUUGACAUUCUCUUGCACCUGUUGUGUGCUUUUGUGUAAAAAAAACAAGAUUGCUUUAGAAAGGCCUAUUUAUCCCUUCUUGUUUGACCAAAGGCCUGAAGGGUCUUUUGUCAAGCCUCUUGAUUCCCUUAAGGAAAUGUCAUCAGGCAGCAAACGUUUACUUACCUCCCAACAGCUCCUCAAGCUCCCCAGUGUAAAUCUCGUGAGACCCGCUGCUGUGAGAGCGUUGCCAUGGGUUACCCAUUGGCAAUGCUCCGCAUGGCAUGCUGGCCACGAGAUUUACGCUGGAGGAGCUGCUGGGAGGUAAGUAAACGCUUGCUGCUGGCCCCCCCACAGCUCAGUACAUGCCACUGGACCACCAGGGACUGCUAUAUCCCCCCUCCCUGGCCAGGCAACAAGCAGGGAGGGGGAACAAAAAAUGUAAAUACAACAUAAACACUAAAAAUCUAAAUAAAACAUAAACAUUAAAAAUGUAAAUAAAACAUAAACAUUAAAAAUUUUAAUAAAAAAUGCCUUCCCCCUCCCACCCCCCACCCCCCAUUUUACACAAGUUUACAUCUCUUCAGGAAAACACACACACUCUGCAUUAUACACUACACACUCUGUAUAUAAUGUAAUAUAGUGUGUGUGUUUAUAAUGCAUUAUAUACACACACACUACACUAUAUACACACACUACACACUGUAUUCAAUAUAUAUAUAUAUAUAUAUAUAUAUAUAUAUAUAUAUAUAUAUACACACACACACACUAUACAAACACACUGCAUUCUUUACGCACACUACACACACUGCAUCAUCUAUACGCACACUACACACGCUGCAUCCACUAUACGCACACUACACACACUGCAUUCACUAUACACACUGCACGCACUUUACGCACACUUCACACACACUGCAUUCACUUUACACACCACACACUACAUUCACUGUACACACUCUACACAAACACACACACUCUGCAUUCAUUAUAUACACACUACACAAUGUCACUGCAUUAACUAUACAUACUACACAAACAGUCACUGCAUUAACUAUAUACACUACACAAACACACCCUGCAUUCAUUAUAUACACACUACACAAAUACACACAGCUCCACUGUCUAAACACACUGCAUCCACUGCAUGUGGCUUGUAUAUUUUGUGCAUUAACCUUUCAAAAUAGUUUAUUUUUUCAAAAUGGUAAAUGCACAGAAUAUCGUUAAGUUAUCGGCUAUCGGCCUGAAAGUUCACAGAUUAUCGGUAUCGGCUCUAAAAAAUCAGUAUCCCAAAUAGAAAUGGUAUAGAAUAUGCUGUGAGAACCUUUACAGGGAAUUGGACUACGGAAAAUCUGUCAAGAAAACACUAUCAGACGGCCUACUACAGGACCCAUUAACAAACACAAUGUCACCUUUCUGUAGGGGUGUGUCUGUGAAGUCAGCACUUGUAAACAGCCAUGGUCUUUGUUGGAUUCUGUGUCAUGUGACAGAAAAAGUUUGUGUAGAAGUGUGGCUGGGCAUGAUUAGGGUAAUGCAUAUUUAAUCUAGAGGCCUUGAGUGGAAGUAAGUAUGGUUUCAUAUCUUGAGCAUCUCUGUACAGUCGAGUGGUGAGCAUAGGCAUGCGCACGGGGUGUGCCUGGGCACACCCUAAUCACACCUCUGUGCUGUACUACCUUUGGGCAGACUAGCAUGUCGGGUCCUCGGUCUAUGACCGAGGACCGGACACAGCAGGGGGCCCGGCGGCUUGCCCACAAUGCCCACGGCUUGCAGUGAGUGACAGGGGGUAGAGUGACAGGGGGAAGAGGGGGGUUUAAAUACCUUCCCUGGUGGUCCAGUGGGCGCCCUCUCUCUUCAGUAUACAGCUCCACCGGGAGUGAGCUGCAGACAGAGGUGUCUCACGAUCUCCAGCCUGUUAGAGCAUUACCACGGCAAUGCUCUGCCUGGAGAUCGCGAGACUCACCAUGUGGUCUGCAGCUCACUCCCGGCGGAGCUGCAGACUGACUCUACCCCCUGUCACUCACUGCCCCCCCACCCUACUCCCUGCCACUGCCCCUCUACCCCCCAACUCCUGUCACUAGCCCUCUGCCCCCCCUAACCCUUGUCACUACCCCCCAACCCCUGUCACUACCCCUCUACCCCCAAGCCCUGUCACUACCCCUAACCCUGUCACUGCCCCUCUACCCCCAAGCCCUGUCACUUCCCCUAACCCUUGUCACUACCCUCUACACCCCCUAACCCCUAUCUCUGCCCAACCCCUGUCACUGCCCUUCUACCCCUAACCUGUCACUGCUGACCCCCUAACCCAUGUCACUGCCUCUCCACCCCCUAACCCCUGUCCUGCCCCUCCUCCCCCACCCCUGUCACUGCCCCCUCUACCCCCCACCCUGUCACUGCCCCUCCUAGCCUCUAACCCUGUCAUUGCCCUAACCCCUGUCACUGCCUCUCUCUCCCCUAACCCCAUAUUAGCCUUUCCACCCCCCCGCCAACCCCCUGUCACUGCCCCUCUACCCCCCCAACCCCUGUUACUACACUAAACCCUGUCACUUCUCUCUACUAACACCGGUCACUAGCCCUCUACCCCCUCUAACCCCGGUCACUACCCCCCUAACCCCUGUCACUACCCCAACCCCUGUCGCUGCCCCUCCACACCCCUAAUCCCUGUCGUCCACACAGUGCACCCCUGUCGCCCACACAGUGCACUCCUCACAAUCAUACACACUGUACCCUACACACACUGCAUCCCUCACAAUUACACACACUGUACCGCUCACAAUUACACACACUGUACCCCUUACAAUUACACACACUGUACCCCCCACACACUGCAUUCUCACAAUCAUACACACUGUACCCCACACACACUGCAUCCCUCACAAUUACACACACUGUACCGCUCACAAUUACACACACUGUACCCCUUACAAUUACACACACUGUACCCCCCACACACUGCAUUCUCACAAUCAUACACACUGUACCCCACACACACUGAAUCCCUCACAAUUACACACACUGUACCCCUUACAAUUACACACACUGUACCCCUCGCAAUCACACACACUGCACCCCUUACAUGCUGCGCCGCUCACAAUCACACACACAAACUACGCCGCUCACAAUCACACACACAAACUGAACUGCUCACAAUCACACACACACACUGCACCUAUGUAUAUUUGUAUUUGUAUACAUAUAUGUGUGUGUAUGUAUGUAUAAGUAUGUGUGUGUAUGUGUAUAGAAAAAUGCAUAUAUACGCGACGUGUGUGUUUGUGCUUUAGGGUGCACACCCUAAUGCAACAGGCUGCGCAUGCCUACGGUGGUGAGGUUGUUGAGGACUUGCAAUCUCAACUAACAUGGCAUUUGUAGCAACAGCUCUCAAGCAGACAUACCCUGUAGAACCGUAGACAACACUUUUGAAUAAUAAGAAACAUGAUGAUAUCCCAUGCCGUGUUCCUGUGCCAGAACCCCAGAAGCAGUGAAGUAGCCUCUACUAAUUUGUAGAACCAGUGCUGAAGCAGAGCAGAGAAUGUUUGAGAGUCAUCUAAGUUUCAAGCAAGUCAUUUGUCCAUUGAAUAGUCUCUGGGGCCUCUGAUAGUGUAGCUGAUCUGAGAAUGUGGUCAUCGUGGGAACAGUCAGGUAUUCACUGUCUGCAGUAGGUAACCUUCCCUAGAAAUGACAGCACUGGCAGCCUUGUUGUAGAGUUGCAUGAUGGCUUGAAUGCGGUCUGGAGCAACGACAGUUGCCCCUGGGACAGCAGGAAUCCAGGUAUUUAACCUUAGGGAAGCAGACUUGUAGCUUCUUGUAAGAGGCCUUGUGAUCUACAGCAUUCAGGUGAGUCAGUAAGGACAGCAUGUCAAUUUUACUGGCUUGCAUCUGGGGCUACAGAGUAGGAGAUUCUCCACAUACUUUAGGAUAGUGGAACCACAACUGGAAGUCCAUAACUCCACGUUAAGGCGUACCAUGGCAGAGAACUCUGUUAGGGAGUCACAGAAGCCUUGGGUAAGGCGGUUCCAUGUGUAUUGACUCCCUUUAUAUGUGAAAGCAAAAAUAGCUCUGGUAUCAGGGUCUACUGGGAAGCUAAAGAAAUCACUGCAAAGGUCAAUAGUACUAUAUUGAAUGGACUCCUGAGGUAUGGAAGUGAUGAUGGAGUUAAAAUCUUGAACUAUUGGGGUCAAAGAUUGCCCCCUGAAACUUCCAGCCCUCAGAUCUUGUGUGAACCUUGCUGUCUGAUUUUGGCACUUGGUUAAUAGGGGUGUUCCAUGAAGAGUAAUUAGGUGAAACACUAUGCCUUUACACCACAAUUCCUGGAUCACUGGGUUAAUUCCCUGCUCCUUUUUUGUUGACUUUGAAUACUGCUUAAUAUGAACUGGCUGAGCACCUGUUUUCAGUGUAGCUUUGUAUAGUGUGCAGUCAGUGUAGCCCGGGUCUGUGUGGGAAAUGUCCCAGAGUGAUGGGAGUAGUAGUGAGAUAGGAGAUUUGGUUGAAGUGGAUGUCAUCUCAAACUGAGCAUAGUCGAAUAAUUAUUUUCCUGAUCCUUUUUCCUUCACGAAAAAAAAAAAAAUAUUAAUUUCGUUCCGUCUACUGAAAUAAACUUUGAUCCAUUACCAAGUGUGCAAAAGCUUGACCAGAACUUGCAAAACUUGUCGGUGGUGACUGACAAGAUCCUUCGAAUAAAUUCGUCUAGAUACACGAUCACGAGUUCUUGUUGGAAUUCCCUCAAGACAUCAUUAAUGAAAUUCUGGAAGACAGCCGGGGCAUUACAUAGCGCGAUAGGCAUCAACGUAUACUCGUAAUGCCCGUAUCUGGUGUUAAAGGCUGUCUUCCACUCAUCCCCUUUGCGGAUUCUAACAAGAUUAUAAGCACUUCUCAAAUCCAGUUUAGUAAAAAUGCUGGCCCCUUUCAACCUGUCAAAUAACUCAGUUAUGAGAGGAAUAGGGUUACGUAUAGUAAUGCUAUUUAGUCCUCUAUAAUCAAUGCAUGGCCUAAGAUCUCCUUCCUUCUUGGAUACAAAAAAAAAUCCAUCCCCUGCGGGUGACGAGGAUUUCCCAAUGAACCCUUUCUCAAGAUUCUCUUUAAUGUACUCCUCAAGUACUGCAUUCUCUUUUACCGAUGGGGGUAAACUGUACCUUUAGGAGGCAUAGUGCUCGGUAAUAAGUCACUAGCGCAGUCAUAUAUUCUGUGGCUAGUUAACACAUUGGCCUUGACUUUAUCAAACACCUCUUUAACUUUCAGAUAUUGAUCUGGAAUGACAAUGGCAUUAGUAGACGUGGUAGGUACACUAGUGAGAAGGAUAGGUUUUAUGUUCGUAAUACAACUCUGAUGACAUUUGUUGCUCCAAGUUACUAUGUCACCCUUCUCUCAAUUUAUAGUAGGGUUAUGCUUCUUCAGCCAAGGGAAUCCUAAUACUAUUGGGAAGGUAGGUGAAGAAAUUACCUGGAACACACAAUGUAAUACGCCAACCAACAUGGAAAUUGGUUUGGUUUCAUGUUUUUUUUUUCUUUCAUGGAGGCGUCUACCAUCUAUGGCCUCAACGGCCAAGGGUGUAUCCCUUAACUGAGAUGGGAUAGAAUUUCCUAGAGCAAAAUUCUGGUCGAUAAAAUUUUCCGCUGCACCAAAGUCGAUUAAUGCUGCGGUUCUGACCAAUCCCUCUUCCCAAGUUAGGGUGAUAUUAAUCAAAAGCCUUUGAUUCUGGAGUUCUAUGGAGGAGAAUGAAGAAACACCCAAGGCCUGUCCUCCAUGGGGACUUAGGUGCGGAAGUUUCCCGGCCUGCUGGGAAAAGAUAACCAGAGAUGGCCUCUUUGACCACAAUGAAGACAUAGUCCCUCUCUUUUUCUGUAUUGGCAUUCUGCCUCAGUUAACCUAGUAGCUCCUACUUGCACAGGUUCGGGCAAGGCAAGUGCCAUAGAAUCAGAGGUAUUAGGUAAAGGUGUGGUAUAACUUGGAGUUCUUCUAGUUCUGUCUCUAGUGUUCUCCUUUACCUCAUCCUCUCGUCUAUGGGAGACAUAAAAGUUAUUACCUCCUCUAAAUUCUCUGGAAGAUCUCUAGUGGCAAUUUCAUCUAGCAUGGCUUCUGAUACCCCAUUCAAAAACACAUCGAUAUAAGCCUGGUUAUUCCAUGCUACUUCAGAGGCUAAUGAUCUGACUUCUAGUGCAUAAUCCACUAAAGACCUAUUCCCUUGCCUAAGACGAAGAAGAGUUCUGGCGGCAUUUGCCCUUCUACCAGGAGGAUCAAAGGUUCGCCUGAAAGCCUCCACAAAUGCUGAAUAGUUGUAGACUAUAGGAUUAUUGUUUUCCCAUAAAGGAUUAGCCCAGGUCAAAGCUCUGUCUAUUAGAAGGCUUAUCAUGAACCCUACCUUUGCUCUAUGGGUAGGAUAUGAUCGAGGUUGGAGCUCAAAAUGUAUGCUAAUUUGGUUCAAGAACCCUCUACACGCCUCUGGUGCUCCACCAUAUCACAGUGGUGUUUUAACAUGAGAGGAAGCUCCUACCGUAGCUACUUCCAGGCCAGUAUUAACAUGCAGAAACAUUACAAAUCUCUUCAGUACUGGUAGUAGGUCUGUUAAUCAAGGUCUGCAAUGCAAUAGCCAUUUGAUCAAUGCGAUGGUCCAUUUGCUCAAAACGGUUAUUGCAAGGAUCUGCUUGGUUACAUACACCUCCCGGAUCCAUAUGGCCCUGUUGUAAUGUCAGGAAUAAGGGGAAUCCUAACAGAGAGUGUAGGUAAAGUAGUAACGUACCGGACCUUAGAAUGGCCGGACUGAUGUUACUGAGAGAAAGAAUAAACAGGACGAGCUGAGGUCAGGGAAGCCAGAGGUAGGACAAAACGAGAAUAACAAGCCAGGUCAAACGGAUACCAGAGAGAAGAAUAGUCAAGACAAGCCAAAAUUCAAAAUCAGAAAAAAUACCAAGAAUAUAACGCGCUAUCAGGACCAAGAGGAACCACAACAGGGCAAAUAUCCUAACUCAUGGGAGCCUUUUUAUAUUGUGACUGGAUCUGUCUGGGAUGAUAACCACGACCCCCGUUUGGAUGAUUAAUUAUGUCAUUUGGCUCCGACCCCUUUUUCAGUGCAUUUUGGUUCCUCCCCUUUUGCGUCAUAAAAAGGGACGGGGCUAUUGUGGCCGGCGCGAAAAUGACUAAAGUUGCUGGAAGAUUGCCAGGUCAUGUCCCUAGAGUCUUGCAGAUGAACUCCACUGUGACCAGACGCCUGAGUCUCUACAAAAGGUACCCUGACACUGACAUACUGGAGGCAUUCCGUGAUUUCUAUUCCAACUUAUAUAAUCUCCGCUCAAGCCCGCCUAGAAAGGAGUAGAUCACAGAAUUUCUCUCUUCCCGAAUCAGCCACACACUACCUGCCAACAUUCAAUGCACCCUCGACACCCACAUGUCGAUGGGAGAAUUUGCAGUUAAAAACCUUCCUUUCCAGAAAGAGUCCAGGCCCAGAUGGCUAUACUGCCAAAUACUUUCAGGGAGCUUCAAGCUGACCCAUUUCUCAAAGCAUUCAACUUCCUCAUGCACGCGCCCACACUUCCAAACUCUGCCCUGGAAACUCACAUCAUCCUGAUCCUCAUACCAGGGAAAGAACCCGUGACCUGUGGGAGCUAUAGGCCUAUAUCCCUAAUCAACAUUGACCUGAAAAUUUUCACAAAAAUCUUGGCCACCCGUCCCUGCCCAUUCCUACGGGGGCUAGUCCACCCUGAUCAGGUGGGCUUUGUCCCAGAAAGAGAAGCAAAAAACAACACGUCUAAAAUGCUCAACCUCAUCUACCUAGCCCAACACUCCAGUUUGCUUCCCUCGGUCGAUGCAAAGAAGGCCUUCGACAGGGUGGACUGGUCUCUUCUCCUAGAAAGCCUCAGGGCUAUGGGGUUUGGCCAGGCCCGGCUUCAAUGCAUGACAGCGCUUUACUCCAACCCGAGUGCCAAGAUUCGAAUUAAUGUCCAACUAUCGGAACCUGUGACCAUUAGAAACAGCACGAGGCAGGGGUGCCCCCUCCUCUUCAUUCUUAUAAUGGAGACCUUUCUCCAGGGCAUUAGAGACAACCGAGAAAUUAACCGAUUUCAGAUCAAUAAUCGAGAAUAUAAAAUUGCAGCGUGUGUUUGUGAGUGUAUCUACAACCACCUAUAUUUAUAUAUUGCCCCAGUCGUAUCACCAUCAUAUAUUGCUCCUGAGUGGGCGAGAAGCCAUAUUCUACGUGUGUUUGUGAGUGUAUCUACAACCACCUAUAUUUAUAUAUUGCUAAGUUUUUUUACUGUAUUACGCUAUGUUGGAUCUCUGAUUUUUAUACAGAAUCCAUAUGGAUCACAUUUUCCAUCAGCUUGUUGUAUAUUUUAUAUAUUAAUUUACACGUAUUCUGGGUGUUUUUCCACUUUCUUACUAUUGUACAUUGUUUCUCGGGUGUCUGUGAGGUACACCAGGGAAUUCUUCCAGCUAUACGUUUUUGUGUAGUGUAUAUAUAAUUCUUUAUCUAUAUAAAAUUGCAGCGUUUGCUGAUGACCUCCUGUUCACCAUUACUGACCCCGGCACCUCCAUGCCACAAAAUUACACCAAUACAAUAGUAUUUCCAAAUACAAGGUCAAUUUCACGAAGAGCGAAAUACUCCCUCUAAACAUCACCCACACCACCAACUCAUCCCUCCAAACCAAUUUCCAAUUUGCUUGGGCUGAGGAAGCAGUCAAAUACCUAAGGGUCAAACUCCCUAGGGACCUAACUAAACUUUACAGCCUCUAUUUCCACCACCUCCCCCACUAAAAACAUUUACAGAGGAUUUACUUAAAUGGAACAAACCUCUUUUUGGAUGGCUAGCCCGCAUACACAUCCUUAAAAUAAACAUCCUCCCCAAGCUAUUAUACCUCGUGCAAGUCUUACCCAUAACCCUGCCCAAGACAUUCUUUGCAUCAAUAAAAUGCAUAUGGGUACACAAACACCCCAGACUUCCGCACAAGCUUCUAAUGAUGCCUAAACCGAGAGGUGGCUUAGGACUACCCAACAUUGAAACCUACUACAAAGCCAUAACCCUAUCCAGUUGUCACAACCACAAAAUAUGAAACACUGGGUACAAUUGGAAGCUUCACUGAACCACUACACACAAUCCCUUGGCAUGAAAGGACUAGUACACUCCUUCCCCAGACCCACCGCUCCCAUCCAACAAUAGAGCCUACCCUAAAAACAUGGCAGAGCACAACAUCGCUACCCCACAUCUCCCCCUACCUAUCUCCGCUCUAUCCAGUGACACACAACCCACUCUUCCCACCGGGCAUGAAUGCAUCCACCUUUAGCGCGCUUCAGGACGCCCAAUCCCACUACCUCAAACUCGGCACCCUUCACCGACAAAGGUCCCAGACCACUAGAGGGAUCAGACACUACCAACAACCCAAUCACACUACAACGUUUUAACCUGAGACAACUCAGACAUUUCAUCUCCUCAAAUCCAGCCCUCCUGAAGAAAUAAGCUGCAAAACUAACACAAUUAAAACGAAACAACUCUCCACACUUCACAGGCUCCUCCAAGAGGACCCUAGCAGCCCCAAACCCAAGUUUCUCUCCCUCUGGGAAGAGGAAUUACAGAUUACGUUCUCCCCAUCUGAAUGUAAACAGAUUUUUAUCAAUGUCUUCCACUCAUCCAUCAGUAACGCCACCCACGAACACAACUACAAACGAAUAGCCUGAUGGCACUAUAAACCCUCACACCUCCACCGACUCUUUCCCCAAUUAUCUGGGAUUUGCUGGCGAUGCCUCCAGGAAAAGGGCACGCCUGGCCACAUUUGGUGGUCAUGCGACCUCAUCCAAAAAUUCUGGAAGAAAAUUAUAUCUCUCAUCCACAUAACCUCGGAGUCCAACUUCCCAUGUCCCCUAAAGUCUUGCUGUUGUUGCUAUACCCGACUCCACUCUCCAAAAGCCAAUGUAUACUGAUCAAUCACCUAUUGACAGUGCUCAUCAUGUUAAUCCCAAUACACCUGGGUACAGGUGGCUGACAAGCAUCAUAACACAAUAAAUCCUGUAGGGCUCAUACCAGGCUAGAACUGAUGGGGCAAUAUAGUGUCUUUCUAUUGUCCUAUCAUUCGUGCCCUUCGUUUCCCUUAGGAACUGUUCACAUACAGAGGAUCCUAGUUGCUCUCCCUACCUUAGGGGAAGCAAGAAAAAGGAAGGUUUCAGGGUUCAAUCCUCCUUCCUCACCACACUGUAGUACCUGCAUAUCUGUUUAGCGUGCUUCCCAUGGCUACUGAUCACCCACAUACAUAGCAAUUAGUUACAUGUUUUCAGCUAGGUCAAAAAACAAAUUACGAGUGGUGUGGGAAAUUUCAAUCUGGGAUCCCAUUUCUUUGUAAAAGGAUUGAAAAACCUGGUGGGUUUCACUCUUUAUGACUUCAGUUUUAAUAUUCAAAUAUAGUAUGGUUCCUGGGUCUGUACCAGAACCAUAUAUCUGCAGACCAUGGAAGGUGCCCCACUUGUAAAGGAAUACCAGGGGAAUUGGAGCCUGGGAUAGGAACAAGGAUAAGGUGUCGGGUUGCGUACGAAGAUUGGGGGGUAACCCCUCGAAAUAGAACUAAAUAAGAGAGAAAAGAAACAAAGACAGAGAAACCAGGAAUAAAGAAGUAUAUAUAUCCUAAAGGUUCCCUGUGAUUGUUAAGCAACCCAAAAGUAAAUGAUAAAAUAUAACUUUUAUUAAAUGCCUUCUAAAAGUCAAUAACUAGUAAAGUGAGUAAAUAGAGUAAGUAAAAAAAGCCUACUAAAGGGAGAGGAGAAUAGAGUUAUUGCAAUAGCUCAGUAGUUCCAAAAAAUGUAGAUAAAAUUAUGAUCUGGUGGAUGCUAUAAAACAUCCCAUAAAGUCUAGAAAGUAUUAAGCUAUAUAACCCUAAUGUAAUAAUUGCUGACUCCUAACUCCCAUUAAUCUAAGGCUGAAAUCAUCUGCCUAGUAAAGACAAUCAACAGAAACCUCAAAGGAAGGUGCUAAGAGGUAGAGAAUAUUAAGUAAUAAACUAGAGAGAGGGUGAUAAUGUCUAAAGCAUUAUACUAAUUCUGGCUGCAGCAUCGUCCCCACAAAGUCUCUAACCACCCGCUCAAAAAAGUCCCGACGCGCGUUUCGCCACGAGGGCUUUUCAAGGGAACCGGACUGAACGCCGGACGAGGUUUAAAUAACCCGCCCUCCGCUGUGACUGGUUAGAAAGGUCACCAAUCACAGAUGGGGGGGCGGAGUCAAGUGCCGAAACCGGUUUGUCCGAAAUCACCGGGGAAACCGGCACGGAAAGUAAAUAAUGGAGACACAAUUAACUUAUAAAUCAUCAAGAUAUUAAAUAGGCAAAUUGAAGCAAAAUAUUAUGUCAGAAAAAGUACCCACAAAAAUAUAGUUAUGAGGAGAAGAAAGACAUAUCCAACAAAGUAACAAUAAGGCAGAUUCGGAUACAUUGGUAUCACUACAUGACAGUACAUAAGUAAUGAACAGUCUAUAGACAAAAAAGUAUAAAUAGUUAUGUAAAUAUUGCUCUACCAGCUAACAGAAUGAUCAAAACAAACUUAUAAUGUGAAUUCUGAGGGCAAAAAAUGUAUAUAUAGCCCAAGAUCAUUUUGGUCAAUUAUGUUUUUACAAAAAAUUAAUUAAUAUAGAGAAAUAAUGAAAUAAUGAAUAGGGACAACAUGUCCAAACUGAUAGGACCAGAAGAUCUAUAGAACAAAGUAGGUCCAUCAGUGUUAAAAAAUGAUGGAUCAGGAUAAAACGAAACUUACAAGAAUAAUAUUAGAAGUAAUAGAAAAACUAUAAAGAAAGGGGGAGAGAUAUUCAGUAAGAACUGUAUAUAGUGAGUGUAAACAAUGACUAAUUGCGGCUAUGACACACAUUGGGAACCAGCAAAGGGCCCCAAUGGUAAAAGAUUUUGUCAAAGAUUAUAAAAUUAAAGAGAGAACCAGACAGACAGAACUAAUCAAGUGUGAAUAAAAGGAGUAAAGUUAAACUCCUCAUUCAACCCCUUGGGGUAUAAUGUUUGAAACAAAUAAAUCCAACGGGAUUCAGCUUUCAGUAGGGCAAUAUUGAUGUCCCCUUUUCUGUGGUUCAAAAAAACUUUUUGAAUUACUUGAAAUUUGAGUACAUUAGGUCUGGAAUCAUGGUUUGUACGUACAUGUCUGGCAAUCGGAGUAUCCAAAUGUAAAUUGGAAAUAGAAUUAAUAUGUUGCAGGACACGUCGACGUAACUGUUGGUACGUCUUGCCGAUGUACUGUAAUCCACAGUCGCAUGUAAUAAUGUAGACAACGUUGGUAGAACCACAGUUGACAAAAGAGUUCACCUCGAUGUCUUUAGCGGUUUUAUGAUUCCGUACUCCCUUAGAUGGUAAAAUGAAGUCACAAGCCUUGCAGUGCCCACAUCUAAAAAGACCCUUGGUCUGAAGCCAGGUAGAUUUAGUUGGUAUAGGUUUCAAAUGACUUUGAGUCAAAAGGUCUGCGAGGUUCUUAGCUCUUCGAUAGGUUACAGAAGGUUUGAUAGUAAUGGUAUUCUUGAGGCAUUUGUCAUAUUGGAGUAAUGGCCAAUUGCGGUUGAAUACCUGCAGGGUGUUGUUCCAAUUUUUAUCAUAAGUCCCUAUCAAUCUGGUGACCCCAGCGUUAGGUUGAAUAAUCUUAGGGAGUUUAUGUAAGCUCUCAGAUCUGUCAACGGUUCUCGCUCUUUGGUAGGCUUUUUUAAGAAUACGAUUUGGGUAUCCUAGACUCUUGAAUCUCUGUCUGAGGGUUUUCGCCUCUCUUUCAAAGUCUUCUGGAUUGGAACAGUUUCUUUUUACCCUGAGGUAUUGGCCAUAAGGUAUGUUAGCCUUUAUAUGAAAUGGGUGAAAACUGUCCCAGUGUAAUAGACUAUUCGUGGCGGUAGGUUUUCUGUACAGUGAAGUGGAUACUGAACCAUCUUCUGUCAGAGCAAUUGUGAGAUCCAGAAAGACUAGGUGACUCUCAUGAAUAACAUGAGUAAGUUUAAGAUUGAUAUGGUUAAUAUUCAAUACGUCAACCCAAUCUUUGAAUGAUGAAAAAGAGCCUAACCAAAAGAUUAGCACAUCGUCAAUGUAGCGAAACCAUUUGUAGAUUGACGAGGUGUACAUGGCAUAGGGACUGGUGAAAACUAUCGUUUCUUCCCACCAUCCCAAAAACAGAUUAGCGUAGCUGGGUGCACAAGAAGAGCCCAUCGCAGUGCCCUGUAUUUGUAAGUAGUAUUUCCCGUUGAAUGUAAAGUAAUUGUGAGUAAGCACAAACUGUAAUAGAAGCAGGAUAAACUCCUGUUCCUGUAGAUUGAAGGUUUUGGCUUUUUGCAGAAAGUAGGCUACUGCUGCUAGACCCUUGUCAUGUGGAAUGUUGUUAUAUAAUGCCACUACAUCCAGACUAGCCAGGGAUGUAUAGGGGGGCACGGUAAGAUGUUCCAAGGCUAGAAGUGUCUGUUUAGUGUCCCGUAUGUGUGAUUUUAAACCUAUUACCAGGGGUUGGAGCAGCUUGUCCAAAUAUUGGCUUGCUCUCUCAGUUAGGCAAUGGUUGCCAGAGACAAUUGGUCUGCCUGGAGGGUUCAAGAGGUCUUUAUGGAUUUUAGGAAGACAAUAAAAAGUAGCAAUAGUAAUAUUGGACUGAGAAACAAUAAACCUAGACUCAUGUUGAGUUAUCACAUUGUUAGUUAAAGCUUUUGAUACUAGUGAUUGCAAUUCAGCCAAAAACGUUUUCGUAGGAUCUUCCUUCAAAGCCUGGUAGGCCAUUUCAUCCAUGAGAUGUUGCAUACACAUGUUAACAUAUUGUUCUCUUUGCAUGAGGACAAUGUUGCCUCCUUUGUCAGAUUGUUUACAGACAACAUCUGUUGCUAACCUGAGCUCUUGUAAAGCCAGUUUUUCUCCUGCUUUAAGAUUAGAAAUGUGUGAUGAUGAAGGGAUCUGAUUUUCUAGUUCAUUGGUACAAAUCUGCACAAACAGAUCAAUACAAGGAAAUUCCUUCAAAUUGGGGGUAAACCAGCUCGGAGGUUUAAAGUUAGUUAGGGAGUCAGGAGUACCCUGUUCAGAGUGUAAGUCCAUAAGUGUAUUGAACAGUGCCAUGUCUUCAGGUGAAAGGCCAAGAUCUUUAAGUUUUUUUAAAUUAAUCUUUUCAUGUAAAGCAUGUAAGGCCAAUUUACGGCCAAAUAGGUUCACAUCUUUGGCCCAGUCAAAUUGGUUACUUAUAGGUGUUGGUAUAAAAGAAAGACCCUUUUGAAGAAGUGAUAUGUGUCUUUGUUUUAGGAUAAACUUAGAGAGGUUUAUUAUCUUAUUGUCCUGUGUUUGCACAACUAUUGGUAAUUGGUUUUCUGUGUCUUGUAUCCCCACUUGUUCCUGUCCCUUAGUCUUUCCCUUUGGGGCUGUGGCCAGUCCUGAUCUAAAAAAGUCAGGGAAGAUUGAGUAGGGCCUGUAGAUUCAAGUCUAGGAUUUGUAGUAGCAGUUUGAACCACAGGGGGGUCCAUAAAGGUUAUGUUCCUAUCAGUAUUUCUCAAGAUACCUUUGGUUUGUCCUGAGGCAGUAUGUUGAGUAAACCGAGUGUUAUGCCUUUUAUGGUACCGAGGUCUGGAAUCAGAUUCAGACCAUUCAGUUUCAUCUGAAGAGGAAAAACCUUUAUUAAAUGAUUUGUUAACAUUAAAUCUCCUUUUGUUCUUAUUUCUAAAGAUAUUCCCCUCUUGAAAGUCCCUAAAAUCCCUUUGAAAUUUGUAAUGUUUCUUUUGUUUGAUACUUCUUUUAAAACCUUCUAAGUUCUUGCUCAGCUUGCUCUCCAUAGCUGGAAAGCUAGGUUCUUUAUCAAAAUUCCUGAUAUUUUUAAUUUCAACGUCUAAUUCUCCGUUGGUUUUAUCCAAAUGUUGUUGUUCUAAUUGGAUUAAAAACUGCAUAAUUUUAGCAGAGCAAUCUAAAAGGAUAGAAUUCCAUUCUGCUAACUGUUCGUCAGUCUUGACUUUGUCAGGUAGCAGAAUGUCCGGUCUAAGGCCUCUGGGUACCAGUUUUUGUUCAAUGUAGUGUCUUAGGCUGGCUAGUUCCCAGAAUCCCCUUAGUUGUGUUUGAUAUAGCUUUUGUAUUGAGAAGAAGGCCUGAUUGAUAUCCUUGGGUUCAUUUUGUAAAUUACCCAAAGGUUUAUUAGAGAAGACAUUAUUAACGUCUUCAGAUGAAUAAUUAGGAUGCACCACCUGUUCUAGAAGGUCUGACAUAAUUAUUAGACUUCAAAAUGACUACUACCAAUAAAUGUACAAUUAAGAGUAGUAAGUGUUAAACAAAAAUGAUAGUAAGAAUAUCCUGUCCUAUAAAUUGGUAUUGAAACCUGAUGCAAAUAUAGAAUUGGAGCCUGGGAUAGGAACAAGGAUAAGGUGUCGGGUUGCGUACGAAGAUUGGGGGGUAACCCCUCGAAAUAGAACUAAAUAAGAGAGAAAAGAAACAAAGACAGAGAAACCAGGAAUAAAGAAGUAUAUAUAUCCUAAAGGUUCCCUGUGAUUGUUAAGCAACCCAAAAGUAAAUGAUAAAAUAUAACUUUUAUUAAAUGCCUUCUAAAAGUCAAUAACUAGUAAAGUGAGUAAAUAGAGUAAGUAAAAAAAGCCUACUAAAGGGAGAGGAGAAUAGAGUUAUUGCAAUAGCUCAGUAGUUCCAAAAAAUGUAGAUAAAAUUAUGAUCUGGUGGAUGCUAUAAAACAUCCCAUAAAGUCUAGAAAGUAUUAAGCUAUAUAACCCUAAUGUAAUAAUUGCUGACUCCUAACUCCCAUUAAUCUAAGGCUGAAAUCAUCUGCCUAGUAAAGACAAUCAACAGAAACCUCAAAGGAAGGUGCUAAGAGGUAGAGAAUAUUAAGUAAUAAACUAGAGAGAGGGUGAUAAUGUCUAAAGCAUUAUACUAAUUCUGGCUGCAGCAUCGUCCCCACAAAGUCUCUAACCACCCGCUCAAAAAAGUCCCGACGCGCGUUUCGCCACGAGGGCUUUUCAAGGGAACCGGACUGAACGCCGGACGAGGUUUAAAUAACCCGCCCUCCGCUGUGACUGGUUAGAAAGGUCACCAAUCACAGAUGGGGGGGCGGAGUCAAGUGCCGAAACCGGUUUGUCCGAAAUCACCGGGGAAACCGGCACGGAAAGUAAAUAAUGGAGACACAAUUAACUUAUAAAUCAUCAAGAUAUUAAAUAGGCAAAUUGAAGCAAAAUAUUAUGUCAGAAAAAGUACCCACAAAAAUAUAGUUAUGAGGAGAAGAAAGACAUAUCCAACAAAGUAACAAUAAGGCAGAUUCGGAUACAUUGGUAUCACUACAUGACAGUACAUAAGUAAUGAACAGUCUAUAGACAAAAAAGUAUAAAUAGUUAUGUAAAUAUUGCUCUACCAGCUAACAGAAUGAUCAAAACAAACUUAUAAUGUGAAUUCUGAGGGCAAAAAAUGUAUAUAUAGCCCAAGAUCAUUUUGGUCAAUUAUGUUUUUACAAAAAAUUAAUUAAUAUAGAGAAAUAAUGAAAUAAUGAAUAGGGACAACAUGUCCAAACUGAUAGGACCAGAAGAUCUAUAGAACAAAGUAGGUCCAUCAGUGUUAAAAAAUGAUGGAUCAGGAUAAAACGAAACUUACAAGAAUAAUAUUAGAAGUAAUAGAAAAACUAUAAAGAAAGGGGGAGAGAUAUUCAGUAAGAACUGUAUAUAGUGAGUGUAAACAAUGACUAAUUGCGGCUAUGACACACAUUGGGAACCAGCAAAGGGCCCCAAUGGUAAAAGAUUUUGUCAAAGAUUAUAAAAUUAAAGAGAGAACCAGACAGACAGAACUAAUCAAGUGUGAAUAAAAGGAGUAAAGUUAAACUCCUCAUUCAACCCCUUGGGGUAUAAUGUUUGAAACAAAUAAAUCCAACGGGAUUCAGCUUUCAGUAGGGCAAUAUUGAUGUCCCCUUUUCUGUGGUUCAAAAAAACUUUUUGAAUUACUUGAAAUUUGAGUACAUUAGGUCUGGAAUCAUGGUUUGUACGUACAUGUCUGGCAAUCGGAGUAUCCAAAUGUAAAUUGGAAAUAGAAUUAAUAUGUUGCAGGACACGUCGACGUAACUGUUGGUACGUCUUGCCGAUGUACUGUAAUCCACAGUCGCAUGUAAUAAUGUAGACAACGUUGGUAGAACCACAGUUGACAAAAGAGUUCACCUCGAUGUCUUUAGCGGUUUUAUGAUUCCGUACUCCCUUAGAUGGUAAAAUGAAGUCACAAGCCUUGCAGUGCCCACAUCUAAAAAGACCCUUGGUCUGAAGCCAGGUAGAUUUAGUUGGUAUAGGUUUCAAAUGACUUUGAGUCAAAAGGUCUGCGAGGUUCUUAGCUCUUCGAUAGGUUACAGAAGGUUUGAUAGUAAUGGUAUUCUUGAGGCAUUUGUCAUAUUGGAGUAAUGGCCAAUUGCGGUUGAAUACCUGCAGGGUGUUGUUCCAAUUUUUAUCAUAAGUCCCUAUCAAUCUGGUGACCCCAGCGUUAGGUUGAAUAAUCUUAGGGAGUUUAUGUAAGCUCUCAGAUCUGUCAACGGUUCUCGCUCUUUGGUAGGCUUUUUUAAGAAUACGAUUUGGGUAUCCUAGACUCUUGAAUCUCUGUCUGAGGGUUUUCGCCUCUCUUUCAAAGUCUUCUGGAUUGGAACAGUUUCUUUUUACCCUGAGGUAUUGGCCAUAAGGUAUGUUAGCCUUUAUAUGAAAUGGGUGAAAACUGUCCCAGUGUAAUAGACUAUUCGUGGCGGUAGGUUUUCUGUACAGUGAAGUGGAUACUGAACCAUCUUCUGUCAGAGCAAUUGUGAGAUCCAGAAAGACUAGGUGACUCUCAUGAAUAACAUGAGUAAGUUUAAGAUUGAUAUGGUUAAUAUUCAAUACGUCAACCCAAUCUUUGAAUGAUGAAAAAGAGCCUAACCAAAAGAUUAGCACAUCGUCAAUGUAGCGAAACCAUUUGUAGAUUGACGAGGUGUACAUGGCAUAGGGACUGGUGAAAACUAUCGUUUCUUCCCACCAUCCCAAAAACAGAUUAGCGUAGCUGGGUGCACAAGAAGAGCCCAUCGCAGUGCCCUGUAUUUGUAAGUAGUAUUUCCCGUUGAAUGUAAAGUAAUUGUGAGUAAGCACAAACUGUAAUAGAAGCAGGAUAAACUCCUGUUCCUGUAGAUUGAAGGUUUUGGCUUUUUGCAGAAAGUAGGCUACUGCUGCUAGACCCUUGUCAUGUGGAAUGUUGUUAUAUAAUGCCACUACAUCCAGACUAGCCAGGGAUGUAUAGGGGGGCACGGUAAGAUGUUCCAAGGCUAGAAGUGUCUGUUUAGUGUCCCGUAUGUGUGAUUUUAAACCUAUUACCAGGGGUUGGAGCAGCUUGUCCAAAUAUUGGCUUGCUCUCUCAGUUAGGCAAUGGUUGCCAGAGACCAGGGGAAUAAACAGGUCAGGUUCAAGGGGUUACAGGUGCCGGGACCACAACUAGAUGUGGCCGGCAUUGUCUGCAGACUUGCAGGUAGAGUAUCUGAUUUAUAGGUGGCCCAACCCACAUAACUCUAGUAGAAGCAGUAGUUAUACCCACCAUCUAUGCAAUCCCUAUUCUUUGGGCACAUCUACUUAUUGUUUAACGUAUAAGUUAUUUCCCAUGCCACCUCAGUACAGAUGGACUCAGGCCAUUUAGUCACUAUUAAUAUCACCAUAAACUCAAGAUGAGCAGAUGAUCCUGAAGAAGCUUUGACUUUGCAUCGGCACCUCAGCUUCUGGAUGUGAGGGCUGCAGGGUAAAGAGUACUUCUGAUUCUGUUCGGCUUCACAAGGCCUCCCUUGGGGUCCUCGGCUUUCCAUCAAUGGCAGGUGGUCAGGCAUUAUUAUGGCCACCUACUUGUAUUUUUACUAUCUUAAAGCGGAGUUUCAGAGGGUUGUCUGGAUCAACAGAAAUUACUUCCCAUGGAGCAGAGGCAGGCUUGAUUCUGGAGUGGUGGACCCACGGGGUGAUCUCAGCAACUUUCACGGUGUACUACUUGUUGGCGUGUGAUCUCUCCUCCUAUUUGGUGGAGGUCCCCUUUAAGGCCUAGGACAAUCGGUGGUGGUCGACCGUAUUUUUCAAAAGGGGAGAGGCCGGUGAGUUUUAUGGGGGCGCUCCUGACCCAGAACAGGGCAGUGGGGAGCAAACCAACACUUCCGGUUGGUUUCUUGGUACAUUUUAGCCAGGUGUAACCUCAUUGUUCGGUUCAUUCGCUCAACUUUCCAUGAACUUUGAGGUCUGUAGGCUGUAUGCAGUUUUCAUUUAAGACUGAGGCUGGUGGUCAAUUCCUGCAGGCACUUGUGUACAAAAUAGAAAGAAGAAGGGAGGAAACCGCGCUUUACAUAAAUUAUAUAUACAUACACUUGAUGUCUCUUGAUGGUUGUAAGUAUAUCCUCAAAAAAAGAACACAAAAAGAGAAUAUACAAUAGUGUAGUAUGUUUAACAAUAUUGAAAAAGAUAAUAAAUAAAGCGGAGGUAUUUUGAACUCACAUAUGGUGGAGCUAUUAUAGGAGCUCUACCGUAAUUGGCCUGGACGGUACAAUCCCCGUCUUAGGAUAAAAGGUCCAACGUCUUGGCACUCCAAUGGUAUGGUGGUACGAAUCAAAAUGGAAAAGGAAGGGAAACUCCAAUAGUGUAAUAGUUCCAGCUCCAAAUAUGAAUAAAUAAAUAAAAGUAAUAUACUCACAUUUGCUAGAGCAGACAACUUGCUCUAGUAUAUAAGGCUUACAGUGGUAUAAUCCCCACUGAAGGAUAUGCAGGUCAGGAAGUGGAUGAUGCAAAUGAAAUAUAAUAGAAUAUAACGUAAAAGAUAUAUUUAAUAGUAUUUCAAAUAAAAUAUAAUGCUAUAAAAGAUAACACUUAACGCGUUUCGCCAAUGGCUUCAUCAGAAGUGUAAAAAACAUACAUCCAAAACUUCCUAUAAAUACAUAACUUACAUGAGUAAAAUGAUUGUUGCUGUCUUUCAGGUGUACCCCGGCAAAAAAACGCGCAUAGGCGAAAGCCGGAAGUAGUGCGGCGUCCACGUGGGUGUUGGCAAGCCAGCGUGGAACGCACGCAUCAUAAACAGAAGCGGCGCGGCCAGCGUGGGCGCACAUGUCAGGACCGGAAGCGGCGCGGCGUAAGCGUGUAUGUCUUCAUCCACUAUGAAGCGCACGCGUCGCGCCGGAAGUGACGCGGCGCCCACGUGGGCGAAAAUGUAAAUCAUGCGUUCCAACGUGGAACGCAUAACUGCCGCAACCGCAAUCUAUCACAUAAAAAGAAUUAAAUACAUAAAAAAGAUAGAAUAAUACAUAAACAAAACAUAUGGGUAAAAUAGCAAAUGGGCUUUUCUUCCUUGAUUUAUAAAAGAGAAGUAGAAAGUUCAUAAAAGUUCUUUUCGCCAGGUAGUUCAAACAUCUAGUGUUGCAGAAGAGUGUCCCAUCAAUUAAAGAUUAAAGAUGUGUAUGGAUGCAACAAGAUAUUUUUUCUCUUUUUUUCUCCUUUUCUUAUUCCUUUCUUCCCCUCCCUCUUCUUUGAUGUAGGCAUAAAGAUGUGUAGGGUACAUAGCAUCCUUUUUGUGGAGGCAAUCUUGAGCUUCCAAUAAUACAUACAAUGUCCAUCAUUCAUUAUUUUAAGUCCAAUUUUUUGUAAAAGGGGUGGAUGUAUAAAAAAUAAAUAAGAUAAAUAAAUGGAUGGUCCUAUUAUGUACAUGUCUUAACAAAUGUACAUAUAUAGGUAACACAGAAAUGGUAAAAAUAUAGAGAUAGACACAUAUAAAUAAGUAUAUAAAUAUAAAAUCAAAUUUAAAACAUAUAUAUAUAUGAAAUAUGGAAUAGAUAUAAAAAUGAAUACAGUAAAACAAUUAAGAAAUGGAGUGAAUAAGAAAAAAAUAGGAUGAUAUAAGAUGAGAUGGAGAAAAAAAAAAAAAAAAAAAAUUAAUGUUUUUAUAAAAAAUUAAAUAGAUCAAAUUCUAUAUUUAAACCAUCUGGGUGUAGGGUAUUCAUAUUGUAAACCCAUUCCGUCUCUGUACGUCCCAUUUUUUUAAUAUAAUCACCUCCUCUCCAGUGUGAUUUAACGAUGGCAAUACCAGUGAAGGUGAGAUUUUUAGGGUCAUUGUCAUGAAUACAGAAAUGGGAUGAGACAGAAUGAUUUUUAAAACCUUUUUCUAUGUUUCUACAAUGCUCAGCAAUACGAGUUUUUAAAGGUCUAAUAGUCUGUCCUAUAUAUUGUAGGCCGCAAGGGCAUUCCAAUAAAUAUAUAACGUUUUUACUGUUGCAUGUAAUUAUUUCUUUUAUGUUAUAGGACUUGCCGUUAUUGUUUGAUUUGUGUACAAAAGCUGGACCAUUAUCAGAUCCCACCAAUGUCAGAAUUCCAUAUCUUGGGAUAAUUUCAGAAAGCAAGAAUUGGACCACUUCUUUGUUUUUUUCUGUUCUGGUGGGAUUGGCUUCUACCCAGCCAGAGUAUGAGCAUACAAUAACAAGAACAUAGUGGAAUUAACCAGAUUUUGGCAUAACCGUAAAGUCAACGAGCAACCUAGACAUAGGUAAUGCUCCAACAGUUUGAAUCCCUGGUUGUUGGCUUUGUCCUUGUUAUUUUUGGCACAUUCCAUGCAUCCUCUGGCCACUGCUUGUGUUACUGUAAACAGGCCUGGUAGGUAAAAGAAACGGUUAAGUGUAGCCUCCAUGGAUGAUUUUUCUACAUGGGUGGACUAAUGAAAUGUUCACAGCCAGUGCCAUGGGUACAACUCUUCUUCCAUAUUCUAAUUUGUGCCACUUGUUAUUCAGGCCUGGCUCUGUUUCCAGCCAUUUGUGUUCAUCAGGGCUUUAUAGGGGUGACCAGUCAGAGAUUGGUACCGGGAACAGCAGGACAAAGGUUGACUGAGUCUUUCAUAGCUACAUGUUUUGCAGUGUGGUCAGCCAGCCUGUUUCUAAUAGUCACAUGGGUGUCUCCCUUCUGGUGGGCUCGGCAGUGGAUGAUGCUAACUUGUGCAGGAGCGCAGACCACUUUGAGCAGUGCCAACAUUUUGGAUGAAUGCUUGAUGUCUUUUUCUCCAGAGUUCAGUAGGCCCCGUUCCUUGUACAGGGCCCCAUGGGCAUGAGUUGUAAGGCAUGCAUACUUUGAGUCAGUGUAGAUGUUGACCCGUAGGCCCUGGUGAAGGCUAUUAGUUCAGGGGGUCUGACUUUGAUGACAGAACUUACAGUAGUCACUGCAUGUCCGAUCCCAUCUUUAACAAAACUGCUACAGUCAGUGAAGUAUUCUGCAUCUGUUUUUUUCCUGGGGGUAGUCUCAGAAGUUAGAUCUACUAGAGAAGAUUUCAUCCAUGACUUCUAUGCAAUUGUGUUUGGUCAGUUUCUGGGAGCAGGGUAGCUGGGUUCAGUGAGUUGACGGUUUCAAGGUGGAUCCUUGGGUUCUUACAUAGAAUGGCUUGGUACUUUGUGGUUGCCCUUGUAGUCAAGAAGGGUUUGGACAUGUGGAACACAAACAUAGAGUUCUUGUCCUAGGUUCAAUUCAUCAGCUUCUGCAACGAGGAGGGCUGCCGCAGACAACAGGGUAGGCCUUGUGCCACUGGAACCAGUUGUUUGGACAGGUAGGCAACAGGACGCUGCCAUGAGUCCAAGUACUGUGUGAGGACACCUACUGCAGAUUUCUUUUUCUUUUGGACAUACAGGUAAAACACUCUUUGGUGAUAAGGAAGUCCAAGUGCUGGGGCUUGAACCAAGGCCUCCUGCAGGGUUCUGAAGGCCGUCAGUUGCUCUUCUUCCCAUAGAAAUGUGUCAUGUUCAAGGCCUUUGGUGGCCUCAUAGAGAGGCUUAGCGAUGAUUGCAAAAUUAUGUAUCCACAUAAUCCAUCUGCACCCAAGAAUUCACGCAUUUUCCAACGACGGGUAGGUUGCUGGGAUGUGGCAGACGGCAUCUUUGCAUUCUGGGUUGUGAAUACAGCUUCCCUCUGAAAGAUGGAAUCCUAGGCACUUGACUGCUGUGCAGCAAAUUUGGGCUUUUCUUCUGGAUACAUUGUAUCCUGCUUCCCACAGAAUUUGAAGCAGUUGGUUGGUAGCUUGUUGUCAUGGUUCACGGUUCUCUGACAUCCAGACGCGGUUGCCCCAGAAGUGCCCAACCGGGGAUUUGAACCUGGGUACUUUGCAGUCCUGGAUCUGCUGUUUCUCCUCUGAGCCACUAUACAGCUCAAGUAUCAGCCUAAAGUCUGAUCUUGCCUUGUAUCCAGCACUGCUGUGUCUGUGUCCCCAUUUCUCCCAGCCAGUAUCCCAUGCCUCCCAGCCAAUGUCACCAGUGUCCCCAUGUCUACCAGUGUCCCCAAGUGUCUGUGUCCUCAGGUCUCUGUGUCCCCUAGUGUCCCCAUGUCUCACAGUGUCUAGGGGACACUGGGAGACCUGGGGGCACAAACACUAGGGGACACUGGGACACAUGGGGCACUGAGACACUGAUACAUAGCUCUAGGAGACAUAUGAACACAGACACUAGGGGACACUGAGACAUGGGGAUACUAGGGGAUACAGAGCUACAUGGGGACACUGUGAUACAUGGAGACACUGGGAGACAGGGGGACACUAACAGUAACCCAUCUAUACAGCAGAAUCAAACUGUAAGUAGUUUUUUGUUAAUUUUUAUAGCAUUUUCUCUUAUGACAUGCAUUCAUGUCAGGCAGGCCUUCCAAUUCUUUGGGCAGACAUGCCCUCUUUUACCCCGCCCAUUAACUUUCUGCUUCACUGGACACUGCUGUUAGGGGAUAUGGAUUUACUUGAAAGAUGAAAUCAUAAAUUAGAGAGAGAUUAGCAUAGGGUGUUUUUUUUUUCUUAUAGCUGCAUCCUAUGAGUUUCCUUCCAGCACUAUCUCCAUUAGAUACAUGACGCUUGGGAGGUAUGACUGUUUUAGUGUUUUUGGUCAAUAAGAUUAUGUAAUUAGGUUCAAUUCAUCAGCUUCUGCAACGAGGAGGGCUGCCGCAGACAACGGGGUAGGCCUUGGGCCACUGGAACCAGUUGUUUGGACAGGUAGGCAACAGGACGCUGCCAUGAGUCCAAGUACUGUGUGAGGACACCUACUGCAGAUUUCUUUUUCUUUUGGACAUACAGGUAAAACACUCUUUGGUGAUAAGAAGUCCAAGUGCUGGGGCUUGAACCAAGGCCUCCUGCAGGGUUCUGAAGGCCGUCAGUUGCUCUUCUUCCCAUAGAAAUGUGUCAUGUUCAGGGCCUUUGGUGGCCUCAUAGAGAGGCUUAGCGAUGAUUGCAAAAUUAUGUAUCCACAUAAUCCAUCUGCACCCAAGAAUUCACGCACUUUCCGACGACGGGUAGGUUGCUGGGAUGUGGCAGACGGCAUCUUUGCAUCUUUCAUAAUUGAAAGCACCAGGCCCUAUGGGCUCUUAAUAUGGCCCUGGUGAGUAGUAAGUUGUAGCUCACAUCGUCGAAAAGUGAACAGAUAGAUAUGUUUUAUCAGUCCUUAGACGUGGGUAAGCUUAAUGUAAAAAUCAAAAAGAUAAAUGUGAAGCCAAUAAACAAAGUAGAAAAAACCAAACAGUGAAUAAGUAGAAGGUUUCCUAAAGUGUUAAAUGAAUAAUUGAGCAGCAAAACACUCUGAAAUUAUAUCCCUUAAACGAUUACCAAAUCAAGAUAGCCUGAAAAAAAAUUUGUGCUUUAACACAAUAUUGUGUAAUAUCAUGUAUAAAUGAGAAUAGGUACCGCUCUCCACUGCUGGUGGAAAACCAAACCUAUAUGGGCUGAAAUCAUCAUCUUGUUGAAUACUUUCCUAGAUAAACCCUACCCUUUAGAUGCAUGGGCCCUGCGUCUGUACAAACCCCUAGACACACACAAGUAACUAUUCAAUUGUUUGGCACAAACUUGAGGGGGGGCUUAGCCAACAGACGUUUUGCAGCAAGCAAAAUGCAGAAGAUUGGGUAACUCUUUAAUGCAGAAGAUUGGGUAACUCAAAUGGCUUCAAAAUAGUGUUUUUUGUAAUUGUAAACAUAUAUUUGUAAUGGAUAGGCCCGGACUGCCCAUCAGGCAAAUGACCAUGGGCUGAGGCCGACAUGGGAAAUCAGAGUGCAUAUACCCAUGCACUAUAUAAGCGCCAGCCCUACUGUAUACCAUGAUGGUCUGGUGGGGAGAUAAAAGAUCUUCCUCACAUUCCCACAGGCACUGACAUAUGGCAGAAGAGAAGAGGACCAGGAAGCUCCAACCUGCAGCUCCACUGGGUCCUGAAAGUUCCUAUCGGGGGGGGCCAGAGCGUUGCUGCGGUUACAAUGGCAACGCUCCAACAGACCGGAUCUUGUGAGAACUCUAGCCAGAAGAGCUGCAGGUUAGAGUUCACUCAUCACUGGUUUGAUAGGAAGCAGUUAUGUGCUCACAGUGAGCACUUCCUGUCAGAUCAGGUAGGGGAACAGAAGCUCCUGUACCAUGGUCCGCCUACUCGGCCACGCUACAUGCAGUGACCAGAAGGAAGAGAGCACUGUGCAAUGCAAUGUCGGAAACCUCAUUCGCUCAACACACUAACUUACGUGUCACACCACUCAGUUUGCAAAUCUGUCCUCUACAAAAACACACUAGAUACGCUAUACACACUCUGAAUCCUCUACACACACAAUAGAUCCUCUAUAGACACACACUGCACCACCUACACACAUUACAUUCCUGAUAUACACACUCUAGAUCCAUUAUGCACACAUGAGAUCCCCUGUACGUAGACACGCACGCUACACUCCCUAUACACACUCUCUACAGCAUCUACACACACAUCACCUAUACACACUUAUACUACAGCCCCUAUGCACAUACACGCUACAUCCCUUGUAAAGACUAAGCCCCCUAUACAUACACACACUCUCACUCUCUACAGCACCUAGCCAUUUUACACCACAAACAGAACACUACUGAAACCGACCUAAUUAGACAAAAACACCACACCACUAUCAGUCAGCUUAAUCUACACACACGCAAACAGCCUCCAAACAGAUGCACAAUAUGCUUUCCUGGCCCUAUUGUCCUCUGGUAUCCCACUUACGGAGACACCAGAGAUAUGUUGCAAUUAAACACAGAGCAUGCUUUUAAAAAAAAACAACAGUCUCUUUACAGAGAUAGUAAGUGAUAAUCUACAGUGCCUAGACAAAAAAGCAGCUCAAACUGGUAAAGUGGAAUACCCUUAUUUCUACAAUCAGUUUACAAUGUUAGAAAAUGUGUGGUAUACAAUAUACACCAAUUAGUGGAGCGCUGUGUACAUAUUAAAGUGAUAAAGGGGUUCACUUACCCCAUUAAUAAUUUGAAUUGAAUGUCUUACAAAUAAUCAUUAAACAGUACAUGUAAAAGAAAAACAAAGAAAUAUAUAUAGUGCAGAUGGUCAUAUAUAAUUAAAUGAUGAAAGUUGAGUAACUAUAACCACUCCAAUGAUUUGGAGCCUAUAUGUUAUUGGCUCCGUAACAUAGGCUUUAUUACUCUUUGGGCAGUAAUACACCCCUUUCCUUGAUGGUAUUUGUGACGAGGUGCCCCUCGCCACUUGUUCCUGGAGAGGCCUGCUUGCCAGCCUCCUCCCCUGCGACUAUGGCCCCUGGGAGAUUGUACCCUUUUAAACCAGCAUUUGGGCUUAUGGACUUUUAUUGGACUGUGCAUGGCCCUUUAAGAACCGUCUGUGGGCACAUUGUGACUUUGGUGAGCAAUGCCCCUUUAAUACUAUGGCCCCUGGAAGAUAUUGCCUGUUAAAGACUAUUUUAGCAGAUUGGAUUUUAAAAGACUCUUGCUGCCCCUUUAAAUUGUAUUGGAGCAGUUCUGCAGCUUUAAAAUGGCACUUCGGAUGCAGCCGAAGUAGUUGAAGUGGCCACCAUUCGACAAACGAACACGUGGCGGCGGCCAUCUUUGUUCAUUCGAACAAGUUAAGCGGUAUGUGUAGCCAAAUCCAUGGAACUGAAAUCGGCUACACAUUUCAACGAACACCGCUGACUCUUACCUUCUCCUACACUUAGUUUUCAGCUACAGAGCCUAAGUCCCAUUCGGCAGUUUGAACUCACUGCAAUACUAAGCUAAAUGCACGAACAGCCCCGUUCGUGCAUUCGAAUGGGACUUAGUCAUUUUUCUGUUUAAAAUAGACUGACCGCACAGCCCAAAUCUAUGGAACUGUUUUGGGCAGGAAAAUUUGCUUGCGGUCGGUCAUAAAGGACUUCCAUCUAACUUUUUAACCCCUGGAUGGAAUUGGCUGAAUUUUGGAUAUGUUUGUAAUUAUUAUGUAUGCAGAGUUCGAAUGUGUAAUUUUUAUGAAGAUUGAAUGUAUAUUGUUAAAGUUACAGUGUAUGUGUAAAAAGUAUAUUUUUCCUGCCUGUGAUAAUGACUUUAACCCAUUGUGUUCUGUAAUUAUAUCACAGGCAGAGGGGAGGGUUUGUGUGUAAUUGAUGGGAGUGUUUGUACUGUAUACUACUAUACUACGUGUUUAUUGGUUGUUCUGCAAAACCCUGUGGCCGGUCCUGUAUGUGUAAGACCUCCAUAAAAGAAAGCCCUUUGGUGCUAAUUAAACACAGUUCUUCUUGACCCUCAACACAUAGUCUUGUCUCGUGAUUGGAGGGGACAGCUAUACUCACACUGGGGAUUGCUAUGCUCUGCAUACUCCCCUGAGUUUUAAGAGCAUGUUCCUGAUACUCUCUCCUGGAGGAGAGGUCUUCCCCACACGGUCCUGGAGGACAGAAGCUGAUCCAGGGUGGACAGAAGAUGGCGAGACUCCAGUUAAGCUACGGCGGUUGUGGAGUCUGCGGUGGUUGUGGUGUGCGGUGCUUGUGGUCCUCGGCGCAGGCGAGAAAACGUCGAUCAACAGAAGGUACUCGGUCAGAGUAUGGGGAGUUCAGUUACAGUAUUCCUCCGGAGAGAAUGGGAAAGAAGGAGAAUAGACCAGAUGAGUAGUACUGUGUAAAACUGCAAAAUAUGUACUUAUGAUAGGUAGUGUGCUCACCUUGUGAAGAGCCUUAGGUACCUGGCUCUAAGGGUGUUCAGCAGUAUGCCAAAUUCUGGGAUGGCAAUUCCCACAAAGGAUUCCUGAAGGCUUCAAUGACUUGAAUAGUAUAAAAAAUUAAUUUAUUGUAUCCAAGUUAAAAAACAAAUUUGUGAGUUAUAAUUAAAAUAAAACUCACAAAUUUUCAGGCAUCGGUUCUAUAUGAUGCAGAUUAUCUGAGUACAUAGACCGGUGCCUGCAACCAAUAGUCCAAAAUAUACCGAGCUACCUACAAGAUACGAGUAACAUAUUAAGACACAUUAAAGAAUUGAGUUGGAAAGAGUUAUUUUUUAGUAACGGCAGAUGUAAGUUCCCUAUACACAAUUAUUGCACAUGAAAGGCUGCGCGGUCACUAGACAUUUUUUAGAACAAUCACACAAAUUCCCACCAGAACACAUUAUUUUAUUAUGGAAGGAAUUCAUCUAAUUUUAACCAGCAACUACUUCUGGUAUGAUGGGGAUUUUUAUUUACAGGCCUGUGGAAUGGCGAAGGGGACGAGGUUCGCACCUAGCUAUGCCAAUUUAUUUAUGGCCCAUUGGGAGCUCCAGUUUAUCCAACAUGGUAAUGGCCGGGUGGAGGGCCUCGUUACCUACCGCCAUUGUAUAGAUGACCUAUUUUUUAUCUGGGAGGGAACGGAGGAACCCCUACAAAAUUUGCUUACCCAACUUAAUAAUGAUUGGGAAUUAUUUUAACUACUAAUUUUAGUAAGAUGGAAGUAAAUUUUUUAAAUUUAGACAUUUUUAUUGAAGACCGCAAAAUUAAAACAAGGACAUAUUUUAAAAAGGUGGAUGUGAACAGUUUCAUACAGACCACCAGCUGUCACUUUGCACCUUAGCUUAAUGUAAUACCAAAAUCACAAUUCAUUCAAAUUAAAAGAAACUGCACAGAAGAGACUAAAUUUAUAGAACAAGCACAUAUAUUAAAAAAUAAUCUGCUGGAAAAGGGGUACAAAGAAAAACACCUAAAUGACGAUCUAAACCAUGUUUAAAAAAGAGAAAGGGAGACUCUAUUAUCUAAAAAGGAAAUAAAUGCAGUCACAUCAGGUUUUAAUACUAACAUACCAAUUAUCUGUAAUUAUAGCCAGGGUAAUCAACAAUUAAGAAAAAUAAUUAACAAAUAUUGGCCACUUUUAAGGGAAGACCCUUUUUUUAUCAAGCAUCCUGCCAGACAAACCAACGCUGAUCUUUAAAGGUGCACCAAACAUGAAAAGGCUUUUAGUUAAAAACCAUAUUAGUGCCCUGAGGGUGCCCCCACCCUCAGGGUCACCCUUCCGCCCGGCUCUGGGGAGAGGAAGGGGUUAAACACUUACCUUUCUCCAGCACCGGGCGGGGAGCUGUACUCCUCCUCUCCUCCUUGCUCGCGACGUCAUCGGCUGAAUGCGCAUGCGCGGCAGGAGCCGCGCGCGCAUUCAGCCGGUCGCAUAGGAAAGCAUUUACAAUGCUUUCCUAUGGACGCUUGCGUGCUCUCACUGUGAUUUUCACAGUGAGAAGCGCCUCUAGCUGCUGUCAAUGAGACAGCCACUAGAGGCUUGGGAGGCUGGAUUAACCCUCAGUAUAAACAUAGCAGUUUCUCUGAAACUGCUAUGUUUAUUAAAAAAAAGGGUUAAUCCUAGAGGGACCUGGCACCCAGACCACUUCAUUAAGCUGAAGUGGUCUGGGUGCCUAGAGUGGUCCUUUAAGAAAGAAAGCCGCAUAAAAGCUAUUGACAGUAGAAAUGUUUUUUUCGGUUGUGGCAUAUGUUUAGCAUGCAGAACCACAAAUAAUAACAAGUUAUAUAGGGAAAUUCAGCAACACACUAAACAAUGAAGAUUUCAUAAUAAAAAACCUCAUUACCUGCCAUUCAACUAAUGUAAUUUAUUUACUGGAAUGCCCAUGCGGCUUAAAGGAUUACAAUUUAUAGGCAUCCACAAAGUGUUGGGGGGGAACUUUUUUUUAACAAAAUUUUAGGUCAGCACGAAAUGGGGUGGAUUUUUCAACCUUGGGACAUUACAACCCCAAGGUUUGAAUAUAGAUUUUGAAUUAUGCCACUUCCUCUAAUAUCCACACUUCUUCCCCCUCCCCGCCCCCGUUUUUUUUCAAUGCAAACGGCCAUUAUCUUUUAUUUUAUUCUAUUUUAUUAUUUUUUUAUUUGAUUACCAUGUAAAUUCAUUUAAACCUUUACUUAUUCACAGUUAUUUUUUUAGUACGAUUUUAAAAUCCAGUCAAGUUUCCACCACAAGGUUUUAGAUGACCUAUAAUUAUGAUUUUUAAUUUGUCAUAACGAUUUUCCACCAAUGAAUUACAACAAUCGUAAUGAGUAUCACAAAGAGUUACUGUUUACAAUGUAAGUAUAGACUUGAUUCCUCCCAUUCACAUUUUUAUUCAACUCCUUCUGUAUUAUAUUAUCCCCUUAUCCCCUUUUUUGGGAUAUACCAUCAUGUGUUCCCAUGGCAUGGCCUGAAGUUGUGGGAGGGGCUACAGACCUACUUAAGGGACUCCCCCCUUUCCCUCACUUACCUUCGUUGGUCUAGACAAACAGCCUGUUACUCGCAGGCUUCCGUUACUCCCGACUUCCUGGUUUGUAUCGUCACUUCCGGUGAGACGCGGCGCACUCCUCUGACGUCACGCGCUGACUUCCGCCGGCUCCACAGGCCCGCCGGCUCUCCAAACCGGGCCCUAAACAGCGGUACAGCCGACCGUCCUCUCCUCCUCGCCAACCCGUUUUGGUGCGGUAAGCUGGGCUCCCACGUGGGGAUUACAAGACAGAGACUCCAUUACCACUUAGGAGUCUCUGUUCCCAGCCGCCGGGGAAACCGGUCUUAAGGGGAAGGGGGGGAGGGGGGGAGACAUACUUACGGCCCGGUCGGGAACAGGCCACAACCAGACCCCUAUAUCAUAAGGGGUCCCUGUUCCUGCCGGCAACACACAUGGGGGGGGCACAAAAUAGUUGGGUGCAGGGUUAAAACCCCGAUCCACCACCUUGCAUAAUGGAUACGUUCCACUGCUGGCUGACCCUUAGUUCAGCCAGCUGCCACCGUACAUGCCCAUAGAAUACACUUUCUUUCAAUACUGUACGGUUACACGUCUUGCCUAACGUGUGUGUGUGUGUGUGUGUAUAUAUAUAUAUAUAUAUAUAUAUAUAUAUAUAUAUGUGUGUUUAAAGUGGAAUAAGAUACAUUAAAGUACCUUUCAAUAAACCUUCUGUUAUUUAUGCGUAUACUGCUAAUUAGGAUGCUGGUUAAAUUAAGUUAAAUCACUGGUUUAAACAUAUGCGUAUGAUUUUGCUUGUUAAACAUAAUAAUACAUGAUAUAUGUUUACUUAUGGCAGGCUAGAUAUGUUAGGAUAAAAAAAAGGAAAUAGGUGUAGCGCUGUGUACAUACAUAUAGUAGAGUUGAGCCUGAUAGGUAAAUAAGGCAUCCAAAUGAGGGCAAUUCCAAUAUCUUAUACAGUCAACCUAAAACAAGCAAAAAAGAACUCCAAUAGUGUAACACCAUAAAAUAAAUAUGAUGAAAGUCAAAAUAUAGCAAUAAACUCACAUUCUCCUGAGCUUAAUGCCAAGCUCAGGAAUAAGCGCUUUUAGGUCCGUACAGGUGACCUUCCCCUUCUUCUCACUGGGUAUUAUUUCCAAAUCGCCUCUAGGACUCAAGUGAAACAGAUAUAUAGUGUAGCACGUUUAUAUAGAAUACUCCUACUUCAAGUAUAUUAUAUACUAACAAAAGUGGAGCCUCUAUAUCGGCUCUGUCUCUGUGCGUUGAAUAAACUGUAGGACUUUUCAAAGCAGGAACCAAAAAAGCCCAUACAAUAAUUAAAAAAUAAUAAUAAUUUUAUUACAUCACAAGGGUAUAAUAAACCCUCUAUAAAUCUAUAAAACACAUAAAUAUAAAAUAAAUAAAUCAAUAACAAAUGGGCAUAAAGGUAUCAUACACUUCUUCCCAGAACGCGUUUCACCGUUACUCCGACGGCUUCCUCAGCUGGGUCCAAGGGGAAGCCGUCGGAGUUACGGUGAAACGCGUUCUGGGAAGAAGUGUAUGAUACCUUUAUGCCCAUUUGUUAUUGAUUUAUUUAUUUUAUAUUUAUGUGUUUUAUAGAUUUAUAGAGGGUUUAUUAUACCCUUGUGUCACGAGCGUGGGCUAUAGGCCCAGCCGAGACAGUGGGGAGAGUGUGGAAGUUACAGGGUUAAUGACACCAGACCCCUGGUUACCUGUUGCUAGUCCCAGCAACCACUCAAUUAACCCCUGCAAUCCCUUCUACACUAUCCCCCUUAGUACAUUUUCUUUACUCUACUGCCACCACCAAGACUUUUAAACCCGGGUGUCUUAGGUUACCCCACACACAGGAGAAUUAUAGUAUCGCAGUUCUACUUUUACUGAUAAAACAUAUAUAGUUAACCCUUUUUGGUAACGUGUUUACCUGAGCUUUCCUCUGGAGAGUGAAGCUCAUAGAGAACAGAGACACAGGCUGAUUAAGUAAACAUUUAAUCUGACAAAAAGGAUUCACAGUGCUGAGUACAAAAUACAGAAAUAAAUGACAUACAGAUAACAAAUUGCAAAACAGUACAUAAAAUAAAAUAGGAGAAAACACAAGAAAUUCCUUACAUAUAUUUACCCCAUAUAGAAUUCUUGUGGGAGUCUUAGAUGGUAUAGGUCUCCUAGAAGUUACUGACAAAAAGAAAAAUGAAUAACUGGCUUCCCUGGAUAGUCCAACACCCUCAUAUAUCUAAACUAGUUGUUUCUCAGUGGGCAGACCCCUGGGGGGGGGGGGAUCAGAGGGGGCUGGUCUGGCAGUCUAUUGCCCACUCUAUGAAAUUCCUUGUGUCCAGCUCUGGUGAUGGCUAUCUAGAUGUUUUAUGGUCUAGGCCUGGUGCAAGAUCAAAGACCACAAUAAAUGUCAUCCCAAGGUUUACAAAAAAACAUAUAUAAACACACAUCAAACACCAACUCAUGCUUUUGGCAUGACACCUCCCCCCUUAAGAUGGUGGACAGAAAACUUCAGCCACAGGCUGAUUCAUCUGUCUAUCAUUAACCCUCUAGUUGCCGAGACAGGCCAUCUGCAUUCUCAUGCAAGCUGCCCUUUUUGUGCUGGGCAGUGAAAUUAUACUGUUGGAGGAUAGGGCUCCAAUGGAGCAGUUUAUCAGUGUUACCUGUCACCUGCAGCAGGUUGUGAUCAGUCCAUACCACAGCUACACCCUCAACAAACAUGCCUGAUUUGCCUGUUUCAAUUCCCCAUCGAUCUCUGGUAACAUCCCUUAAACCACACCCACUGCGCUCAUGUAGUAGCUGUAAGGGGAAGAAACCAAUGGAUUUCUGCAGCACUCCCCGGUAAGCACACAAAAAAGCAGACAGAGAACACUCCCAGGAUAGAUGUGCUGUAUCAACACCCAUCAUCUCUUUCAUUUUGCGGUCUGUCUGCUGGGCUUGUUGCACUAUCAGACUCUGAACCUUUCGUUCACAAUCAGAAAGUUGCUUAGGUGCAUGCCUGAGUUGUGAUAAACUGACAAGGUUCCUGGUUCCUCCAACAGUAUGUUUCCCUGCAGCCAUCCUUCCUGGACCCACAGGCUGAGUCUGUCCGUGCCCCUCACUUUCACUCCAGGUCAUCACACAUACAGAACUUUGGAAACUGGCUAAGUCUGGCGCAGAGUAAAGCUCACACACCCUCUGCCCUCCCUCAUAGCCUUGCUGUGCCUUCAUAUUUUCACCCAGUGCAUCACAUACAUCUGCUUCAGGCACAUAUUGGCACAUAUAUUCCUUCAGGCCCCUCUCGCUGGAAGUCUUUUCCCAUACAUUUUCCAAGGACACAUUUGACCCCCCGUGAUCAGAUACAGAAUUUUGCACACACUCACAUAAUUUCUUCUCCAAGGCAGGCCAUCCUCUCGCAAUAGCCCCUCAGACUCUGCAGCCAUGACCCACUGCUGACUUGUUAUCACUGCUGACUUGUUACCCUGUCUCUCACCUUCCUCCUCUCCCUUACUCUCUGACAUCCCAGCCUCACAGUAUUUUCAUACAGGCACAUCACUACUCACCCCAAUCUCACAUUUGGUAGACAUCACUGGUUCAGUUACAGGUAGAUAUUUAUCCACACCCUGCUCUCCCUCCCAGCCAUCACACUUCACAAUGUCUCCCAAAGUUUCACACAAUACCUUAGGUGGAGAAGUCAGCCCUUCUGGCUCACAAACAGUGUCCGCUGGAGCAUAGUGACAGAGCAUCCUGCCCAAAUCAUUCCCCAACAGAACAUUAACAGGGAUAUCCUCUGAAAUCCCCACUUCCCGCAAACCUUUGCCCACACCCCAAUCAAGGUACACACGUGCCAUGGGCACAGCGGGACGCACACCCCCAAUUCCUUUGAUGAACAUGGUUCUUCCAGGGAUUAUGUCCUCCGUAUUCACCACUUCAGGGCGCACCAGGGUGAAGGAAGCUCCAGAAUCUCUCAGUCCCAUGGUCACUCGGUCACCCACAAUUACACUCUGCAGGUUAUCCUCUCGUUUCCCCACCGACCCACCCACAAGCAAUACUGAUGGUGCCCCUCCACGGACUGUUGAGGGCAUAUUCCUAGUGGGGCAAGUCCUGCUCAGAUGACCAAUCUGGUUGCAUCGAAAACAACGGCGGGCAUCUGACUCACUUGACAUAGCCCUGGCUAUGCUGGCAGUCGGCGGUGAAGUUCUCACUGCAGAUCUUACAGGUGGUGAUUGAACUGUAGCUUCUCUCCAGGUCGAAGUAGCAGCUGACACCAGUCCACGCCUGGAUGUGGGUGCAUGGAUGUCGGCAUAGUCAUCUGCCAGUUCUGCAGCAGCCUUAGCAUUUUUUGGCUUUCUUUCCAAAAUCCACUCUCGUACAUUAGGGCUCCGGGUCUGCAAGAACUGCUCCAGGACCAUUAAGUCAUUAAGGGCUUCAUAGGUAGUAGCUUGUACUCCUGUUACCCAUUGCCGGAACGUGGUUUCUAAUUGUGCAACAUAUAGAAUGCAGCUGGAUGAUGGGCAUUGCUGCAUACUCCUAAACUUUUUCCUGUAAGACUCCGGAGUAAGGUUAAAAGUUUUUUGCAAUGCAGAUUUGAUUGCCUCAUAGUUGUUAUCAGUCUCUGGGGGAAGGGACACAAACCCAUCCAAGGCUUUCCCUUUCAAUUGUGGAGUUAAAUAUCUGCCCCACUGGUCUGAGGGUAGUUGAUGCUGCCUGCAUACUUUCUCAAAACAUUUUAAAAAUACAUCCAAAUCUGUCCCUUCUUCGAGGGAAGGAAAAUCAUCCUUACGGAGCCUACGUGUGCUGGACUCUGAUGCAUUGCUGUUCAGUGAGGACUGAAGGGUAAAUUGCAGUUUAGCAAGUUCCAGCUCAUGUCUCCUUUGUGCCUCCCUUUCGGCUAGCCUCUCUGCAGAUUCCCUUUCUGCAGCAUGCCUUUGCGCUUCCCUUUCGGCUAGCCUCUCUGCAGAUUCCCUUUCUGCAGCCUGCUGUUGGAUCAUCACAUGCAGGGCCUCCUGAGGAUUUGCAGCCAUCAGUUGCCGAAAUAAAUCAGUUGAGCAAAUGUCCUUAAUGUUUUGAGGGGUACAACCACCAGGCAUUUCAGUAAGCAACACUCCUGCAGUAGUAGGGAGCUCGGUAACCCUUUCAGUAUCUGUCUCUGGCUGGAAAAUAUGGCUGUCAGCCUCCACAAGGUCAGCAAUAAGUUGUGCCUUAUUUUUGCCAAAAGUUGGUAAAUUCUUUUCUUGGCACAACAAUUCCAAGGCCCCUUUUGAUUGUUUGUGAUAGGCCUCCAUAUUCACAAAUAGGAUAGAGAAAGAAAAACAAAAGAUGGGAGGGGAGAACUGUUUUGCACUUUGUAUGUAUUUUAAAUCAGCACUGAGCUUGGUCUUUGGAAAUUACACAAAAACAAGUAUGCAAUUUCUUUUAGUGCUAAGACCCCCUUUACAGGUAAAAUCUAGCAAGCACUAAAAAUCUCUAAAUAUAUCCCACCGCUGCCGCCAGUUUGUCACGAGCGUGGGCUAUAGGCCCAGCCGAGACAGUGGGGAGAGUGUGGAAGUGACAGGGUUAAUGACACCAGACCCCUGGUCCCAGCAACCACUCAAUUAACCCCUGCAAUCCCUUCUACACUAUCCCCCUUAGUACAUUUUCUUUACUCUACUGCCACCACCAAGACUUUUAAACCCGGGUGUCUUAGGUUACCCCACACACAGGAGAAUUAUAGUAUCGCAGUUCUACUUUUACUGAUAAAACAUAUAUAGUUAACCCUUUUUGGUAACGUGUUUACCUGAGCUUUCCUCUGGAGAGUGAAGCUCAUAGAGAACAGAGACACAGGCUGAUUAAGUAAACAUUUAAUCUGACAAAAAGGAUUCACAGUGCUGAGUACAAAAUACAGAAAUAAAUGACAUACAGAUAACAAAUUGCAAAACAGUACAUAAAAUAAAAUAGGAGAAAACACAAGAAAUUCCUUACAUAUAUUUACCCCAUAUAGAAUUCUUGUGGGAGUCUUAGAUGGUAUAGGUCUCCUAGAAGUUACUGACAAAAAGAAAAAUGAAUAACUGGCUUCCCUGGAUAGUCCAACACCCUCAUAGAUCUAAACUAGUUGUUUCUCAGUGGGCAGACCCCUGGGGGGGGGGGAAUCAGAGUGGGCAGUCUAUUGCCCACUCUAUGAAAUUCCUUGUGUCCAGCUCUGGUGAUGGCUAUCUAGAUGUUUUAUGGUCUAGGCCUGGUGCAAGAUCAAAGACCACAAUAAAUGUCAUCCCAAGGUUUACAAAAAAACAUAUAUAAACACACAUCAAACACCAACUCAUGCUUUUGGCAUGACACCUUGUGAUGUAAUAAAAUUAUUAUUAUUUUUUAAUUAUUGUAUGGGCUUCGUUGGUUCCUGCUUUGAAAAGUCCUACAGUUUAUUCAACGCACAGAGACAGAGCCGAUAUAGAGGCUCCACUUUUGUGAGUAUAUAAUAUACUUGAAGUAGGAGUAUUCUAUAUAAACGUGCUACACUAUAUAUCUGUUUCACUUGAGUCCUAGAGGCGAUUUGGAAAUAAUACCCAGUGAGAAGAAGGGGAAGGUCGCCUGUACGGACCUAAAAGCGCUUAUUCCUGAGCUUGGCAUUAAGCUCAGGAGAAUGUGAGUUUAUUGCUAUAUUUUGACUUUCAUCAUAUUUAUUUUAUGGUGUUACACUAUUGGAGUUCUUUUUUUGCUUGUUUUAGGUUGACUGUAUAAGAUAUUGGAAUUGCCCUCAUUUGGAUGCCUUAUUUACCUAUCAGGCUCAACCCUACUAUAUGUAUGUACACAGCGCUACACCUAUUUCCUUUUUUUUUAUCUUGCCCCAUAUUGAUGUAAGUUAGAAAGAUUACAUCUAGGUGUUACAGCAGCUUGUUUAAAUAAUUUUGUUGAACUAAAGAGUGUUAUAUUCAGUUAUAGCGCCAGUAUAAUAUUUGUAUUCUUAUUAGAUAUGUUAGGAGUUCUGCAUGUAUAAUAGCAAUCGUUAAGUCUUAAGAUAAUUAUACCUCAGUGACGGUUAAAGUACAUGGCCUACCGGUGGCAUUAUGUACUUUGGGGGGACAGUACUCGCUGCAAUCCCCCCCAGAACUCUUACUAUGUCAAUCUUUAUGUAUAUGUUCCACAUGAGAGUACAUUAUCUAAAAUUCUCAUACCCCCAGGAACCCGCAUACCUUCGGACGGUUCACCUAAGCUAACCCACCCCCCCGCCCUACUCAAGAG
Molecule: long non-coding RNA, 90794 nt
Filed under: Pelobates cultripes (western spadefoot toad)
Lineage: Eukaryota; Metazoa; Chordata; Amphibia; Anura; Pelobatidae
Source: RNAcentral